CUGGUGGAGGUGCCGGAUCGGGAGGGGCGUGGGCAGGUGGCUCCCGCCCCUACCUCUCCCUUUGCGGAUGUGCUGCGCCCCAGAGGAGGUGCCUGAUCGGGAGGCGGCGUGGGCAGGUGGCCUUCGCCCCUACCUCUCCCUUGCCGUCCCUGGAGGGGGCAGCUCCUGCUCGGGCCCCGGGCGGCAGUCUUGGACCGAGAUCGUCGCGUGUGCCGAGCCCUGUGGCGGUGAUGGCUGGGGGAGCUUCGCCGGUUCUGCCGACGAUGUAGGGCAGCCCUCCGGCUGGUUCAGCUCAGUUGAGCCCUGUUGGGGGUCGGGCAGGAGGCCCUACCCCGAACGGGGUCACGUGGGACGACAUCGUCGCUUUUGGAGGGAUUUCGGAUCCUGUAUCCGAAAGUCGACGGAUGAGUUGUCGCCUCCAGGAUCAGCCGGAUGUUGAUGACAUGCAGCUACGGUGCGCCACACGGACGACCAACCUUCGUGAUAUUGAGGUCACUAUUGGUAUGUCAGUCAACACUUCCAAAUCUAUCUUGCAUUUUUCUAGUAAUGAGGUUAUUCAUAAUGCAAAUCAGUUGGGAGUAUCUCUGGGUAGCAAUGAUAUUGAAGUUUCUAAGUCCGUUAACGACAUCUUGGAUCUUGAAGCGGAGCGCGCUUUAGAUAUGAUUAGAAACCUAGCGGCUGUCAAACCUAUGAACUAUUCAGAUUUAGAUGCUUUGGGGGUCAAUGUGCUUGAUAGCUUUUGUGCGGAUCUGGCACCCUCUCUUCCUGAGACUGAGGAGGAUGAACUUUCUACUUCCCCAAGGGAUUCCAUUAUUGCAGAUUCUCAGGUGGCUACGUCCACUGAGCUCGGUUGUGAGGACCGGAUAGAGGACGAAAACAAGCCUAAACGCAAGUGGAAUCAAAUAAUUUAUCCGGCUUCGGCCGUGCGUAGAAGUGCUAGGAUCCGAACUACUAAAAAUUUCAUGAUGAAUAUGAAAGAAUUUUUUGGAAUAGCAGAGGUCUUAAGGACUUGGCUAAAAGAAGGUUUCUAGCAGACGCGUCUAUAUAACACAAAUUGGAUUUUAUUGUCCGAAACUGGAAGGGACAAAUUCACCCCCACCCCCCAGUUUCUUAGUACUCUUCGGGAGGGGUUGAUUUUGAUUGGCAUUGCCUACCUCCAAGAGGAAGGUCCGGUGGGAUUUUACUUGGGGUUAAAUGUGAUUCGUUGGAAGUUCAGAAUGUUGUAAUGGGAGAUUUUGCGGUUAAGUUUCAGGUUUGGUCGAAGGCCGAUGGGUUUAAUUGGGCUUUGGUGGCGGUGUAUGGUGUCACGCAGCCUGAACUCAAACCAGACCUUUUGGCGCAUUUAGUUCGUAUUUGCGGCAACGAGCAGCUCCCAAUCCCGAUUGGGGGUGAUUUUAACAUUAUCCAUAGAUGGUAGGAAAAAAACAAUGACAAAUUAGACGACAGAUGGUCGUUUAUGUUUAAUACAAUUAUUUAAAGUUUAGACCUUUGAGAGAUUGAGCUUUCUGGUAGAAAGUUCACAUGGGCCAAUACAUUACCAAUACCGACGUUUGAGAAGCUGGACCGGGUCCUAGCGAGCGUCGAAUGGGAGCAGAAGUUUCCCCUAGUGACGGUCCAUGCGCUCUCUCGCGCGAUCUCUGAUCAUACCCCAUUGUUGGUGGACUCAGAGAGGCAAUGCAUGUGGGGAACAGGAGUACGUUUUCUUUCGAAUCAACGUGGUUUGAAAGAGAAGGGUUCCUGGAUCUAAAAGCAAGAGAAUGGGCUAAAGAUUCAGGAGGGAGAAUGAAUGUUGAGAGAUGGUAGAAUCAGAUUAGGCAUUUAAGGCAGUUCUUACGGGGUUGGCCAAACACCUGAGUGGGAUAUAUAAGGCUGAGAAGGAAAGGCUCCUUUUACUUAUUCAAUCCCUAGAUUUAAAAGCUGAGUCCUCCAUUUUAGAUACCAGAGAGCUGGAAACUAAAGUGGAGGCGGAAUUAAGACUGAAAGAACUGCUUCGUGAGGAGGAAUUGAAGUGGGCACUGAGGGAGUCCUGGAUUAGGGGGUAUCCGGACAGCUGGACUGUAUACAUCGUCCGGACUAUUGAAGCGUGAAGAUAAAAGAAUCAAGACUUCGGCCCAUGUCCGGAUGGGACUCUCCUUUGCGUGGAAGGCAAGCUUGGCGAUCCGGAUAUUGUGUUUCCUUCCUUGUAACCGACUCCGUGUAAACCCUAGCCCUCUCCGGUGUCUAUAUAAACCGGAGAGGUUGGUCCUUAGAAGGACGAUCACAAUUACAACCAUACCAUCAUAGGCUAGCUCUUAGGGUUUAGCCUCUACGAUCUCGUGGUAGAUCUACUCUUGUACUACCCAUAUCUUCAAUAUUAAUCAAGCAGGAAGUAGGGUUUUACCUCCAUCGAGAGGGCCCGAACCUAGGUAAAUGUUGUGUCCCUCGCUUCCUGUUACCAUCAGCCUAGACGCACAGAUCGGGACACCCUACCCGAGAUCCUCCGGUUUUAACACCGACAUUGGUGCUUUCAUUGAGAGUUCCUCUGUGUCGUCGCUGCAGAGUCCCACCUCUGUGGAGGCCUGUAACCCCGGCCCCCCGGACUCGUAUCCGGUUGUUGGUUCCGGUCCGCACACCCUCGAGCCAGCCGAGCUAGGUUGGGCUCCGGUAAUGGAGUUUACCGCUGCGGACAUCUUCUAGCACUCGCCCUUUGGCGACAUGCUGAACUCAUUAAAGUCUCUAUCUUUGUCAGGAGGCUCUGGGCCGAAUUAUGUCUAGCUUGAGUGGGAAGCAGGCGACGAAGGAAUUCGCUGCCCACCCACCACCCACUUCAUUGCCACGGUCGAUGAUUUAACCGACGUGCUUGACUUCGAGUCCGAAGACAUCGACGGUAUGGACGACGAUGCAGGAGAAGUACAGGAGCCACCGCUCGCAGGGCGAUGGAAGGCCACCUCGUCACACGAUAUAUACAUGGUGGAUACGCCCAAGGAGGACGAGGGCGGCAAUCCGGAAGAUAAAACCCCCGGGCAAAAGCCAAAACGGCGGCGCAGACGCCGCUCAAAGUCCAGCAAUAGUAAAAAUAGCGACAAGAGCGCAAGAAGGAUCGACAUACCAGCAAACUCCGAAGGCAAUAACGACCACAUGGAACCAGCGAUGGAGUAGGAUGAGCCAUGUCACGCCGAACUGAGUUCGGAGCAGACGUCCGAUCACAAUGAUCCAGAGGGACGAGUCCAUCAAACCGCCCCAGGACAAGAACACAGUCCGGACGAUGAUGCAUUCAUCAUUCUGGAAAUACGCAUGGAACGAGAUAGCCUCCACAGAAAGCUUAUGGCCACAGCGAGAAGUCUAAAGAAUAAGAAGCAACGGCUCAAAGCCGCACAGGAAACGCUCAAUCGCAGAUGGAAUAAAGUGCUAGACACCAAAGAAAGAUAUGGCAAUGAUCGCCAUACAAAGAGCUAUCCCAAACGCAAGCUACUGCCAGAAUUCGACGACGAGGCCGUUCCACCAAAGAAUAAUACGACCAGGAGACCAGACGUACCACUUCACAACCGCAACAAAACGGCUACUAACGCCGCACACGAUCUAUGUGAGCAUCUGGAUAAGCAAGCCGGUGCGGCCAGGUCCAUCUAUGGAUCUAAAGGACACACCCCGGCGAGGGACUAUGGUCACCAGAACGAUCAUACAAACCAAAUACCAGUUCAGAAUAAGCUCCGGACACAGCAACAGCCAACUGCAUGCCACAGCGCGUCCAGAUACAGAGGAGCUACUCACUCCCUGUGCUUCACCGAAGAAGUACUGGACCAUGAAUUCCCACAAGGUUUCAAACCUAUGAACAUAGAGGCAUACGACGAAACGACAGACCCAGGGGUCUGGAUCGAGGAUUUUAUCCUGCAUAUUCACAUGGCUCGUGAGGAUGACCUCCACGCCAUCAAAUACCUUCCCCUCAAGUUGAAGGGACCAGCUCGACACUGGUUGAAAAGCCUCCCUGAAAAUUCAAUUGGGAGUUGGGAGGAACUCGAGGAUGCUUUUAGGGCCAAUUUUCAAGGGACUUAUGUCCGGCCUCCGGAUGCAGACGAUCUAAGUCACAUAAUCCAACAGCCCGAAGAGUCCGCCCGCAAGCUUUGGAACAGAUUCCUCACUAAGAAGAAUCAAAUUAUCGAUUGUCCGGACACCGAAGCCUUAGCGGCAUUCAAACACAGCAUCCGAGACGAAUGGCUCGCCAGACACCUCGGCCAAGAAAAGCCAAGGACAAUGGCAGCCCUAACAAGCCUUAUGACCUGCUUUUGCGCGGGUGAAGAUAGCUGGCUAGCCCGUAAAGGCACCAGCGACCCCAGCACAUCCGAACUAAGGGAUGGCAAUGGGAAGCGACGGCGUAAUAAACAGAGACGCCAAAACAAGGAAGAGAGCCCGGACAACACAAUGGUCAAUGCCGGAUUCAGGGGCUCUCGACCUAAUCAGCAAAAGAAGCCAUUUAAAGGCAGUAAAGAGGGACCGUCCGGUCUGAACAGAGUCCUGGACAGACUGUGCCAAAUUCAUGGCACCCCGAAGAAACCUGCGAACCACACGCAUAGAGAAUGCUGGGUCUUCAAGCAGGCCGGCAAAUUAAAAGCCGAACACAAGGGGAGGGAAACUCCAAGUGAAGACGAGGAUGAACCUCGCCAGCCGAACACUGGGGGACAAAAAAAAUUCCCGCCAGAGGUUAAAACAGUAAAUAUGAUCGACGCGACUCACACAUCCUGACAGGGCACGAACGAACGCUCAGAGACGAGCACGACAUAGAGCUCAUCGUACCCACAUCUAACUACUGGACGUCUUAUCCGAUCACCUUCGAUCACACGGACGGCCGAACUAGUAUUCGGCGCGGAGGAUCAGAGGCCUUGGUGCUUGACCCAAUAAUCAACGGAUACCGUCUCACCCGUGUCCUCAUGGACGGCGGCAGUAGUCUCAAUCUAAUAUACGAGGACACUGUCCGUAGGAUGAGGAUAAACCCAUCCAGAAUUAGCCAAAGCAACACCACCUUUGAAGGGGUGAUACCAGGCAUUGAAGCCUAUGGCAGGGGCUCCGUCGUACUGGAGGUAACAUUUGGGUCCCCAGGCAACUCCAGAAGCGAAGAACUACUCUUCACCAUUGCACCCUUCCAAAGCGGCUAUCAUGCACUGCUUGGAAGAACGGCCUUCGCCCGCUUCAACGCAUUGCCGCACUAUGGCUACCUGAUGUCUACUACACAACCUUCUUCUUGUAGACGUUGUUAGGCCUGCAAGUGCACAACUUUGUAGGACAGUAGAAAAUUUCCCUCAAGUGGAUGACCUAAGGUUUAUCAAUCCGUAGGAGGCGUAGGAUGAAGAUGGUCUCUCUCAAAUAACCCUGCAACCAAAUAACAAAGAGUCUCUUGUGUCCCCAACACACCCAAUACAAUGGUAAUUUGUAUGGGUGCAGUAGUUCUAUGAAGAGAUGAAGAUACAAGUGCAAAAUAGAUAGUAGAUAUAGGUUUUUGUAAUCUGAAAUAAUAAAAACAGCAAGGUAACUAAUGAUAAAAGUGAGCGUAAACGGUAUUGCAAUGAUAGGAAACCAGGCCUAGGGUUCAUACUUUCACUAGUGCAAGUUCUCUCAACAAUAAUAACAUAGAUAGAUCAUAUAACAAUCCCUCAACAUGCAACAAAGAGUCACUCCAAAGACACUAAUAGCGGAGAACGAACGAAGAGAUUAUGGUAGGGCACGAAACCACCUCAAAGUUAUUCUUUCGGAUCAAUCUAUUCAAGAGUUCGUACUAGAAUAACACCUUAAGACACAAAUCAACCAAAACCCUAAUGUCACCUAGAUACUCCAUUGUCACCUCAAGUAUCCGUGGGCAUGAUUAUACGAUAUGCAUCACACAAUCUCAGAUUUAUCUAUUCAACCAACAGAAAGUACUUCAAAGAGUGCCCCAAAGUUUCUACCGGAGAGUCAAGAACGUGUGCCAACCCCUAUGCAUAGGUUCAUGGACGGAACCCGCAAGUUGGUCACCAAAACAUACAUCAAGAGGCACAUGAUAUCCCAUUGUCAUCACAGAUAAGCACGGCAAGACAUACAUCGUGUUCUCAUAAAAGACUCAAUCCGAUAAGAUAACUUCAAAGGGGAAAACUCAAUUCAUCACAAGGGAGUAGAGGGGGAGAAACAUCAUAAGACCCAACUAUAAUAGCAAAGCUCGGAAUACAACAAGAUCGUGCCAUAGAGGGAACACGAGAGAGAACACGAGAGAGAGAGAGAGAGAGAGAGAGAGAUCAAACACAUAGCUACUGGUACAUACCCUCAGCCUCGAGGGUGAACUACUCCCUCCUCGUCAUGGAGAGCGCCGGGAUGACGAAGAUGGCCACCGUUGAAGGAUCCCCCCUCCGGCAGGGUGCCGGUAAGGCCUCCCAAGAGGUUUUUGGUGGCUACAGAGGCUUGCGGCGGCGGAACUCCCGAUCUAUCUUCCCCGUGGAUGUUUUUAGGGUACGUGGGACUAUAUAGGCGAAAGAAGUCGGUCGGGAGAUGCUCGAGGGGUCCACGAGACAGGGGGCGCGCCCAGUAGGGGGGCGCCCUCCUAUCUCGUGGCGUCCUCGAGGCUCUUAUGACGUGAACUCCAAGUCUCCUGGGUGAUAUUCUUCCAAAAAAUCACGUUGCCGAAGGUUUCAUUCCAUUUGGACUCCGUUUGAUAUUCCUUUUCUUCGAAAUACUGAAACAGGGAAUAAAACAGCAAUAUGGGCUGGGCCUCCGGUUAAUAGGUUAGUCCCAAAAGUAAUAUAAAACUGUGUAAUAAAGCCCAUAAUCAUUCAAAACAGAUAAUAUAAUAGCAUGGAACAAUAAAAAAUUAUAGAUACGUUGGAGACGUAUCAAGCAUCCCCAAGCCUAAUUCCUGCUCGUCCUCGAGUAGGUAAAUGAUAAAAACAGAAACUUUGAUGUGGAAUGCUACCUAGCAGGAUUCUCAAUAUAAUUUUCUUUAUUGUGGCAUGAAUGUUCAGAACCAAAUAAUACAAAAUAAAAGUUCAUAUUGACAUAAGAAAUAGUAAUACUUCAAGCAUACUAAGCAAAGUAAUCAUGUCUUCUCAAAAUAACAUGGCCAAAGAAAGUUAUCCCUACAAAAUCAUAUAGUCUGGCUGUUGCUCUAUCUUCAUCACACAAAGUAUUUAAUCAUGCACAACCUCGAUGACGAGCCAAGCAAUUGUUUCAUACUUUAAUAAUCUCAAACUCUUUCAACUUUCACGCAAUACAUGAGCAUGAGCCAUGGACAUAGCACUAUAUGUGGAAUAGAAUGGUGGUUGUGGAGAAGACAAAAAAGGAGAAGAUAGUCUCACAUCAACUAGGCGUAUCAACGGGCUAUGGAGAUGCCCAUUAAUAGAUAUCAAUGUGAGUGAGUAGGGAUUGUCAUGCAACGGAUGCACUAGAGCUAUAAAUAUAUGAAAGCUCAACAAAAGAAAACUAGUGGGUGUGCAUCCAACUUGCUUGCUCAUGAAGACCUAGGGCAUUUUGAGGAAGCCCAUCAUUGGAAUAUACAAGCCAAGUUCUAUAAUGAAAAAUUCCCACUAGUAUAUGAAAGUGACAACAUAUGAGACUCUCUAUCAUGAAGAUCAUGGUGCUAUUUUGAAGCACAAGUGUGGAAAAAGAGAUAGUAGCAUUGUCCCUUCUCUCUUUUUCUCAUUCUCUUUUUUUCUUUUUUUUUCUUUGGCCUUCCUUUUUUUUCUUUUUUGGCCUUCUCUUUUUUUUCUUUUUGGCCUUUCUCUUUUUUUUCUUUUUUUUUCUUUUUGUAAAGUCCGAAGUCUCAUCCCGACUUGUGGGGGAAUCAUAGUCUUCAUCAUUCUUUCCUCACUCAGACAAUGCUCUAAUAAUGAAGAUCAUCACACUUUUAUGGAUUUACAAAUCAAAGCUAGAACAAGAUAUGACUCUAUGUGAAUGCCUCCGGCGGUAUACCGGGAUAUGCAGUGAAUCAAGAGCGACAUGUAUGAAGAUUAAUAUGGUGGCUUUGCCACAAAUACGAUGUCAACUACAUGAUCAUGCAAAGAGCAAUAUGACAAUGAUGGAACGUGUCAUAAUAAACGGAACGGUGGAAAGUUGCAUGGCAAUAUAUCUCGGAAUGGCUAUGGAAAUGCCAUAAUAGGUAGGUAUGGUGGCUGUUUUGAGGGAGGUAUAUGGUGGUUUAUGUGUGAUAGAGCGUAUCGUAUCACGGGGUUUGGAUGCACCGGCGAAGUUUGCACCAACUCUCAAGGUGAGAAAGGGCAAUGCACGGUACCGAAGAGGCUAGCAAUGGUGGAAAGAUAAAAGUGCGUAUAAUCCAUGGACUCAACAUUAGUCAAAAUAACUCAUAUACUUAUUGCAAAAAUUUAGAAGUCAUCAAAAAUCAAGCACUACGCGCAUGCUCCUAGGGGGAUAGAUUGGUAGGAAAAGACCAUCGCUCGUCCCCGACUGCCACUCAUAAGGAAGACAUUCAAUAAAUAAAAUUGUGCUCCAACUUCAUCACAAAGCGGUUCACCAUACGUGCAUGCUACGGUAAUCACAAACUUCAACACAAGCAUUCUUUAGAUCCAUAAUUACCCAACUAGCAUGACUUUAAUAUUACUACCUCCAUAUCUCAAAACAAUUAUCAAGCAUCAAAUUGAUCAUAGCAUCCAAUUCACUUUCUAUCAUAGUUUUCAUUCAAAUUACCAAGCUGUUUAAGACUCUCAAAAUAAUAUAAGUGAAGCAUGAGAGUUCAUUAAUUUCUACAAAAUAAAACCACCGCCGUGCUCUAAAAAGAUAUAAGUGAAGUAUUAGAGCAAACGACAAACUACUCCGAAAGAUAUAAGUGAAGAUCAAAGAGUAGCUAAAUAAUUAUGCAUCUAUGCAAAGACUCUCUCUCAUUACAGAUUUUCAGAUCUUGGUAUCUUAUUCAAACAGCAAGCAAAGCAAAACAAAAUGACAUUGCAAGGAUAGCACAAUUCAUCUGAAUAAGCAAAAACUUAGGCUCAACCGAUACUAACCGAUAGUUGUCGAAGAAGAAAGGUGGGAUUCCUACCGGGGCAUCCCCAAGCUUAGAUGCUUGAGACUUCUUGAAAUAUUAUCUUGGGGUGCCUUGGGCAUCCCCAAGCUUGAGCUUUUGUGUCUCCUUAAUUCCUCUCAUAUCAUGGUUUCUCUUUUUAUCAAAAGCUUCAUCCACAACAAACUCAACAAGAACUCGUGAGAUAGGUUAGUAUAAACCAAUGCAAAACCAUAUCAUCUUCUACUGUAACAAAUCACUAACAUUAUUAUUCAACAUUUAAUACUAAAUGUCUCUGCAUAUUUAAUACUCCUAUCCUAAAAUAGAAUCAUUAAACAAGCAAGCAUAUGCAAACAAUGCAAACAUAACAGCAAUCUGCCAAAACAGUAUAGUCUGUAAAGAAUGCAAGAGUAUCAAUACUUCCCUGACUCCAAAAAUUAUGAACUAAAUUUCCCACUGUAAUAAAUUUAUCAGAGCUUAAUAUGCAAAAAUAUUCAACGUUAUACCAUUCUCUGACUUUUCUAGGGAAUUUUUGCAACAGCGGUAAGUUUUCAAACAGCAACAUGUAUACUAGCAAAAUAAGCAUGGCAAAGGUUAUCCUUAACAUUUUUAUUGAAAAUAAAGAUGAAAAACAUUAUUCCAACUAACAGCAAGCAAAUACUAACAAAAGAAAAUGACGCUCCAAGCAAAACACAUAUCAUGUGGCGAAUAAAAAUAUAGCUCCAAGUAAAGUUACCGAUGAACGAAGACGAAAGAGGGGAUUCCUUCCGGGGCAUCCCCAAGCUUAGUUGCUUUGGUUGUCCUUGAAUAUUACCUUGGGGUGCCUUGGGCAUCCCCAAGCUUAGUUGCUUGGUUGUCCUUGAAUAUUACCUUGGGGUGCAUUGGGCAUCCCGAAGAUUAGGCUCUUGCGACUCCUUAUUCCAUAGUCCAUCGAAUCUUUUACCCAAAACUUGAAAACUUCAACCACGCAAAACUCAAAACAAAACUCGUAAGCUCCGUUAGUAUAAGAAAAUAAAACCACCACUAAGUUACUGUAAUUAACUCAUUCUAAAUUCAUAUUGGUGUAAUAUCUACUGUAUUCUAACUUCUCUAUGGUUCAUACCACUUAAUACUAGCCAUAGAUGCAUCAAAAUAAGCAAACAACACAAUGAAAACAGAAUCUGUCUAAAACAGAACAGUCUGUAGUAAUCUGUAUCAAACGUAUAUCUCUGGAACCCCAAAAAUUAUGAAAUAAAUUUCUGGACCUGAGUAAUUUGUCUAUUAAUCAUAUGAAAAAAGAAUCAACCUAAAAGCACUCUCCAGUAAAAAGUGGCAGCUAUUCUCGUGAGCGCUAAAGUUUCUGUUUUUCACAGCAAGAUCAUAUAAACUUCACCCAAGUCUUCCCAAAGGUUCUACUUGGCACUUCAUUGAAAUAAAAGCUAUAAAACAUGAUUACUACAGUAGAAUAAUCAUGUGGACACACAGAAACAGUAAGGGUAAAUAUUGGGUUGUCUCCCAACAAGCGCUUUUCUUUAAUGCCUUUCUAGCUAGGCAUGAUGAUGGUCAUGAUGCUCACGUAAAAGAUAAGAAUUGAAACAUAACGGGAGCAUCAUGAAGCAUAUGACUAACACAUUUAAGCCUAACCCUCUUCCUAUGCAUAGGGACUUUAUUAGCAAACAACUUAGGGGAACAAUAAUCAACAAGCAUAGGAAGGUAAAACAAGCAUAACUUCAAGAUUUUCAACACAUAGAGAGGAAACUUGACAUUAUUGUAAUUCCUACAAGCAUAAGUUCCUCCCUCAUAAUAAUUUUCAGUAGUAUCAUGAAUGAAUUCAACAAUAUAACCAGGACCUAAAACAUUCUUUUCAUGAUCUACUAGCAUAGAAAAUUUACUACUCUCCACAUAAGCAAAAUUCUUCUCAUGAAUAAUAGUGGGAGCAAACUCAACAAGAUAAUUAUCAUGUGAGGCAUAAUCCAAUUGAAAACUAAAAUCAUGAUGACAAGUUUCAUGGUUAUCAUUAUUCCUAAUAGCAUAUAGGCCAUCACAAUAAUCAUCGUAGAUAGCAACUUUAUUCUCAUAAUCAAUUGCAACCUCUUCCGAAAUAGUGGAAUCAUCACUAAAUAAAGUUGACACUCUUCCAAAUCCACUUUCAUAUUCAUCACAAUAAGAUUCAACAUCCUCCAAAAUAGUGGGAUCACUACUUCCUAAAGUUGACACUCUUCCAAACCCACUUUCAUCAAUAUAAUCAUCACAAAAAGGAGGCAUGCUUUCAUCAUAAUAAAUAUUCUCAUCAAAACUUGGGGGACAAAAAAUAUCAUAUUCAUCAAACAUAGCUUCCCCAAGCUUGUGGAUUUGCAUAUCAUUAGCAUCAUGGAUAUUCAAGAGAUUCAUACUAACAACAUUGCAAUCAUGCUCAUCAUUCAAAGAUAUAGUACCAAACAUUCUAAUGCAUUCUUUUUCUAGCACUUGAGCACAAUUUUCCUUUCCAUCAUUCUCACGAAAGAUAUUAAAAAGACGAAGCGUAUGAGACAAACUUAACUCCAUUUUUUUGUAGUUUUUUUAUAAACUAAACAAGUGAUAAAAACAAGAAACAAAAAGACACGAUUGCAAGAUCUAAAGAUAUACCUUCAAGCACUCACCUCCUCAGCAACGGCGCCAGAAAAGAGCUUAGUUGACGGGGUGUGAGUGAGUGCCCUUUACCUAGCCUCCCCGGCAACGGCGCCAGAAAAGAGCUUGAUGUCUACUACACAGCCUUCUUCUUGUAGACAUUGUUGGGCCUGCAAGUGCACAGGUUUGUAGGACAGUAGCAAAUUUCCCUCAAGUGGAUGACCUAUGGUUUAUCAAUCCGUAGGAGGCGUAGGAUGAAGAUGGUCUCUCUCAAACAACCCUGCAACCAAAUAACAAAGAGUCUCUUGUGUCCCCAACACACCCAAUACAAUGGUAAUUUGUAUGGGUGCACUAGUUCGGCGAAGAGAUGAAGAUACAAGUGCAAAAUAUAUAGUAGAUAUAGGUUUUUUUAAUCUGAAAUAAUAAAAACAGCAAGGUAACUAAUGAUAAAAGUGAGCGUAAACGGUAUUGCAAUGAUAGGAAACAAGGCCUUGGGUUCAUACUUUCACUAGUGCAAGUUCUCUCAACAAUAAUAACAUAGAUAGAUCAUAUAACAAUCCCUCAACAUGCAACAAAGAGUCACUCCAAAGACACUAAUAGUGGAGAACGAACGAAGAGAUUAUGGUAGGGUGCGAAACCACCUCAAAGUUAUUUUUUUGGAUCAAUCUAUUCAAGAGUUCGUACUAGAAUAAUACCUUAAGACACAAAUCAACCAAAACCCUAAUGUCACCUAGAUACUCCAUUGUCACCUCAAGUAUCAGUGGGCAUGAUUAUAUGAUAUGCAUCACACAAUCUCAGAUUCAUCUAUUCAACCAACACAAAGUACUUCAAAGAGUGCCCCAAAGUUUCUACCGGAGAGUCAAGAACGUGUGCCAACCCCUAUGCAUAGGUUCAUGGGCGGAACCCGCAAGUUGGUCACCAAAACAUACAUCAAGAGGCACAUGAUAUCCCAUUGUCACCACAGAUAAGUGAUAUCUACUACACAACCUUCUUCUUGUAGACGUUGUUGGGCCUGCAAGUGCACGGGUUUGUAGGACAGUAGCAAAUUUCCCUCAAGUGGAUGACCUAAGGUUUAUCAAUCCGUAGGAGGCGUAGGAUGAAGAUGGUCUCUCUCAAACAACCCUGCAACCAAAUAACAAAGAGUCUCUUGUGUCCCCAACACACCCAAUACAAUGGUAAAUUGUAUAGGUGCACUAGUUCGGUGAAGAGAUGAAGAUGCAAGUGCAAAAUAGAUGGUAGAUAAAGGUAUUUGUAAUCUGAAAUAAUAAAAACAGCGAGGUAGCGAGCGAUAAAAGUGAGCGUAAACGGUAUUGCAAUGAUAGAAAACAAGGCCUAGGGUUCAUACUUUCACUAGUGCAAGUUCUCUCAACAAUAAUAACAUAGAUAGAUCGUAUAACAAUCCCUCAACAUGCAACAAAGAGUCACUCCGAAGUCACUAAUAGCGGAGAACAAACAUAGAGAUUAUGGUAGAGUACGAAACCACCUCAAAUUUAUUCUUUCGGAUCGAUCUAUAAAAGAGUUCGUACUAGAAUAACACCUUAAGACACAAAUCAACCAAAACCCUAAUUUCACCUAGAUACUCCAUUGUCACCUCAAGUAUCCGUGGGCAUGAUUAUACGAUAUGCGUCACACAAUCUCAGAUUCAUCCAACCAACAUGAAAGUACUUCAAAGAGUGCCCCAAAGCUACUACCGGAUGAUACGUCUCCAACGUAUCUAUAAUUUUUGAUUGCUCCAUGCUACUUUAUCUAUUGUUUUGGACUAUAAUGGGCUUUAUUUUAUACUCUUAUAUUAUUUUUGGUACUAACCUAUUAACCGGAGGCCCAGCCCAGAAUUGCUGCUUUUUUGCCUAUUUCAGUGUUUCGAAGAAACGGAAUAUCAAACGGAGUCCAAACGGAAUGAAACCUUCGGGAACGUGAUCUUCUCACCGAACGUGAUCCAGGAGACUUGGACCCUACUCCAAGGAGUGCCAGAGGCGGUCACGAGGGUGGGGGGCACGCCCUUACCCCCUGGGCGCGCCCCCCUACCUCGUGGGCCCCCUGACGCUCCACCGACGUACUCCUUCCUCCUAUAUAUACCUACUUACCCCCAACAGAUCGGGGACGGACCCAAAAUCCUAAUUCCACCGCCGUAACUUCCUGUAUCCACGAGAUCCCAUCUUGGGGCCUGUUCCGGAGCUCCGCCGAAGGGGGCAUCUACCACAGAGGGCUUCUACAUCAUCACCAUAGCCCCUCCGAUGAAGUGUGAGUAGUUUACUUCAGACCUUCGGGUCCAUAGUUAGUAGCUAGAUGGUUUCUUCUCUCUUUUUGGAUCUCAAUACAAUGUUCUCCCCCUCUCUCGUGGAGAUCUAUUCGAUGUAACCUUCUUUUUGCGGUGUGUUUGUUGAGACCGAUGAAUUGUGGGUUUAUGAUCCAACUUACCUAUGGAAAAUAUUUGAUUCUUCUCUGAAUUCUUUUAUGUAUGAUUGAUUUAUCUUUGCAAGUCUCUUAGAAUUAUCCGUUUGGUUUGGCCAACUAGAUUGGUAGUUCUUGCAAUGGGAGAAGUGCUUAGCUUUGGGUUCAAUCUUGCGGUGACCUUACCCAGUGACAGAAAGGGUUGCAAGGCACGUAUUGUAUUGUUGCCAUCGAGGAUAACAAGAUGGGGUAUUUAUCAUAUUGCAUCAAUUUAUUCCUCUACAUCAUGUCAUUUUGCUUAAGGCGUUACUCUGUUUUUAACUUAAUACUCUAGAUGCAUGCUGGAUAGCGGUCGAUGAGUGGAGUAAUAGUAGUAGAUGCAGAAUCGUUUCGGUCUACUUGUCACGGACGUGAUGCCUAUAUACAUGAGCAUUGCCUGGAUAACCUCAUAACUAUGCUCAAUUCUGUCAAUUGCUCAACGGUAAUUUGUUCACCCACCGUAGAAUACUUAUGCUCUUGAGAGAAGCCGCUAGUGAAACCUAUGGCCCCCGGGUCUAUUCUCAUCAUAUCAAUCUCUAUCACUUUAUUUACUUGCUUUUCUUUUACUUUUUACUUUGCAUCUUUAUAGCAAAAAUACCAAAAAUAUUAUCUGUAUCAGAUCUCACCCUCGUAAGUGACUGUGAAGGGAUUGACAACCCCUAAGCGUUGGUUGCGAGUAGCUAUCAUUUUGUGCAGGUACGAGGGACUUGCGCGUGGUCUCCUACUAGAUUGAUACCUUGGUUCUCAAAAACUGAGGGAAAUACUUACGCUACUUUGCUGCAUCAUCCUCUCCUCUUCGGGGAAAUCCAACUCAAGCUCGAGACGUAGCACCGGAGAGUCAAGAACGUGUGCCAACCCCUAUGCAUAGGUUCAUGGGCGGAACCCGCAAGUUGGUCACCAAAACAUACAUCAAGAGGCACAUGAUAUCCCAUUGUCACCACAGAUAAGUGAUAUCUACUACACAACCUUCUUCUUGUAGACGUUGUUGGGCCUGCAAGUGCACGGGUUUGUAGGACAGUAGCAAAUUUCCCUCAAGUGGAUGACCUAAGGUUUAUCAAUCCGUAGGAGGCGUAGGAUGAAGAUGGUCUCUCUCAAACAACCCUGCAACCAAAUAACAAAGAGUCUCUUGUGUCCCCAACACACCCAAUACAAUGGUAAAUUGUAUAGGUGCACUAGUUCGGUGAAGAGAUGAAGAUGCAAGUGCAAAAUAGAUGGUAGAUAAAGGUAUUUGUAAUCUGAAAUAAUAAAAACAGCGAGGUAGCGAGCGAUAAAAGUGAGCGUAAACGGUAUUGCAAUGAUAGAAAACAAGGCCUAGGGUUCAUACUUUCACUAGUGCAAGUUCUCUCAACAAUAAUAACAUAGAUAGAUCGUAUAACAAUCCCUCAACAUGCAACAAAGAGUCACUCCGAAGUCACUAAUAGCGGAGAACAAACAUAGAGAUUAUGGUAGAGUACGAAACCACCUCAAAUUUAUUCUUUCGGAUCGAUCUAUAAAAGAGUUCAUACUAGAAUAACACCUUAAGACACAAAUCAACCAAAACCCUAAUUUCACCUAGAUACUCCAUUGUCACCUCAAGUAUCCGUGGGCAUGAUUAUACGAUAUGCGUCACACAAUCUCAGAUUCAUCCAACCAACAUGAAAGUACUUCAAAGAGUGCCCCAAAGCUACUACCGGAUGAUACGUCUCCAACGUAUCUAUAAUUUUUUAUUGCUCCAUGCUACUUUAUCUAUUGUUUUGGACUAUAAUGGGCUUUAUUUUAUACUCUUAUAUUAUUUUUGGUACUAACCUAUUAACCGGAGGCCCAGCCCAGAAUUGCUGCUUUUUUGCCUAUUUCAGUGUUUCGAAGAAACGGAAUAUCAAACGGAGUCCAAACGGAAUGAAACCUUCGGGAACGUGAUCUUCUCACCGAACGUGAUCCAGGAGACUUGGACCCUACUCCAAGGAGUGCCAGAGGCGGUCACGAGGGUGGGGGGCACGCCCUUACCCCCUGGGCGCGCCCCCCUACCUCGUGGGCCCCCUGACGCUCCACCGACGUACUCCUUCCUCCUAUAUAUACCUACUUACCCCCAACAGAUCGGGGACGGACCCAAAAUCCUAAUUCCACCGCCGUAACUUCCUGUAUCCACGAGAUCCCAUCUUGGGGCCUGUUCCGGAGCUCCGCCGAAGGGGGCAUCUACCACAGAGGGCUUCUACAUCAUCACCAUAGCCCCUCCGAUGAAGUGUGAGUAGUUUACUUCAGACCUUCGGGUCCAUAGUUAGUAGCUAGAUGGUUUCUUCUCUCUUUUUGGAUCUCAAUACAAUGUUCUCCCCCUCUCUCGUGGAGAUCUAUUCGAUGUAACCUUCUUUUUGCGGUGUGUUUGUUGAGACCGAUGAAUUGUGGGUUUAUGAUCCAACUUACCUAUGGAAAAUAUUUGAUUCUUCUCUGAAUUCUUUUAUGUAUGAUUGAUUUAUCUUUGCAAGUCUCUUAGAAUUAUCCGUUUGGUUUGGCCAACUAGAUUGGUAGUUCUUGCAAUGGGAGAAGUGCUUAGCUUUGGGUUCAAUCUUGCGGUGACCUUACCCAGUGACAGAAAGGGUUGCAAGGAACGUAUUGUAUUGUUGCCAUCGAGGAUAACAAGAUGGGGUAUUUAUCAUAUUGCAUCAAUUUAUUCCUCUACAUCAUGUCAUUUUGCUUAAGGCGUUACUCUGUUUUUAACUUAAUACUCUAGAUGCAUGCUGGAUAGCGGUCGAUGAGUGGAGUAAUAGUAGUAGAUGCAGAAUCGUUUCGGUCUACUUGUCACGGACGUGAUGCCUAUAUACAUGAGCAUUGCCUGGAUAACCUCAUAACUAUGCUCAAUUCUGUCAAUUGCUCAACGGUAAUUUGUUCACCCACCGUAUAAUACUUAUGCUCUUGAGAGAAGCCGCUAGUGAAACCUAUGGCCCCCGGGUCUAUUCUCAUCAUAUCAAUCUCUAUCACUUUAUUUACUUGCUUUUCUUUUACUUUUUACUUUGCAUCUUUAUAGCAAAAAUACCAAAAAUAUUAUCUGUAUCAGAUCUCACCCUCGUAAGUGACUGUGAAGGGAUUGACAACCCCUAAGCGUUGGUUGCGAGUAGCUAUCAUUUUGUGCAGGUACGAGGGACUUGCGCGUGGUCUCCUACUAGAUUGAUACCUUGGUUCUCAAAAACUGAGGGAAAUACUUACGCUACUUUGCUGCAUCAUCCUCUCCUCUUCGGGGAAAUCCAACUCAAGCUCGAGACGUAGCACCGGAGAGUCAAGAACGUGUGCCAACCCCUAUGCAUAGGUUCAUGGGCGGAACCCGCAAGUUGGUCACCAAAACAUACAUCAAGAGGCACAUGAUAUCCCAUUGUCACCACAGAUAAGUGAUAUCUACUACACAACCUUCUUCUUGUAGACGUUGUUGGGCCUGCAAGUGCACGGGUUUGUAGGACAGUAGCAAAUUUCCCUCAAGUGGAUGACCUAAGGUUUAUCAAUCCGUAGGAGGCGUAGGAUGAAGAUGGUCUCUCUCAAACAACCCUGCAACCAAAUAACAAAGAGUCUCUUGUGUCCCCAACACACCCAAUACAAUGGUAAAUUGUAUAGGUGCACUAGUUCGGUGAAGAGAUGAAGAUGCAAGUGCAAAAUAGAUGGUAGAUAAAGGUAUUUGUAAUCUGAAAUAAUAAAAACAGCGAGGUAGCGAGCGAUAAAAGUGAGCGUAAACGGUAUUGCAAUGAUAGAAAACAAGGCCUAGGGUUCAUACUUUCACUAGUGCAAGUUCUCUCAACAAUAAUAACAUAGAUAGAUCGUAUAACAAUCCCUCAACAUGCAACAAAGAGUCACUCCGAAGUCACUAAUAACGGAGAACAAACAUAGAGAUUAUGGUAGAGUACGAAACCACCUCAAAUUUAUUCUUUCGGAUCGAUCUAUAAAAGAGUUCGUACUAGAAUAACACCUUAAGACACAAAUCAACCAAAACCCUAAUUUCACCUAGAUACUCCAUUGUCACCUCAAGUAUCCGUGGGCAUGAUUAUACGAUAUGCGUCACACCAUCUCAGAUUCAUCCAACCAACAUGAAAGUACUUCAAAGAGUGCCCCAAAGCUACUACCGGAUGAUACGUCUCCAACGUAUCUAUAAUUUUUGAUUGCUCCAUGCUACUUUAUCUAUUGUUUUGGACUAUAAUGGGCUUUAUUUUAUACUCUUAUAUUAUUUUAGGUACUAACCUAUUAACCGGAGGCCCAGCCCAGAAUUGCUGCUUUUUUGCCUAUUUCAGUGUUUCGAAGAAACGGAAUAUCAAACGGAGUCCAAACGGAAUGAAACCUUCGGGAACGUGAUCUUCUCACCGAACGUGAUCCAGGAGACUUGGACCCUACUCCAAGGAGUGCCAGAGGCGGUCACGAGGGUGGGGGGCACGCCCUUACCCCCUGGGCGCGCCCCCCUACCUCGUGGGCCCCCUGACGCUCCACCGAUGUACUCCUUCCUCCUAUAUAUACCUACUUACCCCCAACAGAUCGGGGACGGACCCAAAAUCCUAAUUCCACCGCCGUAACUUCCUGUAUCCACGAGAUCCCAUCUUGGGGCCUGUUCCGGAGCUCCGCCGAAGGGGGCAUCUACCACAGAGGGCUUCUACAUCAUCACCAUAGCCCCUCCGAUGAAGUGUGAGUAGUUUACUUCAGACCUUCGGGUCCAUAGUUAGUAGCUAGAUGGUUUCUUCUCUCUUUUUGGAUCUCAAUACAAUGUUCUCCCCCUCUCUCGUGGAGAUCUAUUCGAUGUAACCUUCUUUUUGCGGUGUGUUUGUUGAGACCGAUGAAUUGUGGGUUUAUGAUCCAACUUACCUAUGGAAAAUAUUUGAUUCUUCUCUGAAUUCUUUUAUGUAUGAUUGAUUUAUCUUUGCAAGUCUCUUAGAAUUAUCCGUUUGGUUUGGCCAACUAGAUUGGUAGUUCUUGCAAUGGGAGAAGUGCUUAGCUUUGGGUUCAAUCUUGCGGUGACCUUACCCAGUGACAGAAAGGGUUGCAAGGCACGUAUUGUAUUGUUGCCAUCGAGGAUAACAAGAUGGGGUAUUUAUCAUAUUGCAUCAAUUUAUUCCUCUACAUCAUGUCAUUUUGCUUAAGGCGUUACUCUAUUUUUAACUUAAUACUCUAGAUGCAUGCUGGAUAGCGGUCGAUGAGUGGAGUAAUAGUAGUAGAUGCAGAAUCGUUUCGGUCUACUUGUCACGGACGUGAUGCCUAUAUACAUGAGCAUUGCCUGGAUAACCUCAUAACUAUGCUCAAUUCUGUCAAUUGCUCAAUGGUAAUUUGUUCACCCACCGUAGAAUACUUAUGCUCUUGAGAGAAGCCGCUAGUGAAACCUAUGGCCCCCGGGUCUAUUCUCAUCAUAUCAAUCUCUAUCACUUUAUUUACUUGCUUUUCUUUUACUUUUUACUUUGCAUCUUUAUAGCAAAAAUACCAAAAAUAUUAUCUGUAUCAGAUCUCACCCUCGUAAGUGACUGUGAAGGGAUUGACAACCCCUAAGCGUUGGUUGCGAGUAGCUAUCAUUUUGUGCAGGUACGAGGGACUUGCGCGUGGUCUCCUACUAGAUUGAUACCUUGGUUCUCAAAAACUGAGGGAAAUACUUACGCUACUUUGCUGCAUCAUCCUCUCCUCUUCGGGGAAAUCCAACUCAAGCUCGAGACGUAGCACCGGAGAGUCAAGAACGUGUGCCAACCCCUAUGCAUAGGUUCAUGGGCGGAACCCGCAAGUUGGUCACCAAAACAUACAUCAAGAGGCACAUGAUAUCCCAUUGUCACCACAGAUAAGUGAUAUCUACUACACAACCUUCUUCUUGUAGACGUUGUUGGGCCUGCAAGUGCACGGGUUUGUAGGACAGUAGCAAAUUUCCCUCAAGUGGAUGACCUAAGGUUUAUCAAUCCGUAGGAGGCGUAGGAUGAAGAUGGUCUCUCUCAAACAACCCUGCAACCAAAUAACAAAGAGUCUCUUGUGUCCCCAACACACCCAAUACAAUGGUAAAUUGUAUAGGUGCACUAGUUCGGUGAAGAGAUGAAGAUGCAAGUGCAAAAUAGAUGGUAGAUAAAGGUAUUUGUAAUCUGAAAUAAUAAAAACAGCGAGGUAGCGAGCGAUAAAAGUGAGCGUAAACGGUAUUGCAAUGAUAGAAAACAAGGCCUAGGGUUCAUACUUUCACUAGUGCAAGUUCUCUCAACAAUAAUAACAUAGAUAGAUCGUAUAACAAUCCCUCAACAUGCAACAAAGAGUCACUCCGAAGUCACUAAUAGCGGAGAACAAACAUAUAGAUUAUGGUAGAGUACGAAACCACCUCAAAUUUAUUCUUUCGGAUCGAUCUAUAAAAGAGUUCGUACUAGAAUAACACCUUAAGACACAAAUCAUCCAAAACCCUAAUUUCACCUAGAUACUCCAUUGUCACCUCAAGUAUCCGUGGGCAUGAUUAUACGAUAUGCGUCACACAAUCUCAGAUUCAUCCAACCAACAUGAAAGUACUUCAAAGAGUGCCCCAAAGCUACUACCGGAUGAUACGUCUCCAACGUAUCUAUAAUUUUUGAUUGCUCCAUGCUACUUUAUCUAUUGUUUUGGACUAUAAUGGGCUUUAUUUUAUACUCUUAUAUUAUUUUUGGUACUAACCUAUUAACCGGAGGCCCAGCCCAGAAUUGCUGCUUUUUUGCCUAUUUCAGUGUUUCGAAGAAACGGAAUAUCAAACGGAGUCCAAACGGAAUGAAACCUUCGGGAACGUGAUCUUCUCACCGAACGUGAUCCAGGAGACUUGGACCCUACUCCAAGGAGUGCCAGAGGCGGUCACGAGGGUGGGGGGCACGCCCUUACCCCCUGGGCGCGCCCCCCUACCUCGUGGGCCCCCUGACGCUCCACCGACGUACUCCUUCCUCCUAUAUAUACCUACUUACCCCCAACAGAUCGGGGACGGACCCAAAAUCCUAAUUCCACCGCCGUAACUUCCUGUAUCCACGAGAUCCCAUCUUGGGGCCUGUUCCGGAGCUCCGCCGAAGGGGGCAUCUACCACAGAGGGCUUCUACAUCAUCACCAUAGCCCCUCCGAUGAAGUGUGAGUAGUUUACUUCAGACCUUCGGGUCCAUAGUUAGUAGCUAGAUGGUUUCUUCUCUCUUUUUGGAUCUCAAUACAAUGUUCUCCCCCUCUCUCGUGGAGAUCUAUUCGAUGUAACCUUCUUUUUGCGGUGUGUUUGUUGAGACCGAUGAAUUGUGGGUUUAUGAUCCAACUUACCUAUGGAAAAUAUUUGAUUCUUCUCUGAAUUCUUUUAUGUAUGAUUGAUUUAUCUUUGCAAGUCUCUUAGAAUUAUCCGUUUGGUUUGGCCAACUAGAUUGGUAGUUCUUGCAAUGGGAGAAGUGCUUAGCUUUGGGUUCAAUCUUGCGGUGACCUUACCCAGUGACAGAAAGGGUUGCAAGGCACGUAUUGUAUUGUUGCCAUCGAGGAUAACAAGAUGGGGUAUUUAUCAUAUUGCAUCAAUUUAUUCCUCUACAUCAUGUCAUUUUGCUUAAGGCGUUACUCUGUUUUUAACUUAAUACUCUAGAUGCAUGCUGGAUAGCGGUCGAUGAGUGGAGUAAUAGUAGUAGAUGCAGAAUCGUUUCGGUCUACUUGUCACGGACGUGAUGCCUAUAUACAUGAGCAUUGCCUGGAUAACCUCAUAACUAUGCUCAAUUCUGUCAAUUGCUCAACGGUAAUUUGUUCACCCACCGUAGAAUACUUAUGCUCUUGAGAGAAGCCGCUAGUGAAACCUAUGGCCCCCGGGUCUAUUCUCAUCAUAUCAAUCUCUAUCACUUUAUUUACUUGCUUUUCUUUUACUUUUUACUUUGCAUCUUUAUAGCAAAAAUACCAAAAAUAUUAUCUGUAUCAGAUCUCACCCUCGUAAGUGACUGUGAAGGGAUUGACAACCCCUAAGCGUUGGUUGCGAGUAGCUAUCAUUUUGUGCAGGUACGAGGGACUUGCGCGUGGUCUCCUACUAGAUUGAUACCUUGGUUCUCAAAAACUGAGGGAAAUACUUACGCUACUUUGCUGCAUCAUCCUCUCCUCUUCGGGGAAAUCCAACUCAAGCUCGAGACGUAGCACCGGAGAGUCAAGAACGUGUGCCAACCCCUAUGCAUAGGUUCCCAAUGUCACAAAACCCGCAAGUUGAUCACCAAAACAUACAUCAAGUGGAUCGCAAGACAUACAUCAAGUGUUCUCAUAAAAGACUCAAUCCGAUAAAAUAACUUCAAAGGGGAAACUCAACUCAUCACAAGAGAGUAGAGGGGAAGAAACAUCAUAAGAUCCAACUACAAUAGCAAAGCUCGGGAUACAUCAAGAUCGUGCCAUAGUGGGAACCCGAGAGAGAACACGAGAGAGAUAUCAAACACAUAGCUACUGGUACAUACCCUCAGCCCCGAGGGUGAACUACUCCCUCCUCGUCAUGGAUAGCGCCGGGAUGAUGAAGAUGGCCACCGGUGAAGGAUCCCCCCUCAGGCAGGGUGCCGGGAAGGGCUCCCGAGAGGUUUUUGGUGGCUACAGAGGCUUGCGGCGGCGGAAAUCCUGAUCUAUCUUCUGUUCUGGAUGUUUUACGAUACGUAAGUAUAUAUGGGUGCAAGGGAUACGUCAGUGGACCGAAGGGGGGCCACGAGGCAGGGGGUGCGCCUAGGGGGGUGGGCCUGGGGCGCGCCCCCCACCCUCGUGAGCACCUCCCUUCUUUCCUGACGUCCACUCCAAGUCCAUUGGGUGGCUUUCCUUCCAGAAAUAACUUCUCCAGUUGAUUUCGUUCCGUUUUGACUCCGUCUGAUAUUCAUUUUCCUCGAAACACUGAAAUAGGCAUAAAACAACAAAUCUGGGUUGGGCCUCCGGUUAAUAGGUUAGUCCCAAAAAUAAUAUAAAAGUGGAUAAUAAAGCCCAAUGUUGCCUAAAACAGUAGAUAAAAUAGCAUGGAGCAAUCAAAAAUUAUAGAUACGUUGGAGACGUAUCAAGCAUCCCCAAGCUUAAUUCCUGCUCGUCCUCGAGUAGGUAAAUGAUAAAAGAGAAUUUAUGAUGCGGAGUGAUACUUUGGCAUAAUUUCAAUGUAAAUCUUCUUAAUUGUGGUAUGAAUAUUCAGAUCCGAAAGAUUCAAGACAAAAGUUCAUAUUGACAUAAAAAUAAUAAUACUUCAAGCAUACUAACUAAGCAAUUAUGUCUUCUCAAAAUAACAUGGCCAAAGAAAGUUAUCCAUACAAAAUCAUAUAGUCUGGCUAAGCUCUAUCUUCAUCACACAAAGUAUUUAAUCAUGCACAACCAAGUUGACGAGCCAAGCAAUUGUUUCAUACUUUAAUAAUGUCAAACUUUUUCAACUUUCACGCAAUACAUGAGCGUGAGCCAUGGACAUAGCACUAUAGGUGGAAUAGAAUGGUGGUUGUGGAGAAGACAAAAAGGAGGAGAUAGUCUCACAUCAACUAGGCGUAUCAACGGGCUAUGGAGAUGCCCAUUAAUAGAUAUCAAUGUGAGUGAGUAGGGAUUGCCAUGCAACGGAUGCACUAGAGCUAUAAGUAUAUGAAAGCUCAACAAAAGAAACUAAGUGGGUGUGCAUCCAACUUGCUUGCUCACGAAGACCUAGGGCACUUUUGAGGAAGCCCAUCAUUGGAAUAUAGAAGCCAAGUUCUAUAAUGAAAAAUUCCCACUAGUAUAUGAAAGUGACAACAUAUGAGACUCUCUAUCAUGAAGAUCACGGUGCUACUUUGAAGCACAAGUGUGGUAAAAGGAUAGUAGCAUUGUCCCUUCUCUCUUUUUCUCUCAUUUUUUUAUUGGGCCUUUUCUCUCUCUUUUUUAUGGCCACUCUUUUUUUCGUCCGGAGUCUCAUCCCGACUUAUGGGGGAAUCAUAGUCUCCAUCAUCCUUUCCUCACUGAGACAAUGCUCUAAUAAUGAUGAUCAUCACACUUUUAUUUUUCUUACAACUCAACAAUUACAACUCGAUACUUAGAACAAAAUAUGACUCUAUAUGAAUGCCUCCGGCGGUGUACCGGGAUAUGCAAUGAAUCAAGAGCGACAUGUAUGAAAAUUAUGAAGGUGGCCUUGCCACAAAUACAAUGUCAACUACAUGUUCAUGCAAAAAGCAAUAUGACAAAAGUAAUGUGUGUCAUAUGAAUGAAACGAUGGAAAGUUGCAUGGCAAUAUAUCUCGGAAUGGCUAUGGUAAUGCCAUAAUAGGUAGGUAUGGUGGCUGUUUUGAGGAAGGUAUAUGGUGGGUGUAUGGUACCGGCGAAUGUUGCGCGGCACAAGAGAGGCUAGCAAUAAUGGAAGGGUGAAAGGGUGCGUAUAAUCCAUGGACUCAACAUUAAUCAAAAGAACUCAUGCACUUGUUGCAAAAAUUUAGAGGUCAUCAAAAACCAAAGCACUACGCGCAUGCUCCUAGGGGGAUAGAUUGGUAGGAAAAGACCAUCGCUCAUCCCCGACCGCCACACAUAAGGAAGACAAUCAAUAAAUAAAAUUGUGCUCCAACUUCAUCACAAAGCGGUUCACCAUAUGUGCAUGCUACGGGAAUCACAAACUUCAACACAAGCAUUCUUUAAAUUCAUAAUCACCCAACUAGCAUCACUUUGAUAUUAUCACCUCCAUAUCUCAAAACAUUUAUCAAGCAUCAAACUUAUCUUAGUAUUCAACGCACUCAAAAGAAAGUUUCACAUAUCUUGAAUGCCAAGUAUCUUAAUGUUAAGUAAGUUACCAUGCUAUUAAAGACUCUGAAAAAAAUAUAAGUGAAGCAUGAGAGUUCAUCUGUUUCUUCAAAAUAAAACCACCAUUGUGCUCUAAAAGAUAUAAGUGAAAUACUAGAGCAAACGACAAACUACUCUGAAAGAUAUAAGUGAAGAUCAAUGAGUAGCUAAAUAAUUAUGCAACUAUGCAAAGACUCUCUCUCAUUAAAGAACUUCAGAUCUUGGUAUCUUAUUCAAACAGCAAGCAAAGCAAAAUAAAAUGACAAUGCAAGGAUAGCACAACUCAUGUGAAGAAGCAAAAACUUAGGCUCAACCGAUACUAACCGAUAGUGAUUGAAGAAGAAAGGUGGGAUGCCUACCGGGGCAUCCCCAAGCUUAGAUGCUUGAGACUUCUUGAAAUAUUAUCUUGGGGUGCCUUGGGCAUCCCCAAGCUUGAGCUUUUAUGUCUCCUUAAUUCCUCUCAUAUCAUGGUUUCUCUUCCUUUAUCAAAAGCUUCAUUCACAACAAACUCAACAAGAACUCGUGAGAUAGGUUAGUAUAAACCAAUGCAAAACCAUAGCAUCUUCUACUGUAACAAACCACUAACAUUAUUAUUCAACAUUGCAUACUAAAUGCCUCUGUAUAUUUAAUACUCCUAUCCUCAAAUAGAAUCAUUAAACAAGCAAACAUACGCAAACAAUGCAAACAUAACACCAAUCUGCCAAAAUAGUACAGUCUGUAAAGAAUGCAAGAGUAACAAUACUUCCCUGACUCCAAAAAUUAUGAACUAAAAUUCGCACUGUAAAAAUUUAUCAGAUCUUAAUAUGCAAAAAUAUUCAACAUUAUACCAUUCUCUGACUUUUCUAGGGAAUUUUUGCAACAGCGGUAAACUUUCUGUUUUCAAACAGCAACAUGUAUACUAGCAAAAUAAGCAUGGCAAAGGCUAUCCUUGACUUUUUUAUUGAAACUAAAGAUACAAAACAUUAUUCUAAUUAACAGCAAGCAAAAACUAGCAAAAUAAUAUGACGCUCCAAGCAAAACACAUAUCAUGUGGCGAAUAAAAAUAUAGCUCCAAGUAAAGUUACCGAUGAACGAAGACGAAAGAGAGGAUGCCAUCCGGGGCAUCCCCAAGCUUAGUUGCUUGAUUGUCCUUGAAUAUUACCUUGGGGUGCCUUGGGAAUCCCCAAUCUUAGGCUCUUUCCACUCCUUAUUCCAUAAUCCAUCGAAUCUUUACCCAAAACUUGAAAACCUCAACCACACAAAACUCAAAACAAAACUCGUAAGCUCCGUUAGUAUAAGAAAAUAAAUCACCACUUAGGUACUGUAAUGAACUCAUUCUAAAUUAAUAUUGGUGUAAUAUCUACUGUAUUAUAACUUCUCUAUGGUUCAUACCACUUAAUACUAGCCAUAGAUGCACCAAAAUAAGCAAACAACACAAUGAAAACAGAAUCUGUCAAAAACAGAAUAGUCUGUAGUAAUCUGUAUCAAAUGUAUACCUCUGGAACACCACAAAUUAUGAAAUAAAUUUCUGGACCUGAAUAAUUUGUCUAUUAAUCAUCUGAAAAAAGAAUCAACCUAAAAUCACUUUUCAGUAAAAAAUGGCAGCCAUUCUCGUGAGCGCAAAAGUUUCUGUUUUCUACAGCAAGAUCAUUUAAACUUCACCCAAGUCUUCCCAAAGGUUCUACUUGGCACUUCAUUGAAAUAAAAUCUAUAAAACAUGAUUACUACAGUAGAAUAAUAAUGUGGACACACAAAAACAGUAAGGUUAAAUAUUGGGUUGUCUCCCAACAAGCGCUUUUCUUUAAUGCCUUUCUAGCUAGGCAUGAUGAUGACAAUGAUGCUCACAUAAAAGAUAAGAAUUGAAACAUAACGGGAGCAUCAUGAAGCAUAUGACUAGCACAUUUAGGCCUAACCCUCUUCCUAUGCAUAGGGACUUUGUGAGCAAACAACUUAGGGGAACAAUAAUCAACAAGGAUAGGAAGGUAAAACAAGCAUAACUUCAAGAUUUUCCACACAUAGAGAGGAAACUUGACAUUAUUUUAAUUCCUACAAGCAUAAGUUCCUCCCUCAUAAUAAUUUUCAGUAGUAUCAUGAAUGAAUUCAACAAUAUAACCAGGACCUAAAGCAUUCUUUUCAUGAUCUACUAGCAUAGAAAAUUUACUACUCUCCACAUAAGCAAAAUUCUUCUCAUGAAUAAUAGUGGGAGCAAACUCAACAAAAUAACUAUCACAUGAUUGAAAAUUAAGAUCAAGAUGACAAGUUUCAUGGUUAUCAUUAUUCUUUAAAGCAUACGCGUCAUCACAAUAAUCAUCAUAGAUAGGAGGCAUGCUUUCAUCAUAGUAAAUUUGCUCAUCAAAGCUUGGGGGACAAAAAAUAUCAUCUCCAUCAAACAUAGCUUCCCCAAGCUUGUGGCUUUGCAUAUCAUUAGCAUCAUGGAUAUUCAGGGAAUUCAUACUAACAACAUUGCAAUCAUGCUCAUCAUUCACAUAUUUCAUGCCAAGCAUUCUAUGUAAUUCUUCUUCUAGCACUUGAGCACAAUUUUCCUUUCCAUCAUACUCACGAAAGAUAUUAAAAAGACAAAGCGUAUGAGACAAACUUAACUCAAUUUUUUGUAGUUUUCUUUUAUAAACUAAACUAGUGAUAAAACAAGAAACGAAAAGAUUCGAUUGCAAGAUCUAAAGAUAUACCUUCAAGCACUCACCUCCCCAAAAAAGAGCUUAGUUGACGGAGUGUGAGUACCCUUUACCUAGCUUCCCCGGCAACGGCGCCAGAAAAGAGCUUGAUGUCUACUACACAACCUUCUUCUUGUAGACGUUGUUGGGCCUGCAAGUGCACAGGUUUGUAGGAUACUAGCAAAUUUCCCUCAAGUGGAUGACCUAAGGUUUAGCAAUCCCUAGGAGGCAUAGGAUGAAGAUGGUCUCUCUCAAACAACCCUGCAACCAAAUAACAAAGAGUCUCUUGUGUCCCCAACACACCCAAUACAAUGGUAAAUUGUAUAGGUGCACUAGUCCGGCGAAGAGAUGAAGAUGCAAGUGCAAAAUAGAUGGUAGAUAAAGGUAUUUGUAAUCUGAAAUAAUAAAAACAGCAAAGUAGCGAGCGAUAAAAGUGAGCGUAAACGGUAUUGCAAUGAUAGGAAGCAAGGCCUAGGGUUCAUACUUUCACUAGUGCAAGUUCUCUCAACAAUAAUAACAUAGAUAGAUCGUAUAACAAUCCCUCAACAUGCAACAAAGAGUCACUCCGAAGCCACUAAUAGCGGAGAACAAACGUAGAGAUUAUGGUAGGGUACGAAACCACCUCAAAGUUAUUCUUUCGGAUCGAUCUAUUCAAGAGUUUUUACUAGAAUAACACCUUAAGGCACAAAUCAACCAAAACCCUAAUGUCACCUAGAUACUCCAUUGUCACCUCAAGUAUCCGUGGGCAUGAUUAUAUGAUAUGCGUCACACAAUCUCAGAUUCAUCCAACCAACAUGAAAGUACUUCAAAGAGUGCCCCAAAGCUACUACCGGAGAGUCAAGAACGUGUGCCAACCCCUAUGCAUAGGUUCCCAAUGUCACGAAACCCGCAGGUUGAUCACCAAAACUCAUCAAGUGGAUCGCAAGACAUACAUCAAGUGUUCUCAUAAAAGACUCUAUCCGAUAAAAUAACUUCAAAGGGCAAACUCAAUUCAUCACAAGAGAGUAGAGGGGGAGAAACAUCAUAAGAUCCAACUACAAUAGCAAAGCUCGGGAUACAUCAAGAUCGUGCCAUAGUGGGAACACGAGAGAGAACUUGAGAGAGAGAGAUCAAACACAUAGCUACUGGUACAUACCCUCAGCCCCGAGGGUGAACUACUCCCUCCUCGUCAUGGAUAGCGUCGGGAUGAUGAAGAUGGCCACCGGUGAAGGAUCCCCCCUCCGGCAGGGUGCCGGGAAGGGCUCCCGAGAGGUUUUUGGUGGCUACAGAGGCUUGCGGCAGCGGAACUCCCGAUCUAUCUUCUGUUCUGGAAGUUUUACGAUACGUAGGUACAUAUGGGUGCAAGGGGUACGUCGAUGGACCGAAGGAGGGGGGCCACGAGGCAGGGGCGCGCCCCCCACCCUCGUGAGCACCUCCCUUCUUUCCUGACGUGCACUCCAAGUCCAUCGGGUGGAUUUCCUUCCAAAAAUAACUUCUCCAGUUGAUUUCGUUCCGUUUUGACUCCGUCUGAUAUUCCUUUUCCUCGAAACAGAGAAAUAGGCAUAAAACAUCAAAUCUGGGCUGGGCCUCCGGUUAAUAGGUUAGUCCCAAAAAUAAUAUGAAAGUGGAUAAUAAAGCCCAAUAUUGCCUAAACAGUAGAUAAAAUAGCAUGGAGCAAUCAAAAAUUAUAGAUACGUUGGAGACGUAUCAAUAAGCAUGGCAAGACAUACAUCAAGUGUUCUCAUAAAAAACUCAAUCCGAUAAGAUAACUUCAAAGGGGAAAACUCAAUUCAUCACAAGAGAGUAGAGGGGGAGAAACAUCAUAAGAUCCAACUACAAUAGCAAAGCUCGGGAUACAUCAAGAUCGUGCCAUAGAGGGAACACGAGAGAGAGAGAGAGAUCAAACACAUAGCUCCUGGUACAUACCCUCAACCUCGAGGGUGAAGUACUCCCUCCUCGUCAUGGAGAGCGCCGGGAUGAUGAAGAUGGCCACCGGUGAAGGAUCCCCCCUCCGGCAGGGUGCCGGGAAGGGCUCCCGAGAGGUUUUUGGUGGCUACAGAGGCUUGCGGGGGCGGAACUCCCGAUCUAUCUUCUUCGUGGAUGUUUUUAGGGUACGUGGGACUAUAUAGGCAAAAUAAGUCGGUCGGAAGGUGCUCGAGGGGUCCACGAGACAGGGGGCACGCCCUCCUAUCUUGUGGCCUCCUCGAGGCUCUUCUGAUGUGAACUCCAAGUCUCCUGGGUGAUAUUCUUCCAAAAAAUCACGUUGCCGAAGGUUUCAUUCCGUUUGGACUCCGUUCGAUAUUCCUUUUCUUCGAAAUACUGAAACAGGCAAUAAAACAGCAAUAUGGGCUGGGCCUCCUAUUAAUAGGUUAGUCCCAAAAGUAAUAUAAAAGUGUAUAAUAAAGCCCAUAAUCAUUCAAAACAGAUAAUAUAAUAGCAUGGAACAAUCAAAAAUUAUAGAUACGUUGGAGACGUAUCACUACCCUACACUCAAGAAGCCCGGUCCACGUGGCGUCAUCACCAUUAGCGGAAUCACAGAGCGCUCUUCACGCGCAGAGGAACACGUGACGGCCCUGGCAGCCGGACUAUAAGCGGCCUCCAAUAUUAGAAAACAUGACUGGUCAUUAAGACCACAGACAGGUUAGACGAGUCCGGUAGCCCGGAUAAAAUUAAACCAGGGCACCGUAUAUGUAAUCCCGUAGCGGACACCAGGGGCUAUAAAUAUUUAAUACAGCCCCACACUUGGCUCAACCUUAUUGCCAGGCCAACAUCUUACACUUUUACUAUCCAUGGCAUACUUACGUUGUACUCUCCUACGAGUUUUCCUUUUUCCACAGACAACGUUCGUGUGAUACCCUUCCAGGAUAUGACACAUCGGAGACAAAGGCGCAGACGUGCAGCAGGGCCCCGUUCAAUAGGUUUCUUUUUAGAUUAAGCCCCUGUGUAAACCUUUUCUAUUGCCUCUUGUUGUUUAACCAUCCCAUGGGUUCCAUACCCACAGAGGAUACUGUCAUUAUUGGCAUUUCGCCACAAUAGAUUACCGCACGUACCUGGAAACACACGGUUUAUGAUGAAUGGGCAUUCUUUAGCCCAUCUUCUGUUACAAAGCCCGAAUACCUUCGGGAGUGUUCGGUGUCACGAGUUUGGCCUUAUAUGCAUUAGCUCUGAAUCAUGUCUUUGGUCAAAUGUUGGGUUUGCCCGGCUCCUGGGUUUGCUGUCUUACAUUCCGUUAUUAUCGGCUAAGGCGGCCAAAGGAGAACUACUGCGAUUGUACCCUGGUUAUUCCGGAUAGGCACCUCAGUAGAGAAAGCCGAAAACUGACUGUCAUGAUGCAGCAAGAGACUGUUCAACCACUCGAAGACUCACCGGAAUCUUUAGGAUUCCUCCGCAUUAACGAAGGGCCGUUUCCCGGCCAUGUACAUACGCGCCCGUAUUCGGAUGCACGCGAAGGUACCAGGGGAUACAUAGUAGCCCCACCUUUAGACUCCCAUGGCUAAGCAAAAGUGUUACAGCUAUAUAGUCCGGUUGCCUAGUUCGACGUGCGAUCACCUCCUUAAUGGACCAAGACGUUGGAUCAAGUGUGAUUAAGCAUAUUUUUCGCGAAUACCCUCGCAUUGUAUGCGUGGGGGCUGAAGCCAACGACUGCUAACCUUUGGAUUACUUAUAUACAUAUAUAAAAACGGCCGCACAGGGGACACAAUAUUCUUUUCAGGCAAAAAGUAUAAAUAUAGCCUCAUAAUCAAAAUAAACAUGUUUUACAAUGAUUCGAUUUAUCACUCGAACAAGACAUUCUUCGAGCACUGCGCCUCUAUUAGCCGGGCACCUUCUGUGACCUGCGCCAAGUAGUGCUCGGUCGGAUAUUGGCCUCCCGCCGGAUCCUGGGUUGCUACAAUGGUGGCCUCCAUAUCCGACCAAUAAGCUUUAACGUUGGCAAGAGCCAUUCGUGCACCCUCUAUGCACACCGACCUCCUCAUGGCAUCGAUCCGAGGCACGGCCCCAAGGAAUUGUUGCACCAAACCAAAGUAGCUAUCCGGCUUAGGCCCCUUCGGCCAAAGAUGGUCUAUUACAGACCGCAUUGCAAGCCCAGACAGCCCGUGAAGCUCCACCACAGCAGCCAUCUUCUCAUUUAACGGCAGCGGGCGGGUGGGAGCAUUGAAUUGCGACCAGAAAAGCUUCUCCACUUCCUUAUCACCUUGAUCCUCGAAGAACUUGGCAGCGUCAGCCGUACUAUUCGCCAAGUCCGCAUAUGCGUCGGCCGGACUCCGGCGUCCAUCUAGGGGAGCAUAGUUCGGAUCCAAAAACUUCAUCCGCAGUAAGUAGGAGCCCCCAGCCACGAUUUGGUCGGCCUGUUGGAGCUCCUCCCGCAUACCCCGGAUCUCGGUCCGCAUCUCCUUGGUGGCAUUAAGUGCCUUGUCCAGCUCGGCCGAGCUAGCCUUAUUCUCCUUUUCAAGCAGUACAUACCGGUUGGCGGCAUUUUUUAGCUCCACAGCCAUUUUGGAUAUCUUUUCCUCGCUUCGGCGAUGAGCAUCCUAUUCGGCUCUCAAUUCUUCGGCCCCCUUUAGGGCAGCCGCAUUGCUAGCCCGAGCUUGUUCCUUGGCUUGAGCAUGUUCCACCCUCAGGGCCUCCACAGCAGCAGCACCAUCUGCAGUACAAACACAUUGCAUUAAUAUUAUGCCCCUCUCACAUUUUCCUAUACAACAUAAUAAGGGAAGCAGAGCACAUACCCGGUGACUCUUCCAGCCAUUUGUUCACCAGCGUGAUAUCGGCAUCGAUCGAUCCGAUCUGCCUCCUUAGUUCGGCAACUUCAACAGACUGGUCGGCUGUCGGAUCCUUAGAUACCUGCGCACAUGUACAACACAGCCAUUACUAUAUGAUCCCCCGUUUGCCGCCUAUGGCGGGCAACCAGAGUCUCAGGGGCUACUAUCCAUAUGGAGCACACCUAGCGCAUGCCUCACAGCCAAAAAAUAGUGCAUUUUUUACUACAUACCUCAAAGCCUCUGAGCAGGCUCGUAAAUGCCUCAUUCAAACCGCUUGUAGCGGAUGAAAUCUUCUUAAGCACCGCACUCAUUAAUGAGCGGUGCUCCGCUGAGAGCGCAACUCACUCCAGAAGACCUGUCAGUAAGUCCGGCCGGGCAUCGAACUGUGCCAGACCCUUCUCAUGACCCCCCAUGGGAGCCAAACGCUCCGGGCUCAGGGCGACUGACGUAUUGGCCUCUGGCUUCGGCAGAUCCGGACUCCUCCAUGACGACACCUCAGUGUUGCCCGCUUCAUGAGGCGGAGAGGUGGGUGGGGUGUCGCUCUCCAUCAUCUCCGAAGGAAGAUCCCCCGAAGAUGAACUCUGUUGAGGAGAGCUGCUAGCCGGACUGCAAAAGAUGAAUCCUGGUUAUUGAUCUCGGAGAAACGCAGUACCCUCGGAAUAGUGAUUAACUUACAGCUUGUUCGAGGGCUGGCCCGUUGGUGGGCCUGACGUGGUGAGAACGCCCGUCGAGACAGAGCCCCCCGGGGACACUUUCUUCCCCUGUUUGGGCAUCUCCGUCUCCAAGUCUUCGGAGGCGGCCCUUUUCUUUCCGCGCAGGGAGGUGGCCUCAGAUUCCCCUCCCCGACUAUCCUCCUUUGGGGAGAAAUCAAUUCCCCCGGUCUGGAUGUGUAGUGUCUGAAGUCCGGCUUCGCUGCCCUUUCCUUCGCCUUUCCCUGAGGGCAUUUUGCUAAGCACCCGGCCAAGCAUCUUGGCAACGGUUGGACCCGGUGAGCCUUCAGGAAGUGGCGCCGGACACCUGAUUCUCUCCGCCUUGUUGAACCAUUCCUGGCCACGGAGGGUUUUUCAGAACAAUGGUUAUGGCAAAUAUAAACAGAGUGUCCGUCUUUAAGGUUACUUACUUGGGUAUCUAGGCGAUUGCAGCUUAGGCCUGCAUCCUCAGUGGUGUCCGGGCACUUUACUUGUGGUCCGAAGAAUAAUUUACACAUCGCUUCGAGCUUCAGGCCGAAGAAGUGCUUAAUAGUCCACAGACCCUCCGGAUUGAACUCCCACAUCCGGAGAGGCCGACGUUUGCACGGCAACAUCCGUCGGAUUAGCAUUACUUGAAUUAUGCUGACAAGAUUUAUGCCCCUCUCGAUAAGCUCCCAGAUACGGCUCUGCAGUAUUGGAACAUCACUGGCAGGCCCCCAAUUCCGUCCUGCGUCGGUCCAUGACGCCAACUGUAUACAUCGUCCGGACUAUUGAAGCGUGAAGAUACAAGACUCAAGACUUCGGCCUGUGUCCGGAUGGGACUCUCCUUUGCGUGGAAGGCAAGCUUGGCGAUCCGGAUAUUGUGUUUCCUUCCUUGUAACCGACUUCGUGUAAACCUUAGCCCUCUCCGGUGUCUAUAUAAACUGGAGAGGUUGGUCCUUAGAAGGACGAUCACAAUUACAAUCAUACCAUCAUAGGCUAUCUCUUAGGGUUUAGCCUCUACGAUCUCGUGGUAGAUCUACUCUUGUACUACCCAUUUCUUCAAUAUUAAUCAAGCAUGAAGUAGGGUUUUACCUCCAUCGAGAGGGCCCGAACCUGGGUAAACGUUGUGUCCCUCGCUUCCUGUUACCAUCAGCCUAGACGCACAGAUCGAGACCCCCUACCCGAGAUCCGCCGGUUUUGACACCGACAGGCACUGCGAGCUAAAGCUCGCAAAAUCAUCCAAGGGGAUGAUAACACACCAUUCUUCCACAUGAUUGCGAAUGGCAAGCAUUGAAAGAAGAGAAUAUUUCACCUUGAGCAAGAUGAUGGGACGAUUUUAGGGCAGGAGAACCCAAAGGUAUAUAUCACCAAUUACUAUAAGCAGCUGUUUGGGCCUCUCGAGGAUAAUUUCGUAUCCUUGGAUGAGUCAAGGGUUGAGGAUGUUCCUCAGCUUGCAGCAGAUGAGAAUGAUAUUUUGACAGCCCCACUUUCGGAGAAAGAGGUGUUUGAGGCAAUUUCCCAAAUGAAAAAUAAUAAAGCUCCAGUACCAGAUGGUUUUACGGUAGAGUUUUAUAAAAAGUGUUGGCAGAUCAUUAAGGGGGACUUGCUCCCGAUGUUCCAUGAUCUAUUUUUGGGACAGUUACAACUGUUUCACUUGAACUUCGGUACAAUUACUUUGCUUCCUAAGAAAACAUAGGCUGUGAGGAUUGAGCAAUUUAGGCCAAUCUGUCUUCUUAAUGUUAGCUUUAAAAUCUUCACCAAAGUUGGGACUAAUAGGCUUACGCAGAUUGCGCAUUCUGUGGUGCAGCCGUGUCAAACGGCUUUCAUGCCGGACAGAAACAUCCUAUAAGGGGUUGUGGUUCUGCAUUAAAUGCUCCAUGAAAUCCACACGAAAAAACUAGAUGGGGUGGUUUUCAAAGUGGAUUUUGAGAAAGCGUAUGACAAGGUAAAAUGGCCAUUUUUUCAGCAGGCUUUGCGUAUGAAAGGAUUCGAUCAGGCCUGGAGAGACCAGGUAGAUUCUUUCACGCAAAAAGGGAGUGUUGGAAUGGUAAAUGAUGACAUAGGUCAUUAUUUUCAGACACACAAGGGUCUGACACAAGGAGAUCCGAUGUCUCUGAUUCUGUUCAACAAAGUCGUUGACAUGUUGAUAGUCCUAAUAGGAAGGGCUCAGGAUGAUGGCCAGGUAGGUGGCCUCGUUCCGCAUUUAGUUGACGUAGGAGUGUCUAUCCUACAGUACGCGGAUGAUACUAUCGUCUUUAUGGAGCAUGAUUUGGCUAAAGCUAGAAACAUGAAGCUGGUAUUGUGCUUGUUCGAAUAAUUAUCGGGGUUAAAGAUUAACUUCCACAAAAGUGAAUUGUUCUGCUUUCGAAGAGCUAAAGAAGAACAACAAGAUUACAAGGAAUUGUUCAGGUGCGAAUUGGGGUCUUUACCCUUCAGUAUUUGGGUAUACCAAUGCACCAUCGCAAGCUUUCAAACAAGGAGUGGAAGAGCAUUGAAGAUCGAUUUGAAAGAAAACUGAGCUGCUGGAAGGGCAAGCUUAUGUCAUACGGAGGAUGAUUGAUUCUGAUUAAUUCGGUUCACACAAGUAUGCCGAUGUUUCUCUUAUCCUUUUUCGAAGUACCAGUUGGUGUACGAAAAAGGCUAGAUUUCUAUCGAUCGCGGUUCUUCUGGCAGAGCGAUGAAUUAAAAAGAAAAUACAGACUCGCUAAGUGGGAUAUCAUUUGUAGGCCGAAAGAUCAAGGGGGUCUAGGCAUUGAAAAUUUAGAGGUGAAGAACAGAUGUCUUCUCAGCAAGUGGUUGUAUAAGUUAUUUGUAGAGACGGAUGCAACAUGGGCCCAGAUUCUUCGUAAUAAGUACCUUCAGUCCAAAACCUUGUCCCAGGUAACGGUAAGACCGACUGAUUCGCCUUUUUGGAAGGGACUGGUGAGAGUGAAAUCAGUCUUCUUUAACAGGACAAAAUUUAUAGUUGCAAAUGGUACUUUCACAAGAUUCUGGGAGGAUACCUGGCUAGGGGAGACACCCCUUACAAUCCAAUAUCCUUCUCUCUAUAAUAUUGUUCAGCGGAGAGACACUUACGCUGCAACAGUACUACAGUCCAAUCCUCUUAAUAUUCAAUUCAGGAGGACGCUAGUGGUAAACCGUUGGGAAGCUUGGCUCCAUCUUGUGAGAAGAUUGAUGGAUGUCCAACUUUCUCAACAGCCAGAUCAGUUGCGCUGGAAACUAGCUAAGAAUGGUGAGUUUUCGGUUAAAUUCAUGUAUUUGGAUAUUAUCAACACUAGCGUUAUUCCUAGUUUGAAACAUGUUUGGAAAGUCAAAGUGCCUUUAAAAAUCAAAGUGUUUAUGUGGUUUGUCCACAAACAAGUCAUCCUAACUAAGGACAAUUUGGCGAAGCACGACUCGAUCUAAAAGAUGUAGUUUUUGUGAUAGUGAUGAAUCAAUCAAACACCUCUUUCUUGACUGCCCUUUGGCAACAAUUUUGUGGAGGUCGGUCUACAUAGCUUUUAAUAUUACUCCUCCCAAUUCCAUCAACACGUUAUUUGGGACAUGGCUAGAUGGGAUUGAUGCAGCAACAGCGAGGCACAUCCGUGUAGGAGUAUCCGCUUUAUUAUCGGCAGUUUGGAACUGUAGAAAACGACUUGGUUUUUAACAGAACAACAAAUAUUCAUUUCUUGCAUGUUGUUUUCAGGGCCACUACACUCAUCCGUAUGUGGUCGCUACUCACUUCGACGGAGGCCAGGGAGCAUUUGGUUACUGGAUCUAUCCGAUGGGAGACGGUAGCUCGGGCUAUCUUCAACCAGUUUGGAUGGCGGUCAUGUAAUAGGAUAGGUAUUUAGUUUCCUAUCUUUUGUUUUGCCUGCCGGUUGUGGCUGCCCUGUUUUUGCUUUAGUGCUCUUUAUGAGCAUUUUUUUUCAUUUUGUUUGAGACCUCGAGACUUAUGUUGGACCUUUUGUUUAUCAAUAAUAUGGCCGUAUGCAUCAUUCUGAUGCAGAAGGCCGGGGCAAACCUCCUUUUCAAAAAAAGAAAAAAAUACAGAAAAUCACCCUGCUGGAAACAUAAUAUGUGUAAGGAGGAGCGGAACAUACUUCUCUUGCCGUCCCAAAGUCUGACAAUUUAUACAAUACCAUUCGUUAGUCGACACCAACAGAUUUUCUGAAAGAAAAUAACUCUAUGUAAAUUUCGUCAUAUUAUAGGCAUUAAUUGGGGCAUGAGAUAAUCACCAAAUUACCAGGUUUCAUGUCGCGACGAAAAUAUCCAUAAUUAUGUGAGUACAUAUAGAACCCCAUCUGGUACUGAUGACUAUAUAAACUACAGUCGGAGCAUCUUACCUGCAACUUUUUACUUCUGUUAAUUCAGAACAAAGCUUCAAUAUGGGCAAUGACAAUGGUUAAUCUACAACAAUAACAAAAUUGAUUCAUACUUGUAUGCUUAAACAAAGUGAUACUGCAUAUGUGAAUUUGGGAUAGCAAUAUAUAAGCUGAGAUGGCGUAUGUGCAGUACAUAAUGUCUAUACCCGAACACGCUGGAGCAUCAAAGGGGUUUGAUCGUCCUACAACUGCACGACUUUAGCCGCGAACAGUCAGAUUCAUUUGAUCUUGUGGGUCCUAUCCACGGCCGUGGAAUCGACAUGAACAAAAGCACGUAGCCUUACGGGAGGAUAGGUAAGGGAGAUGGGACGGCUUUGGCGGAAUCGACAUGAGCCAAAACAGCUGGCCAUACUAUGGUGCGAUCCGGAUCUUGGUGGUGUGGUGACCUGACGUCUUUCAUUGGAGGUCACGGGCAGCAGCGAGACGGAGGGAGGGAGAGCAAGACUGCAGCAGGCGUCACCACUAUAGACACAGGUUGACCUAGUCGGGGCAAUCGGAGGCAGCUGGACCAGCGAUCAUGCCGGAGGAGCUCCUUGAUGCAGAGAUCAGUUCCCCGUCGCUGCACCCUGUUGUAGACAGGGGAAACGACAAGUAGUCUCAACAACCAUAUCUAUAUAGAUGCCUCUAGGACUUCAAAUCAGAGAUCUAGCUUGUGCUCCAUAGAUCUCAACAAAAGAGUUAUCUACAUUUUGAGGCUUAAGUGGAAAGAUUUGUAUAAUUACACUAGCUAGCUAGUGUUUCCUUUUUUUUCUAUUCCCUCCUUGUACAUAUGUAUCACAAAGAAAAUAAAAAUAAAUUAACAUAUGUAGUACAAGACUAUUGUCGCUCGUAGAAAACUUCCCUUUGUAAUUCAACCACGCUAAGUACCACUAAGAUUUCCCCUCUCUUUAUAUAAUUAUGAUUUCCCCUCUCUUUUUGUAAUAAUGAAAAUCUAGUUCUGGUGGAUUCUUUGUAUUUUGAAAGUGACAACCGCAAAACAAUUAGUGAUUUCUACCAGUCAUUGAGCGCCGCAAAAUCACCCGUUAGUGAUAGCAAACCUCCAUUUGAUGAGUAUUAAGACGGGUUGACGAUGUGUUACCUACCCGUUCGUCAUGGAUGGAGUGUCGGUUACACAGGCCACUCUCUAGUAGUGCAUGAUAUUAUGACAUCCAGUCUAAGCCAGGUUUAUAAUAAGUGUGAUAUGAGUUUAAUAUUUGAAGUGUUUUUAUAUGUUGGCACCCUGGGUGUAUGUCUUCUUAAGUACGAUGUGCAUCUAGUCUAAACAUUAUCUCUCCAAGCUUGGUGUUAUGUUGAAUAUGAAGGUCAUGUUGCAUCAUAAAAAUUAAUACUUGAUCAUUAAAAUUGUGACAUGUGAAAGUCCGAGAUUAGGUGUUUCUUUUUUAUGUUCUUAGCCAUAUACAUGUUGUUUUAACUAAUGACAAUAUAUCUUGUCACCAUUACUAUUCUUAGAUUAGUUAUUUACCAAAGCUCAUGCAUACCAUCCACCAAAAAGAAUUGUGUUUAUGGUAAGUUAUAUGUGAGUUCUAGAUUUAGGUUGUUCUUCUACAAAAGUGGCUACAUGUGUUGAUUAACUGAUGUCUUCUAUGAGAUGGUCGUUAUGUCCUUGUAAGUUUGUUGUAUUGCGAUGAUUAAUGGCAUACUUUAAAAUUAAGCCAAUUUACAAUAUCUUCAUGGAGAGCUCUAGAUCCACGGUACUUUUCAAUGUUGUUAAUGGGGCAUAUGUGGUAUCAAUGGAUCACAUGUGGCCACCAUCUCUUCACAUGUCUAAUAUGGCUCUAAUUUCUUGAUAAGGCAUAUUCAUGUCUAUUAAGAAAACCUUGAUUUCUCAUAUUCAUUUAUUCAUAUAUGAGACACAGUUGUUGUUCUUGGUAGUGUUAUGCAACCAGAAAAAGUAAUGGAUUCUAGUCUCUUCAGUUGAAGUUUGGACUUGUGCUAUCUUUUAAUUUAAUUGUUUAAUGAGCAUGGCUUCUAUUUUUAGUUGACAAGCUAAUGUUUGCCUCACAAUAUUCUAAGAGGUGCAUUGUGGUAAAUACAUGUUCCACUUCCAUCAUUCCUCAGAUGACAAUGAUCUACAACAACAAAAUUGUAGGUACUGAUGAAAAAACAUCAUGGACCAAGACCUGGAACACUGAGCAUGCAAAUUUUUCCCAAACAUCCUAAUUAAGAUAGUAGUCCAAAGGAUAAUGAAUUUGGAACUAAAUAUAUUUUAUUUCAAUAUAGCUCUUACAUGGAAGCGCUAACUAGCAUCUACAAAAGCUCUCCAUAGUCUGUAAGAAUAUCAAUAUCAUGUCCAGUGGAAGAGGGCGGCACAUCAACCCAUCCACCAUUUACCAUGGAAGACUGUCCUAGAUCCGUACCGCUAGAGCCUAAGUAAGCAUCCAUCCUUAGGAAACUAUUGUAGUACGACUGAUCUGAUAGAGGAAAACCCCAUUGUUCAGUGUUAAAUGGGUCAUCAAUAGAAAAGGCAUUGCCACUCGAGUACCCCAAUAGUGGAGAGGCCUCCAAAUUCUGCCCGGAUGUUGAGUCAUGGUUUGCGUCAUUUUGUUGUGGUUGAACUACGUUGCAAGUACUUUCAUAGUUCUGAACAUGCAACUCCUCUGGUGGAGUUUGCUCAUGUACCUGAUUUGUUAUGGGUUGGACAUGGGAAGCCAAGGGUGGAGCUAAAGAUGGUGGUGCAGAAUGGAACAUUGGUACCUGCAUAGGAAAAAGUGGUCCCGAAGUUUGUUCUGGUUGUGAUGGUGGUGGAUCUAAAGGCAGCUGGAGUUGUGAGAGAUUGUGAGGCCAUGGUGACUGCAUAAGUGAAUGAGUAGUACUCAAAUGAUCCGCCGGCAGAACACUUGGUAGUUGCAGAUCUUGUGCCACACAUGUGCCACCGGUCUUGUCUUCAUGACCAUGCAACGGAGGUAGCCGGAAUCUAAUAUCUUUUUGGACCCGAGAGAGCUCACUGAAGAGCUUGUUCAGAUCUUCAAGACUGAGAUCUUUUUCCUUCGUGAAGAUAAGAUUUGCCACCAUACCUGGAUUCUCUUUUUGUAUAUUUUUCAUACGAAGGAUGGAAAGUUGGUUUUUGUCUUCCUCGGUCAUGUUCUCCAUGUCCAACCGAGCCACCUCGUUCUGUAGGCUUCCAAUCCUAGCAGUGGUUGCCUCGUCGGCAGAGGGAACUACUGGUGGAGCUCCAAAUAGGAAAUCAUCAACAAUGGGAUCGGCCAAUGGCGUCCCAAAUGAGUGCAUCUUUCCAUUGUUUGUUUCUAGGACGACCGCAACCCUAGCCCUAGUGAGGGCAGAGAUGUCAGUCGCCCUCUUGAACAAACCGGAACGUCGCUUGUAGAAGGUGAGAUCACGGUCUUUGUCAUUGUGGAUGUAUGCCACACCUGACCGCCGCUCUUUCCUCGGCAUACUAAUGUGGACAAAGAGGAAGAAACUAACUACUACAAAUAGGAAGCACAAGGAUCUACAGAAAACUAGAGAUUUAGGGGUAUUGUUGGCUAACCACAUAUUGGUGUAGGAUAUGAGAAGAUGUACUCCCUUAUAUAGAAUUAAAAGGGUUGUAUGGUAGUGCUAUUUGACUAUACAAAGACCAUGUAAAUCUUUAGUAAAAAUUAACAUACAUAACUCAUAAAAGGUGCUAUUUAUGGAUACUAUUAACUAUCAUCCAAAUAUACAUAUGUGAGUGCAUCCACAUCUUUCUUUGCAACCACUGAUAUGUAUUUCUUCUGAUGUAAGUAUUAACACUUCUAAAAAUAGAAAUAAUAAAUUAUUGCCAUUUGACCAUAUCCAUAUCCUUAUCUAGAAGUAUUAAUGGGAGUUAAACCCAACUAAGUUUUACUCUAAUAUACAAAAAUAAUUGUGGUCAAAUUUAUUUGGUUGUUAAUUGCGUCCAAAUCCUUUGUUGAUCACAUUGAUUACAUCCUAAUGUAUCAGUGAUCAUAUUGAUUACAUCCAUAUCCUGUACUAGGAACUACCUAAUCUAGAAGUGGUCGUCCUUUAAUCCAUAAUAUCCAAGUAUAACAUGGUCCUUGCUUUGGGGCUUAACUUAAAAAUUGAGAUUCCAACUAGGAAAGAUACACUAAGAGCAACUAGAAAAUACUAGGACAUUUGUUAAGUCAUGGUAUAACACAUAAGUUACUCGGAGCAUCGACCUGCCUCCUUGGUAAGCCCAGUUCCCGCGGAAGAUGUGUGUUUAUCGGUUACACAUGUAUAUCUUGGGCCCUAACUUUUUAUGGCCCAUAAAAUAAUAUGUGUAAGGCUUUUUCUGGAAGGAUCCAACACAACCUAAUCUAUUCUGUAUUAAAAGUAAUUGACGGGCUCACCAGAAAAAGAUAAAAAUGCUAGAAAAUAACUCAAAAUAGAAACAACUAACUAUCUAUCUAUUAUAUAUUAAAAGAAAUUGCUAGGCUCACCAGAAAAAGGAUAAAAAUGCUAGAAGAUCUCUCAAAAAUCAAAAACAUCCGACUGUCUAUUUAAUAGACUAAUAUUGUAUAACCAUUAGACUAGUUUUAAGUGAAAUAAUUACCCACCAUUGCCAUUAUAACAAAAAGGUAUUUCGUCUAACUUAUUAGGACGUGGGCUGAUGCCAUAUUAUAAUGAAAAAAAUGUUAUGUUCCCAUAGUACAAAAAGGACUUCUCACACAUGAACACAGUGGCAUCAAUGUUCAUGUAAAUAAUCUUUAAUUGUGAUUAAUUCCCCCUUGGUAGAGUACCUGAAAAAGCCUCCAGAUUGGAUCUCCCCGGAGCAGAGAGGUGGGCGGCGCAAAAAUCAUCUGUUAAUAUUUCUGAGGUUUUUGGGAGUAUAUAAAGCCAGCGGAAGAAAGAUGCGAUGGAGGCAACCUCCUGUGGCAUGUGGCCUAGGGGGGACCAGGUGGGUCUAGGUCCCUCCGGCUUCAUUUCUCCAAAAAACUUAGUUUUUUUCUAGUUUUUUGGUCCCUAAAAGUUGAUUUUUUUAGAAAAUUCAAAAAAACAACAACUGGCACUUUGCACCAAAUUAAUAGGUUAAAAAUGGUGACAGAAGCGAGGUUCUUCCUACCAAUUAGUAAUGGGCGGCUCCCAUUACGUAGAGCUAAAAUGGUGACAAGCACGAAUAAAUCGUUAUAUUUCUCCAAGGCUCAUUAAUAAUGCAUGGUACUAUUCGGUUGGAUAGCCACACAGAAGUCAUGUACUCCUUUUCAAUUUUGAGGGGAUGACUCUUGUCCUGUAUCCAUCUGUCUGGUGACUAGCACGAAUAAAUUGGUGUCUCUCUCUACAACAAAUGAUUGAUAGUACUAUUCGGCCAGACCAGCAGACAUAAGCAAGGUACCCCCUAGUUCCCUGCCGAUUCAAGGCGGAUGGCUGCUGGUAAUAUGUGCAUUAAUCCAAACUGAAAUGGUGACUAGCAUGAAUAAAUCGAUGUCUUUAUUUUUGGCUCUUCAAUACUUCCACUUUUCGAGUAGGUUGUCCGAAAACAUGAGGUGGCCAGCUCCUGAUAUGGAGCCGCAUGCACAUUAAUCCAUGCUAAAAUGGUGACUUGCACAAAUAUAUCGAUCUUUUUCUCUAGGGCUCAUUAACACUUGAUGGUGUAGUUUGGUUGGACAACUAGAUAGAAAGCAAGGUGUUCCACGAUUUCUUGUCCAUAUAGGGUGGAUGGCUCCAUGCACGACCUAUCACACACUAAUCCGGGCUCGUCUAACACGAAUAAAUGGAUGUCUUUCUAUAUGGAUCAUUAAUACUUGAUGGCGCUCUUUGGUUAGGCGGUGUACAAAAGCGAGGUACCCCCUUCUGAUUUCGGGUGGUUGUGGGGCCACUAGACGGGCACAAGCAAGAUACUCCCUGUCAUUGGGAGGUAUAUUUUAAAUAUUAUUUUUAUUACAUAAAUUACAAAAAUAUAACCCUAAAAUAUAAUAUUUCACCAGUAGUACUCCGACAUGUCGGUGCCAACAAUGACAGAUAUCGUUGGCACUACCAAUGAUACAUCUGUCACAUGGGCCAUCAUCGGUGCAUCUUGCAUCAGCCCUCCCACAUGACACACUCAUACAGAGCUAGCUAUGUUAGAGCAUGUACAAUGGUGCUAUCUUCACAAUGUCACCUAAGAUCACUGCUGAGUUAGAAAAGGGCGAAUGGAGGAAAAAAACGCUUGCCAUCUCUUACCUAAGAGACGGUCUCUCAGUAAAGAAGAUAAGACAAUUCCAUCCAUUGUACUAGAUGUCAUCUCUUAGCUACAUAUUUUCAGUUUAGUUUUAACCUUCGCAUUAAUUUAAGAGCAUGUAAACCUUGCUUGUUAGGCUAAGAGCUAAUCCAUUGUAUACUAUGUUUUUAAGCUUCUCCAAAUGACAUACAUAGCAUACGAGAAUAUUGUAACGAAUAACUAUUUGUGUACAAGGUGCUCGGGGUAUUAUGAAGAUAUAAAGCAUGUGCUAUUUGAAUGUAAUAUUGCAAGGGAGGUUUGGAACAAUCUUGGUCUAUUGGAACUCACCGAAGAGGCAUGCAUGCUGGACCAUUCAGGUAGUGUUUAUUUCAAAAAUUCAUGAACGUUUUUUAAUUUGCUAAUAUUACUUUUUGAAAGCAUGAUUUUUUUAGUUUGAGAAAAUGUAAAAUUUCAUGAAUUAUUUUUAAUAGGGGAAUAUUUAUAACUUGAUGAGCAUUUUAAAAUAUCCUAAACAUUUAUUUUAAAUACAGAAUAUUUUUUAUAAAGUUGCAAACAUAUUUAAAAUCCAUGAAUUAUUUUUGAAACUUGGAAGCAUUUAUUAAAAUUCUUGAAAAUAUGGUGAAAAUGAGUAAAGUUUGUCAGCAUUUGUAGGUGAACUUUUAGGUAGCUUUCUACUCCCUCCGUCAAAUAAUAUAUAAUCACCGUGUUUUUGACAAAAAUGUCCUAUGCUAUGGGACAGAGGAAAAAGUAAACAGCUCAAAAAUAGAUCCGUACAACCGAAAAAAGCCCAGCGAGAUAUAACCCAAGCUCGCCUCUGAGCCCACCUUAGUGGGUGGACCCAAUGGUCUAGAUUUGGAAAGGUUGUACUAAGUGGCACAGACUUGUUUUAGAACCAAUUUCUCAAAAACAAACUUGUUAUACAAGCUUCCGAGUGAUUUUUUCCUUUUUUUGGUGUUUUUUUGUAUACUUCAUUUUUACUUCCUGCAUGUUUUCUCUAUUGGUUUUCAUCACUCUAUUUAUUGAAUUUUAUGUUUUUCAUUCCUUUCCUUUUUUUGCAUUUUUUAAAUACAUGUUGACAAAUUUCAUAUACAUGUUGAACAUAUUUGGAUACAUGUUAAACAUUUUCCAAAUACAAUUUGAAUAUUUUUUUAAAUAUACAUUGAACGCUUGACAAAUGUACAUUAAACAUCUUCAGAAUACAAUGUGAAAUUUUCUUAAACACACAAUGACCAUUUUUCAUAAAUGCCAUGAAUAUCAUUUUUAGUCGUGCAAACAGUUUUAAAGUGAUAUUGAAAUUUCUUCAAAUUCAUGAACCUUUUUGAAUGGUAUGAAACAUUUUCUAAAUAUUACACAAACAAAUUUUAACAUUAUAUGAAUUGUUUUUUAAAAUGCUGCGAACUUAUGUUUAAACACAUGAACAUCUUUUAAAUAUGAUAAUCAUUUUUUGAAUAAUAUGAGUGUUUUCUACAAACUAUGCCAAUAAUCUUUUACAUUACAUGAACAUCUGUUAACGCUGAUCAAUUUAGGGAUGACUAUUCGUCACCCUGGAUNNNNNNNNNNNNNNNNNNNNNNNNNNNNNNNNNNNNNNNNNNNNNNNNNNNNNNNNNNNNNNNNNNNNNNNNNNNNNNNNNNNNNNNNNNNNNNNNUUAACAUCAAUAGACCAUACUUUUACGUUCCAUAAAUUUUGUUUUAUUACAUAUGUAAAAGGAGAAAGUAAGAAAAUAUAAUCACUGUAAAAAAUAUUUUAUGUUACGUAAAAUUACAAAAGCUAAAACACAUUUUAAAAUAUACAUAAAAUGCAAAUUUUCUUGUCUUAUAACCUAUAUUUUUGUUUACUUAUACCAAAUUUAAUGUAGUGAAUUAAUAUGAAUAUAACUAUUUGUAUUUCAAAUGCAAUUUAUUUAUAAAACGAUUGUAAGAUUACCUCAGAUAAAUAGUAACUUAUUUGUGUGAUCAAACACAAAAUAAUGAAAAAGAAGACUCCCUACUGGCAGAGCCAUUAUGUGAUCCCUUGAGGCAAGGCGAGCUACUAUCUCACUAAAAGCUAGACAUAGUGACACCCGUAAUGCAUCACAAUCACAUUGGAUAAGAACCAGGCAAAGUGGGCCGGCUCACUAUGUGCGUGAGGGUUUGCUCAACUACAGCAGGCAGCGGGCUGGUCCACGUUGUUGUCCCCCUAAAAAAGUACAUGAUGCUGACUAAAUAAAAUACUUUUUGUGGCCUUAAAAAACAAAUGGCGAACCGGGAGUCCAAUUGAUGAAAUAUUGAACCAACAACUUCACUGGUUCAGUCACUGGUCCGGUUUAUAAAACUAGAGAAAAGUAUACUUUUCGUCACUUAAUUUUUGGUGGAGUCUAGAUUUGAUCCCUCAGCUUCAAAACCGAACAACUUGCACCCCCAACUAUAGAAACCGGACAAGGUUCGUCCCUGGUCUUGGUUUUGACCGGUUUGGUGCUGACUCACCCUGGUUUUGACCGAUCUCACUCAAAUUCGCGUAAUUUUUUUAUAUCCGUGUACUUUUUGAAAUUCGAAUACACUUUCCAAAUCCGCAUAGUUUUUUCAAGGUCGCAUAUUGUUUUUGAGAAAUAAACAUACUUUUUUCAAAUCAGUGCACAAUGUUGAAAUUUUCGUACCUUUUCCAAAUCCGUGAUUUUUUAACAUUUGUGUAGUUUUUUCAAAUCCACGUAUUUUUCCCAAGUUUGUGUAAUUUUAUCAAAUCCCUGAACUGUUUUUGAAGUUCACGUACUUAUUUCAAAUCCGCAUACUUUUGAAAGUCCGCGUUUUUUUUCAAACUGUGUUCCUUUUCUAGUCCAUGAACUUUGUUUGAAAUUCAUGUAUUGUUUCAAGUUGACAUAAUUUUUCAAAUCCACAUAUUUUUGUGUAAAAAAUCCUAAGCCGCUUACUUUUUCUCAAGUUCGCAUAAAUUUUUGAGAUUCAUGAACUCUUUCCAAAAUAUGUACACGAAUAUCAACAAGUACGUAAAUUUUACAGGAAUUUGAAAAAACUACGUGGACUUUAAAAAAGUUCACAGAUUUGAAAAAGUACACGGAUUUGAAAGCAUUACUCGGACUUGGAAAAAGUACGCGAGUUUGAGUCGGCAUGGUCAAAACCGGGGUGGGACAGCAUCAAACCGAUCAAAACCGUGACCAGGGAUGAAUCUUGUUUGGUUUUAGAAGUUAAGGGGGCAAGUUAUCCGGUUUUAAAAUUCAGAGACCAAAUCUAGACUCCGUCAAAAAUUGAGGAAGAAAAAGUAUACUUUUCUCUUAAAACUAUGGUAGAAAUGGCUGACAAGCCCUACGGACACCAACAAACUAUGUGGUAUCAGUUUAUAUCUGGCUGGAUGGAAACAAAUCAUCUUAUUUCCAGUUCCUUUGGAAAGGUGCCAAACGGUAAAAAUUCCCAACGUAAACACCGCUGCCCAACGGUCGACCAAGCUCCGUCCCAUUCCGUUAUAGUAGGCGGUAGCAGUACUAUCAUCUCCUUCCUCCUGUGACUCCAUCCCCAUCAAUCCCCUUCCCCUCCUGCCGCUGCAUCGGAGGUCCCGACAGAAGUGCCAUGGCGGUCGUCGACGAGCCCAUGAAAGCAUGUCCCCUCUUUUUUUUACAGGUUAAACAGGAGAGCUUCAUUCAUAUGAAAGCAAAUUUGGGGCAGUCACCAAUAGACUGGUCACCAAAAAGCUAGGAGUCUCCUCAAGCCAGCUAUCGAUCACAUUCAAAGUGCAAGCACACUUUGCACAAAGAUGCGCCGUAAUGUUCGCUGACCUGUUUACAUGCUGAAUAUCGAACAAAGUAAAAUUAUUACAUAGCUCUCCUAUCUCUAACAAUAAAGGAGCCACAAUUGAACAAGAAUUGUGGCGAGUGUUCCAUAGCGUCACCAUCUCCAAGCAAUCAGUUUUCAUUACCAUGUGCGAGAAUCCUCAAAGAGAAGCGAAACGAACUCCAUUUCGUAGUGAUAAACCCUCCAUAAUCAAGGGAUCAGAGAUACCCAAGUAUGGUUUACACCAUGCUCCCAGGAGCGCUGAAGAGGAUCGAGCCACCCCUCCUGCACCGCCCCUGCCAUCUGCUAAGUUUAAAGCACCGUCCGUAGUAAUCUUGACAACACCCUCAUCAGGUGGUCUUCAGCCAAGUCCAGGCAGAAUCAUUGCAUGUCGUUGUGGUAGAUGAAGGAGGGCGAUCGCCUCCUUGGUGGCCCUGAUCGUAGUCGUAGGAUUCCUCCCCUCUUCGCCGUGCUUGAUCCGAUUCCGGGAGUGCCAUAUAGACCACAUUAUCGUGGUGAUCUUGGCGCGGUCAUCGUCUGUAAACCGAGGAUCGCAUGUGAUAUCCCGCGCCCAUGAGUCUGGAUGAACACGAGGCAAUCUGAGGCCAAACCAAGCACAUGCUUCUUCCCAGAAGCAUUUUGCAUGUGAACAAUGUAUGAGUGUAUGCUCCAGAUUUUCGUCCAUAGCCAAACAAACUUUGCAUCGACGAAUCUCUGCAAUAUGUUGAUAGUUGAGAGUGACUUCAUCUGGGAGAAUUCCACGAAGAACCCUCCACCAGAACACACUAACCUUUGGAAUGACAUUCAAUUUUCAUAGGGAUUUCCACAACUGUGUAUCAUCCUCUGAGGUUCCGGUAGCCGUCCCUUCCUCUAGAUCAACACGCUCUUUCUGAGUCACGAGAGCACGGUACGCCGUCUUCACAGUAUAGUUCCCCGAUCUUUCGAAUGCCCAUGCAAGAAAAUCAUCUCCUCCUCCUUGCCGAAUAGGGAUGUUCAAUAUUGCUUCAGCAUCAGGAGCAAUGAAAGUAUGCCGAACAAGCUCUUGUCUCCACGACCAGUUAGAUGGAUCUAUUAGCUCGGACACACGCUCAAUGGUCGUAUAUUGUGGCCGAAAAAUAGGAUACAUAGAUAUGGUACCCCGCCAAGUGGCCGACACCGACUUGGGUAUGGUAGCGUGCAUGAAGUCAGUGUCGGGGAAGUAGCGGCCCUUCAAAGCAUGUCCCCUCUCCAACUCUUUUCAUUCAUUCGUUUAUUUAUGCAUACGUAUCUGUACAUCUACUCCUAUUGAUGUACAUGCGCCGGUCCGUGUGGUUGUUUUCAAUUUUCUGAUUGAUGGAUCGAACAUCACCUUAUGGUAGGUUUCUUGAGAACAUCUCUGUAACUGUAUGUGUGUACGAUCGUUGCCUGAACCAUUGGUUUAUUGGACUCGUUUUUACUUGUCCUGUUGGCAACGCGUUCCAUGUACUGACUAGGAACUACCACCUUAUCGCUAAGAGCAUCUUUAGCAGACCCCGCAUCCCGCCGACCCGCAUUUUCCGUUUGCAGUUCACAAAAAAGCUGUUUUGCAGUCAGCAGCAAAAAGCUGCAGAGGCAGACCCCGCAAAGCCGACCCACAUCCUGUUUUAUGGGUUGGAUUUGUGGGGUCUGUCUCUGCGGCCGUCCUCCACCCAGCCCGCAAAAUAUAAAUUUGCACCUCAAUUUGCAUUUCUUUGCAUUUUCAACCACAUUGGAUACAUAGAACAUCACCAAAUCUUUGCUAGAAAAGCAAGACCAAAAAAAUAAGAACCACAAGUAUGCAUUUUAGAAGAUUUCCAACUUCCAUAACUGCUCCUACUAGUUGUAGCAAUAUCUUCUCCAUGAUCUGCGAAUCCUUGAUCUUGCAUUCUUCGUUAUUCUUCUUUGGUUCUAAAGAAGUAGAUGUUGCGUCCUCUCUAGUUGCACAUGCAUGCGCUUCAUUACCUUCGAUUGUACUAAGGAGUGCACGAACGUCUAUCAGUUUUCUUUAAUGUAUUCGCCUUCCCAAAACCAAAAGGAGCAUCCAUAUUCCUACACGCAUGAUGAUGUUCGAAAUGAGCAAACAUAAUUAGCUAUCAAAAUGAGCCGAAUGUAAAACAACACGUACCCCGUCGUUUUCGCAUUUGAAGAACACGUAUCCGGGGUGCUUCGGCGUGCCCGAAGUCAGCCUCGGCACUGUCCGCGGACAGUUGUCGCACUGUAUGAGCGGCAUCAGCGAGUCACAGAUCCUCUGCGCGAGGGCUGAGCCCGGCGGCCGGCCGGCCGAAUCCAUGCGGGCAAACUGUCGGCGGCGGCGAGCGGACGAACCCGCACCUGCAUGCGGCGAUGAGCCUUUGCCGGGGCUGCGCGAGGUGAUCCCCGACCAUUCCAUAGCUUGGCGCGCGAUGAAGCGCCGCAGAUCCGCAAGGUCCCAGCCCGCCGACGCAGGAUGAGAGGGAGGGGCGGCGGAGGGCAACCUCGUUCGUGUGGAGGCCUUUCGGCGUGCUCCGGCCGGCCACUUUCGCCGGAAUCUUGGGCGGCAGCGGGGCAAGGAGGAGAGGGGAGGUGGUUUGGUGGGGAAAAGCGCGGGCUGAAAUGUCCCCCCCCCCCACCAACCGCUCCCGCUAUAUGCAGGGCACCGAUGGGCCGGGGGGACCCACAAAUACGUGGGUUGAGGCCGAGUUUUUGCCGCGCCCCUCAAAUUUUUUUGCGGGCCGGCCGCGUUUGCGGUGUCUGUUCAGGCGGAAUUUUCAUCGCCGGCCCGCAUUUUUGCGGUUAUUUUAUGGGUCGGGACCUUUUGCAGGGUCUGCUAGAGUUGCUCUAAUACAUGAGAUUCGGUGACAAUAUGAAUUGUUGAUCUGAUUGAUCUUUACUCGUGUGCUGCUAGAGUUGCUCUUAUACAUGAGAUUCGGUGACAAUAUGAAUUGUUGAUCUGUUGAUCUUUACUCGUGUGACGAUUACUCUGUCGCAUUAUUUCCAGAGAGAAGGAGGUGAUUCUCCGCAGCCUGUCAAGACCGAGAUCGGGGAGAAGACGUCAUCGACGCUUCAACAUAAAAAAAGUCUCGCUUUGCUCGGAAACAAUGAUAAUGAUUUUGAACCACUGGUGAGAAACUUCAUGGAAUCUCUCAUUGCUGCAUUUUAGGCACUUCAUUCUGCCUUUUCCAAGCUAGCUUCAGUGUUCAGAGUACCUUGUCGAACUGCCUGACAAAUUACAGACAGUUUGCUUACGUUUCUUUUUUGUCCUAGUGCUCAUUGGUAUUGUAGCGUCAACUAAAUAUUAUUGCAAUUUAUUAUGCAAGGAUUUCUUGAGGUUUUUUCAUGCUAUUUUGUUUUUCCAGUUAACUUUGGUCGAUUUUAUUUAUUUAUGAGAGUAACUUUUAGCGAGAAGUGAUUCCUGCACACAGAAAAAGAGAAGGAGAUUGUCGAUUCUACAGAAGAAUAACAAAGAACAAAAUAUCAAUACCGUUUUUUCUGAUUGCUAGCGCUGAUGUCUGUUCGUCUGGUUGUUUCCUAAGAUAUUCAUUUGUGUUGUUCUCUCUUUUUGGAUAGUAUAAAGUUUGCUGAAACUCCCUGUUGUGCUUUUUAAAUUAAGCGAGUAGACGCAGGACGUGUGUACUGCAUGCCAGAUUGUCUAUUUUUGUCUGAGUCAGCAUUGCGCGAUCCGUCUUUGGCAUGUCGUUGCGAGAGGUUUUGUUUCUGUCAUUGUCGAACUGACUAGUAACUACUAGUGCUACUUAUUUCUACAUCACUAGUUAAAAUUUAGUAAUAAAAAUUAUUGUGCAAUUGAGGUUUAUGGUCAUAACAAUGAGUACUCUGACUUUGUUUCCUAACUAAUUUUCCAGAGGAAGGGAUGGACACCAGUGAGUUCCCUCGAGUCUGCCAAGAUCAAGAUGGGGGAGAAGACGGCGUUUUGGCAUCCAAAGCUCACUUUGGUCAACAACGGCGGUUUGGAGAAUGAGCAAGUAAAGCCUCCAGGCUCUCGGUAUGAAGUGGUAGUCCAAAGGACUAUCACUAUUACCUUUAAAGUAAGGAAAUUUUUGGUCAUUCUCAUAAAAGGACGUUCAAUACCUCAGAUUAUCUGUAAUCUCUUGCAGCAUAUGCAAACAGAUAUUGAAUUUGUUGCUUUGUUUUGGUUGAUUACAAUAUUGUCAGAGGAAGAGACGGGGUCCAGCCAAGAGUAAGAUUCAUGACCCAAUGUUUUUUUUUGAAAGAAAAUAUGUACUUUAUUAAUUGGAAAUAAUGAUUACAUCGUCUAUAAGAAGAGGUACAAUAUUCUCCAUAGGCUCCUCAAAUCAAUCUCUAGUUACAGAAACUUUCGCUAGCCUUGCAAGUUCAUGAGCAACCUUAGUAGCUACCCUAUUAUAAUGUUCAAAUCUAGUCAACGGAAAAUCACAUGCCAUGAAGUAGCAAUCCUCGAAGACUGCCGCCGCAACUCCCGUUGAUUGUCCUCCAUUUCUCAUUAUGUCAAUGACUUCCAUAUUAUCAGAGUUAAUAAUAAGACGAUUGCAUCCCGCCUUUUGUGCAAGAAUUAAACUAAACCUCAGAGCCAUCGCUUCUGCUGUUAGUACAUCAGCACACCAAUCGAUCUUCCAAUUUCCACCAACAAUGAAUUUUCCUUUCUCAUCUCUGAGUGCAGCUAAAUCUUCCUCAGGGAAAUAUUUAGCUCUCAAGAUGGUUGCACAUAAAGAUUCAGGAUUAUCAAGAAGACGCCACGCUUGUUUAGCUAAUAGCACCAGGUUGAAAUAGUGUAUAUCUCGGAAGCCCAUACCUCCUUGAUCUUUUGGAACACGCAUUUUCUACCAUGCAAUCCAAUGCAUCCUCUUCUGAUUGUCCUCGUCACCCCACCAAAAUUGCGACAUCGCGUCAAUAAUUCCUUUGCAAAAAAAUUAGGAAUUUUAAAGACGGACAUGGCAUAGGUGGGGAUGGCUUGUACAACAGAUUUGGGCAAAAUUUCCUUCCUAGAGGGUAACAAUUUUUCCUUCCAUCCACUAAUUUUCAUAAUAAUUCGGUCGAUUAGGAACUGGAAACAAUCACUUUUGUCCAUGCCCACAUUUGCCGGCAAACCCAGGUAUUUGUCAUUGAGGGCUUCAGUCAUAAUAUUUAGAAUUGUACAUAUUUGUGCUUUGUCUUCCAUUUUAGUAUUGGGACUAAAGAAUAUACUGGAUUUUUCAACACUAACCAUUUGCCCUGAGGCGGCACAAUACGAAUCCAAGAGUGAUUUCAACGCCUCCACACUCAUGGGAUUGGCUCACAUAAGGAUCAAAGAGUCAUCAGCAAAGAGGAGAUUAGAAAUUGAUGGGGCAUCUCUGCAAACCUUUAUACCUAAAAUGUUUCCAUUCUCCUCCGCAGUAGCUAAAAGGGCGGUCAUCUAAGAAAACCUUGAUUUUUCACAUUCAUUAAUUCAUAUAUGAGAUGCAGUUGUUGUUCUUGGUAGUGUUAUGCAACCAGAAAAAGUAAUGGAUUCUAGUCUCUUGAGUUGAAGUUUGGACUUGUGCUAUCUUUUAAUUUAAUUAUUUAAUGAGCAUGGCUUCUAUUUUUAGUUGACACGCUAAUGUUUGCCUCACAAUAUUCUAAGAGGUGCAUUGUUGUAAAUACAUGUUCCACUUCCUUCAUUCUUAAGAUGACAAUGAUCUAAACAACAACGACAAAAUUGUAGGUACUAAUGAAAAAACAUCAUGGAGACAUGGACCAAGACCUGGAACACUGAGCAUACAUAUUUUUCCCAAAGAUCCUAAUUAAGAUAGUAGUCCAAAGGAUAAUGAAUUUGGAAAUAAAUAUAUUUUUAUUUCAGUAUAGCUCUUACAUGGAAGCGCUAACUAGCAUCUACAACAGAUCUCCAUAGUCUGUAAGAAUAUCAAUAUCUUGUCCAGUGGAAGAGGGCGGCACAUCAACCCAUCCACCAUUUACCAUGGAAGACUGCCCUAGAUCCGUACCGCUAGAGCCUGAGGAAGCAUCCAUCCAUAGGAAACUAUUGUAGCAUGACUGAUCUGAUAGAGCAUAACCCCAUUGUUCAGUGUUAAAUGGGUCAUCAAUAGAAAAAGCAUUGCCAGUCGAGUACCCCAAUAGUGGAGAGUCCUCCAAAUUCUGCCUAGAUGUUGAGUCAUGAUUUGCAUCAUUUUGUUGCGGUUGCACUAUGUUGCAAGGACUUUCAUAGUUCUGAACAUGCAACUCUUCUGGUGGAGUUUGCUCAUGUAUCUGAUUUGGUAUGGGUUGGACAUGGGAAGCCAAGUGUGGAGCUAAAGACGGUAGUGCGGAAUGGAACAUUUGUGGUACCUGCAUAGGAAAAAGUGGUGCCGAAGUUUGUUCUGGUUGUGAUGGUAGUGGAUCGGAAGGUAGCUGGAGUUGUGAGAGAUUGUGAGCCCACGAUGACUGCAUAAGUAAAUGAGUAGUACCCAAAUGAUCUGCCGGCAGAACACUUGGUAGUUGCAGAUCUUGUGCCACACAUGUGCCACCGGUGUUGUCUUCACGACCAUGUAGUGGGGGUAGCCGGAAUCUAAUGUCUUUUUGGACCCGAGAGAGCUCACUGAAGAGCUUGUUCAGAUCUUCAAGACUGAGAUCUUGUUCCUUCGUGAAGAUGAGAUUUGCCACCAUACCUGGAUUCUCUUCUUGGAUAUUUUUCAUACGAAGGAUGGAAAGGUUGUUUUUGUCUUCCUCGGUCAUGUUCUCCAUGUCCAACUGAGCCACCUUGUUUUGUAGGCUUCCAAUCCUAGCAGUGGUUGCCUCGUCGGCAGAGGGAACUGCUGGUGGAGUUCCAAAUAGGAAAGCAUCAACAAUGGGAUCGGCCAAUGGCGUCCCAAAUGAGUGCAUCUUUCCAAUGUUUGUUUCUAGGACGACCGCAACCCUAGCCCUAGUGAGGGCAGAAAUGUCAGUCACCCUCUUGAACAAACCGGAACGUCGCUUGUAGAAGGUGAGAUCACGUUCUUUGUCAUUAUGGAUGUAUGCCAAACCUGACCGCCGCUCUUUCCUCGGCAUACUAAUGUGGACAAAGAGGAAGAAACUAACUACUACAAAUAGGAAGCACAAGGAUCUACAGAAAACUAGAGAUUUAGGAGCACUAUUGGCUAACCACAUAUUGGUGUAGGAUAUGAGAAGAUGUACUCCCCUUACAUAGAUUUAAAAGGGUUGUAUGGCAGUGAUAUUUGACUAUAAAAAGACCAUGUAAAUCUUUAGUAAAAAUUAACAUACAUAACUCACAAAAAGUGCUAUUUUAUGGAUACUAUUAACUAUCGUCCAAAUAUACAUAUGUGAGUGCAUCCACAUCCUUCUUUGCAACCACUGAUAUGUAUUUCUUCUGAUGUAAGUAUUCACAUCCAUAUAUAGAACUAUUAACACUUUUAAAAAUAGAAAUAUUAAAUGAUUCCCAUUUGACCACAUUCAUAUCCUUAUCUAGAAGUAUUAAUGGGAGUUAAACCCAACUAAGUUUUACUCUAAUAUACAAAAUAAUUGUGGUCAAAUUUAUUUGGUUGUUAAUUGCAUCCAAAUCCUUUGUUGAUCACAUUGAUUACAUACUAAUGUAUCCGUGAUCAUAUUGAUUACAUCCAUAUCCUGUACUAGGAACUACCUAAUCUAGAAGUGGUCGUCCUUUAAUCCAUAAUAUCCAAGUAUAACAUGGACCUUGCUUUGGUGCUUAACUUAGAAAUUGAGAUACCAACUAGGAAAGAUAUACUAAGAGCAACUAUAAAAUACUAGGACAUUUGGUAAGUCAUGGUAUAACACAUAUGUUACUCGGAGCAUCGACCUGCUUCCUUGGUAAGCCCAGUUCCCGCUCAAGAUGUGUUUUUAUUGGUUACACAUGUAUAUCUUGGGCCCUAGUUUUUUAUGGCCCAUAAAAUAAUAUGUGUAAGGCUUUUUCUGGAAGGAUCCAACACAACCUAAUCUAUUAUGUAUUAAAAGAAUUGACGGGCUCACCAGAAAAACAUAAAAAUGCUAGAAAAUAACUCAAAAAUAAAAACAACUAAUUGUCUAUCUAUUAUAUAUUAAAAGCAAUUGACGGGCUCACCAGAAAAAAGAUAUAGAUGCUAGAAGAUCUCUCAAAAAUCAAAAACAUCUGACUGUCUAUUUAAUAGGCUAAUAUUUUAUAACCAUUAGAUUAGGUUUAAGUGAAAUAAUUACCCACCAUUGCCAUUAUAAGAAAAAAGUGUUCCAUCUAACUUGUUAGGAUGUGGGCUGAUGCCAUCUUAUUAGGACGUGGGCUGAUGACAUAAUAUAAUGGAAAAAACAUUAUGUUCCCAUAGUACCAAAAGGACUGCUCACACAUGAACACAGUGGCAGCAAUGUUCAUGUAAAUGAUCUUUGUGAUUAAUUCCCCCUUGGUAGAGUACCUGAAAAAGCCUCCAGGUUGGAUCUCCCCGGAGCAGAGAGGUGGGCGGCGCAAAAAUCAUCUGUUAAUAUUUCUAACGUUUUCGGGAGUAUAUAAAGGCAGCGGAAGAAAGAUGAGAUGGAGGCAACCUCUAUGGCGGCCAUGCUCCCCCUUGGAUGCUCUGGCCGACCUGUGGCAUGUGUCCUAGGAGGGGUGGGGGGUGGGUCUAGGUCCCUCCGGCUUCCUUUCUUCAUGAAAGUUAGUGUUUUUUUCUAGUUUUUUGGUCCCUAAAAAGUUGAUUUUUUUCUUCUGAAAAUUCAAAAACACAACAACUAGCACUUUGCACUGAAUUAAUAGGUUAAUCAAGAAAAACUAUAAAAGUUGAUGCCAAUACUAUGCCAUUAUGAUAUAAGUAUAACAUGAAACAAUAAAAAUUUCUUGAUACAUAUAGUACAUAUCAACUGGCAUGAAUAAAUUGAUGUUUUUCUAGGGCUUGUUAAUACUCGACAAUAUUGUUCUCCUAGAUAACCAGACACAAGGUACUCCUUGGUCCCUAUUGGUUCGAUGUCCAGGCUAAGAUUGUGACUAGCAUGAAUAAAUUGAUGGCUUUCUCUAUCGCUCACUAUUACUUGAUGGAACUUCAGCUGGGUAGCUGGACAGAAGCGAGGUUAUUCCUACCAAUUAGAAAUGGGCGACUCCCAUUCCGUAGCCAUCUGCACGUUACUACAAGCUAAAAUGGUGCCAAGCACGAAUAAAUCGUUAUAUUUCUCCAAGGCUCAUUAACAAUGCAUGGUACUAUUCGGUUGGAUAGCCACACAGAAGUAAUGUACUCCUUUUCAAUUUGAGGGGAUGACUCUUGGCCUUUAUCCAUCUGUCUAGUCACUAGCACGAAUAAAUUGGUGUCUUUCUCUACAACAAAUAAUUGAUGGUACUAUUCAGCCAGACAACCAGUAAGAAGCAAGGUACUCCCUGGUCCCCUGCCGACUCAAGGUGGAUGGCUGCUGGUAAUAUAUGCAUUAAUCCAAACUGAAACGGUGACUAGCACGAAUAAAUCGAUGUCCUUCUUUUUGGCUCUUUAAUACUUCCACUUUUCGACUAGGUUGUCCGAAAACAUGAGGUGGGCACCUCCUGAUACGGAGACGCAUGCACAUUAAUCCAUGCUAAAAUGGUGACUUGCACAAAUAUAUCGAUGUCUUUCUCUAGGGCUCAUUAACACUUGAUGGUAUGGUUUGGUUGGACAACAGGACAAAAAGCAAGGUAUUCCAGGAUUUCUUGUCCAUAUAGGGUGGAUGGCUCCAGGCACGGCCAGUUACACAUUAAUCCGGGCUCGUCUAACACGAAUAAAUGGAUGUCUUUCUCUAUGGCUCAUUAAUACUUGAUGGCACUCUUUGGUUAGGCGGUGUACAAAAGCGAGGUACUCCCUUCUGAUUUCGGGUGGUUGUGGGGCCACUAGACGGACACAAGCAAGGUAUUGCCUGUCACUUGGGGGGAUAUUUUAAAUAUUGUUUUUGUUACAUAAAUUUCAAAAAUAUAACACUAAAAUAUAAUAUUGUACCAGUAGUACUCCGACAUGUCGGUGCCAACAAUGAUAGGUAUCAUUGGCACUACCAAUGAUACAUCUGUUAUGUUGUCAUUUUGAGUCACAUGGGCCAUCAUCAGUGCAUCCUGCAUCAGCCCUCCUGCAUGACACACUCGUACAGAGCUAGCUGUGUUAGAGCAUGUACAAUGGUGCUAUCUUCCAAUGUCACCUAAGAUCACUGCUGAGUUAGAAGAGAGCGAAUGGAGGGAAAAAAGGCUUGCCAUCUCUUACCUAAGAGAUGGUUUGUCAGUAAAGAAGAUAAGACAAUUCUAUCCAUUUUACUAGAUGUCAUCUCUUAGCUACAUAUUUUCUAGUUUAAUUUUAACCAUCGCAUUAAUUUAAGAGCAUGUAAACUUUGCUUGUUAGGCUAAGAGCUAAUUCAUUGUAUCAUAUGUUUUUAAGCUUCUCCAAAUGACAUACAUUGCAUCAGCCCUCCCACAUGACACACUCGUACAGAGCUAGCUACCUUAGGUCGUCGUGUACAAUGAUGCUAUCUUCGCAAUGUCACCUAAGAUCAUUGAUGAGUUAAACGAGAGUGAUUGGAGGAAAAAAGGCUUGCCACCUCUUACCUAAGAGAAGGUCUCUCAGGAAAAGAAGAUAAGACAAUUCUACCCAAUGUACUAGAUGUCAUCUCUUAUAUUUUCUAGUUUAAUUUUAACCAUCGCAUUAAUUUAAGAGCAUGUAAUCUUUGCUUGUUAGGCUAAGAGAUAAUUCAUUGUGUGAUAUGUUUUUAAGCUUCUCCAAAUGACAUACAUAGCAUACGAGAAUAUUGUAACAAAUAACUAUUUGUGUACAGUGUGCUCGGUCUAUUAUGAAGAUAUAAAGCAUGUGCUAUUUGAAUGUAAUGUUGCAAGGGAGGUUUGGGACAAUCUUGGUCUACUGGAACUCACCGAAGAGGCAUGCAUGCUGGACAAUUGAGGUAGUGUUUUUUUUCACAAAUUCACGAAUGUUUUUUAAAUUUGCUAAUGUUAUUUUUAGAAAGCAUGAUUUUUUAGUUUGAGAACAUUUUAAAACUUUCAGAAAUUAUUUUAAUUAGGGAAUAUUUAUAAUUUGAUGAGCAUUUUAAACAUCCUAAACAUUUUUUUAAUUACAGAAUAUAUUUUUUAUAAAGUUGCAAACGUUCUUAAAAUCCAUGGAUUGUUUUUCAAACUUGGAAGCAUUUAUUAAAAUUCUUGAAAAGAUGUUAAAAAUGAACAAAAAUUGUCAGCAUUUGUUAAAAUUUUCACAGCAGGCUUCCCACAAAAAAAAUUCACAGCAGGCACCUUUUAAUUUGUUUUCUAGUAAACAACUCAAAAAUAGAUCUGUACAACGGAGAAACAGCUAUAUCUCGCUGUACAGCAAGAUAUAACCUGAGCUCGCCUCUGAGCCCACCUUAGUGGGUGGGCCCAAUGGUCCAGAUUUGGAAAGGUAGUACUGACUGGUACAGACUUGUUUUAGAACCAGUUUCUAAAAAAACAUGUUUUAGAACCUUUCAAGUUAUUUUUUUCCUUUUUGUUACAGUGUUUUCUUGGUAUACUUCAUUGUUAUUGCGUUUUAUGUUUUUCAUUCCUUUCCUUUUUUUUGCAUUUUUCAAAUAUACGUUGACUUUAUUUAAAUACACAUUGAAAAAGGCAUAUGCAUGUUGAACCUAUUUGGAUACACGUUGAACAUUUUCCAAAUACAAUUUGAAUACUUUUUAAAUACACCUUGAACAUUUGUCAAAUUUACAUUAAACAUCUUCAAAAUACAAUGUGGAAUUUUCUUAAACACACAAUGACCAUUUUUCAUAAAUGCCAUGAAUAUUAUUUUUAGUUGUGCAAACAGUUUUUAAGUUCUACGGAAAUUUCUUCAAACUCAUGAACCUUUUUUGAAUGGUACGAAACAUUUUCUGAAGAUUGCACAAUCAAAUUUUAACAUUAGCAAGGUAACUAAUGAUAAAAGUGAGCGUAAACGGUAUUGCAAUGAUAGGAAACAAGGCCUAGGGUUCAUACUUUCACUAGUGCAAGUUCUCUCAACAAUAAUAACAUAGAUAGAUCAUAUAACAAUCCCUCAACAUGCAACAAAGAGUCACUCCAAAGACACUAAUAGCGGAGAACGAACGAAGAGAUUAUGGUAGGGUGUGAAACCACCUCAAAGUUAUUUUUUUGGAUCAAUCUAUUCAAGAGUUCGUACUAGAAUAAUACCUUAAGACACAAAUCAACCAAAACCCUAAUGUCACCUAGAUACUCCAUUGUCACCUCAAGUAUCAGUGGGCAUGAUUAUACGAUAUGCAUCACACAAUCUCAGAUUCAUCUAUUCAACCAACACAAAGUACUUCAAAGAGUGCCCCAAAGUUUCUACCGGAGAGUCAAGAACGUGUGCCAACCCCUAUGCAUAGGUUCAUGGGCGGAACCCGCAAGUUGGUCACCAAAACAUACAUCAAGAGGCACAUGAUAUCCCAUUGUCACCACAGAUAAGUGAUAUCUACCACACAACCUUCUUCUUGUAGACGUUGUUGGGCCUGCAAGUGCACGGGUUUGUAGGACAGUAGCAAAUUUCCCUCAAGUGGAUGACCUAAGGUUUAUCAAUCCGUAGGAGGCGUAGGAUGAAGAUGGUCUCUCUCAAACAACCCUGCAACCAAAUAACAAAGAGUCUCUUGUGUCCCCAACACACCCAAUACAAUGGUAAAUUGUAUAGGUGCACUAGUUCGGUGAAGAGAUGAAGAUGCAAGUGCAAAAUAGAUGGUAGAUAAAGGUAUUUGUAAUCUGAAAUAAUAAAAACAGCGAGGUAGCGAGCGAUAAAAGUGAGCGUAAACGGUAUUGCAAUGAUAGAAAACAAGGCCUAGGGUUCAUACUUUCACUAGUGCAAGUUCUCUCAACAAUAAUAACAUAGAUAGAUCGUAUAACAAUCCCUCAACAUGCAACAAAGAGUCACUCCGAAGUCACUAAUAGCGGAGAACAAACAUAGAGAUUAUGGUAAAGUACGAAACCACCUCAAAUUUAUUCUUUCGGAUCGAUCUAUAAAAGAGUUCGUACUAGAAUAACACCUUAAGACACAAAUCAACCAAAACCCUAAUUUCACCUAGAUACUCCAUUGUCACCUCAAGUAUCCGUGGGCAUGAUUAUACGAUAUGCGUCACACAAUCUCAGAUUCAUCCAACCAACAUGAAAGUACUUCAAAGAGUGCCCCAAAGCUACUACCGGAUGAUACGUCUCCAACGUAUCUAUAAUUUUUGAUUGCUCCAUGCUACUUUAUCUAUUGUUUUGGACUAUAAUGGGCUUUAUUUUCCACUCUUAUAUUAUUUUUGGUACUAACCUAUUAACCGGAGGCCCAGCCCAGAAUUGCUGCUUUUUUGCCUAUUUCAGUGUUUCGAAGAAACGGAAUAUCAAACGGAGUCCAAACGGAAUGAAACCUUCGGGAACGUGAUCUUCUCACCGAACGUGAUCCAGGAGACUUGGACCCUACUCCAAGGAGUGCCACAGGCGGUCACGAGGGUGGGGGCACGCCCUUACCCCCUGGGCGCGCCCCCCUACCUUGUGGGCCCCCUGAUGCUCCACCGACGUACUCCUUCCUCCUAUAUAUACCUACUUACCCCCAACAGAUCGGGGACGGACCCAAAAUCCUAAUUCCACCGCCGUAACUUCCUGUAUCCACGAGAUCCCAUCUUGGGGCCUGUUCCGGAGCUUCGCCGAAGGGGGCAUCUACCACAGAGGGCUUCUACAUCAUCACCAUAGCCCCUCCGAUGAAGUGUGAGUAGUUUACUUCAGACCUUCGGGUCCAUAGUUAGUAGCUAGAUGGCUUCUUCUCUCUUUUUGGAUCUCAAUACAAUGUUCUCGCCCUCUCUGGUGGAGAUCUACUGGAUGUAACCUUCUUUUUGCGGUGUGUUUGUUGAGACCGAUGAAUUGUGUGUUUAUGAUCACGUUGCCGAAGGUUUCAUUCCGUUUGGACUCCGUUCGAUAUUCCUUUUCUUCGAAAUACUCAUACAGGCAAUAAAACAGCAAUAUGGGCUGGGCCUCCUAUUAAUAGGUUAGUCCCAAAAGUAAUAUAAAAGUGUAUAAUAAAGCCCAUAAUCAUUCAAAACAGAUAAUAUAAUAGCAUGGAACAAUCAAAAAUUAUAGAUACGUUGGAGACGUAUCACUACCCUACACUCAAGAAGCCCGGUCCACGUGGCGUCAUCACCAUUAGCGGAAUCACAGAGCGCUCUUCACGCGCAGAGGAACACGUGACGGCCCUGGCAGCCGGACUAUAAGCGGCCUCCAAUAUUAGAAAACAUGACUGGUCAUUAAGACCACAGACAGGUUAGACGAGUCCGGUAGCCCGGAUAAAAUUAUACCAGGGCACCGUAUAUGUAAUCCCGUAGCGGACACCAGGGGCUAUAAAUAUUUAAUACAGCCCCACACUUGGCUCAACCUUAUUGCCAGGCCAACAUCUUACACUUUUACUAUCCAUGGCAUACAUACGUUGUACUCUCCUACGAGUUUUCCUUUUUCCACAGACAACGUUCGUGUGAUACCCUUCCAGGAUACAGCACAACGGAGACAAAGGCGCAGACGUGCAGCAAGGCCCCGUUCAAUAGGUUUCUUUUUAGAUUAAGCCCCUGUGUAAACCUUUUCUAUUGCCUCUUGUUGUUUAACCAUCCCAUGGGUUCCAUACCCACAGAGGAUACUGUCAUUAUUGGCAUUUCGCCACAAUAGAUUACCGCACCUACCUGGAAACACACGGUUUAUGAUGAAUGGGCAUUCUUUAGCCCAUCUUCUGUUACAAAGCCCGAAUACCUUCGGGAGUGUUCGGCUUCACGAGUUUGGCCUUAUAUGCAUCAGCUCUGAAUCAUGUCUUUGGUCAAAUGUUGGGUUUGCCCGGCUCCUGGGUUUGCUGCCUUACAUUCCGUUAUUAUCGGCUAAGGCGGCCAAAGGAGAACUACUGCGAUUGUACCCUGGUUAUUCCAGAUAGGCACCUCAGUAGAGAAAGCCGAAAACUGACUGUCAUGAUGCAGCAAGAGACUGUUCAACCACUCGAAGACUCACCGGAAUCUUUAGGAUUCCUCCGCAUUAACGAACGGCCGUUUCCCGGCCAUGUACAUACGCGCCCGUAUUCGGAUGCACGCGAAGGUACCAUGGGAUACAUAGUAGCCCCACCUUUAGACUCCCAUGGCUAAGUAAAAGUGUUAUAGCUAUAUAGUCCGGUUGCCUAGUUCGACGUGCGAUCACCUCCUUAAUGGACCAAGACGUUGGAUCAAGUGUGAUUAAGCAUAUUUUUCGCGAAUACCCUCGCAUUGUAUGCGUGGGGACUGAAGCCAACGACUGCUAACUUUUGGAUUACUUAUAUACAUAUAUAAAAACGGCCGCACAGGGGACACAAUAUUCUUUUCAGGCAAAAAGUAUAAAUAUAGCCUCAUAAUCAAAAUAAACAUGUUUUACAAUGAUUCGAUUUAUCACUCUAACAAGACAUUCUUCGAGCACUGCGCCUCUAUUAGCCGGGCACCUUCUGUGACCUGCGCCAAGUAGUGCUCGAUCGGAUAUUGGCCUCCCGCCGGAUCCUGGGUUGCUACAAUGGUGGCCUCCAUAUCCGACCAAUAAGCUUUAACGUGGGAAAGAGCCAUUCGUGCACCCUCUAUGCACGCCGACCUCCUCAUGGCAUCGAUCCGAGGCACGGCCCCAAGGAAUUGUUGCACCAAACCAAAGUAGCUGUCCGGCUUAGGCCCCUUCGGCCAAAGAUGGUCUAUUACAGACCGCAUUGCAAGCCCAGACAGCCCGUGAAGCUCCGCCAUAGCAGCCAUCUUCUCAUUUAACGGCAGCGGGCGGGUGGGAGCAUUGAAUUACGACCAGAAAAGCUUCUCCACUUCCUUAUCACCUUGAUCCUCGAAGAACUUGGCAGCGUCAGCCGUACUAUUCGCCAAGUCCGCAUAUGCGUCGGCCGGACUCCGGCGUCCAUCUAGGGGAGCAUAGUUCGGAUCCAAAAACUUCAUCCGUAGUAAGUAGGAGCCCCCAGCCACGAUUUGGUCGGCCUGUUGGACCUCCUCCCGCAUACCCCGGAUCUCUGUCCGCAUCUCCUUGGUGGCAUUAAGUGCCUUGUCCAGCUCGGCGGAGCUAGCCUUAUUCUCCUUUUCAAGCAGUACAUACCGGUCAGCGGCAUUUUUUAGCUCCACAGCCAUUUUGGCUAUCUUUUCCUCGCUUCGGCGAUGAGCAUCCUAUUCGGCUCUCAAUUCUUCGGCCCCCUUCAGGGCAGCCGCAUUGCUAGCCCGAGCUUGUUCCUUGGCUUGAGCAAGUUCCGCCCUCAGGGCCUCCACAGCAGCAGCACCAUCUGCAGUACAAACACAUUGCAUUAAUAUUAUGCCCCUCUCACAUUUUCCUAUACAACAUAAUAAGGGAAGCAGAGCACAUACCCGGUGACUCUUCCAGCCAUUUGUUCACCAGCGUGAUAUCGGCAUCGAUCGAUCCGAUCUGCCUCCUUAGUUCGGCAACUUCAACAGACUGGUCGGCUGCCGGAUCCUUAGAUACCUGCGCACAUGUACAACACAGCCAUUACUAUAUGAUCCCCCGUUUGCCGCCUAUGGUGGGCAACCAGAGUCUCAGGGGCUACUAUCCAUAUGGAGCACACCUAGCGCAUGCCUCACAGCCAAAAAAUAGUGCAUUUUUUACUACAUACCUCAAAGCCUCUGAGCAGGCUCGUAAAUGCCUCAUUCAAACCGCUUGUAGCGGAUGAAAUCUUCUUAAGCACCGCACUCAUUAAUGAGCGGUGCUCCGCUGAGAGCGCAACUCGCUCCAGAAGACCUGUCAGUACGUCCGGCCGGGCAUCAAACUGUGCCAGACCCUUCUCAUCACCCCCCAUGGGAGCCAAACGCUCCGGGCUCAGGGCGACUGACGUAUUGGCCUCUGGCUUCGGCAGAUCCGGACUCCUCCAUGACGACACCUCAGUGUUGCCCGCUUCAUGAGGCGGAGAGGUGGGUGGGGUGUCGCUCUCCAUCAUCUCCGGAGGAAGAUCCCCCGAAGAUGAACUCUGUUGAGGAGAGCUGCUAGCCGGACUGCAAAAGAUGAAUCCUGGUUAUUGAUCUCAGAGAAACGCAGUACCCUCGGAAUAGUGAUUAACUUACAGCUCGUUCGAGGGCUGGCCCGUUGGUGGGCCUGACGUGGUGAGAACGCCCGUCGAGACAGAGCCCCCCGGGGACACUUUCUUCCCCUGUUUGGGCAUCUCCGUCUCCAAGUCUUCGGAGGCGGCCCUUUUCUUCCCGCGCAGGGAGGUGGCCUCAGAUUCCCCUCCCCGACUAUCCUCCUUUGGGGAGAAAUCAAUUCCCCCGGUCUGGAUGUGUAGUGUCUGAAGUCCGGCUUCGCUGCCCUUUCCUUCGCCUUUCCCUGAGGGCAUUUUGCUAAGCACCCGGCCAAGCAUCUUGGCAACGGUUGGACCCGGCGAGCCUUCAGGAAGUGGCGCCGGACACCUGAUUCUCUCCGCCUUGUUGAACCAUUCCUGGCCACGGAGGGUUUUUCAGAACAAUGGUUAUGGCAAAUAUAAACAGAGUGUCCGUCUUUAAGGUUACUUACUUGGGUAUCUAGGCGAUUGCAGCUUAGGCCUGCAUCCUCAGUGGUGUCCGGACACUUUACUUGUGGUCCGAAGAAUAAUUUACACAUCCCUUCGAGCUUCAGGCCGAAGAAGUGCUUAAUAGUCCACAGACACUCCGGAUUGAACUCCCACAUCCGGAGAGGCCGACGUUUGCACGGCAACAUCCGUCGGAUUAGCAUUACUUGAAUUAUGCUGACAAGAUUUAUGUCCCUCUCGAUAAGCUCCCAGAUACGGCUCUGCAGUAUUGGAACAUCACUGGCAGGCCCCCAAUUCCGUCCUGCGUCGGUCCAUGACGCCAACUGUAUACAUCGUCCGGACUAUUGAAGCGUGAAGAUACAAGACUCAAGACUUCGGUCUGUGUCCGGAUGGGACUCUCCUUUGCGUGGAAGGCAAGCUUGGCGAUCCGGAUAUUGUGUUUCCUUCCUUGUAACCGACUUCAUGUAAACCUUAGCCCUCUCCGGUGUCUAUAUAAACUGGAGAGGUUGGUCCUUAGAAGGACGAUCACAAUUACAAUCAUACCAUCAUAGGCUAGCUCUUAGGAUUUAGCCUCUACGAUCUCAUGGUAGAUCUACUCUUGUACUACCCAUUUCUUCAAUAUUAAUCAAGCAUGAAGUAGGGUUUUACCUCCAUCGAGAGGGCCCGAACCUGGGUAAACGUUUUGUCCCUCGCUUCCUGUUACCAUCAGCCUAGAUGCACAGAUCGGGACCCCCUACCCGAGAUCCGCCGGUUUUGACACCGACAGGCACUGCGAGCUAAAGCUCGCAAAAUCAUCCAAGGGGAUGAUAACACACCAUUCUUCCACAUGAUUGCGAAUGGAAAGCAUUGAAAGAAGAGAAUAUUUCACCUUGAGCAAGAUGAUGGGACGAUUUUAGGGCAGGAGAACCCAAAGGUAUACAUCACCAAUUACUAUAAGCAGCUGUUUGGGCCUCUCGAGGAUAAUUUCGUAUCCUUGGAUGAGUCAAGGGUUGAGGAUGUUCCUCAGCUCGCAGCAGAUGAGAAUGAUAUUUUGACAGCCCCACUUUCGGAGAAAGAGGUGUUUGAGGCAAUUUCCCAAUUGAAAAAUAAUAAAGCUCCAGUACCAGAUGGUUUUACGGCAAAGUUUUAUAAAAAGUGUUGGCAGAUCAUUAAGGGGGACUUGCUCCCGAUGUUCCAUGAUCUAUUUUUGGGACAGUUACAACUGUUUCACUUGAACUUCGGUACAAUUACUUUGCUUCCUAAGAAAACAUAGGCUGUGAGGAUUGAGCAAUUUAGGCCAAUCUGUCUUCUUAAUGUUAGCUUUAAAAUCUUCACCAAAGUUGGGACUAAUAGGCUUACGCAGAUUGCGCAUUCUGUGGUGCAGCCGUGUCAAACGGCUUUCAUGCCGGACAGAAACAUCCUAUAAGGGGUUGUGGUUCUGCAUUAAAUGCUCCAUGAAAUCCACACAAAAAAACUAGAUGGGGUGGUUUUCAAAGUGGAUUUUGAGAAAGCGUAUGACAAGGUAAAAUGGCCAUUUUUUCAGCAGGCUUUGCGUAUGAAAGGAUUUGAUCAGGCCUGGAGAGACCAGGUAGAUUCUUUCACGCAAAAAGGGAGUGUUGGAAUGGUAAAUGAUGACAUAGGUCAUUAUUUUCAGACACACAAGGGUCUGACACAAGGAGAUCCGAUGUCUCUGAUUCUGUUCAACAAAGUCGUUGACAUGUUGACAGUCCUAAUAGGAAGGGCUCAGGAUGAUGGCCAGGUAGGUGGCCUCGUUCCGCAUUUAGUUGACGUAGGAGUGUCUAUCCUACAGUACGCGGAUGAUACUAUCGUCUAUAUGGAGCAUGAUUUGGCUAAAGCUAGAAACAUGAAGCUGGUAUUGUGCUUGUUAGAAUAAUUAUCGGGGUUAAAGAUUAACUUCCACAAAAGUGAAUUGUUCUGCUUUCGAAGAGCUAAAGAAGAACAACAAGAUUACAAGGAAUUGUUCAGGUGCGAAUUGGGGUCUUUACCCUUCAGUAUUUGGGUAUACCAAUCCACCAUCGCAGGCUUUCAAACAAGGAGUGGAAGAGCAUUGAAGAUCGAUUUGAAAGAAAACUGAGCUGCUGGAAGGGCAAGCUUAUGUCAUACGGAGGAUGAUUGAUUCUGAUUAAUUCGGUUCACACAAGUAUGCCGAUGUUUCUCUUAUCCUUUUUCGAAGUACCAGUUGGUGUACGAAAAAGGCUAGAUUUCUAUCGAUCGCGGUUCUUCUGGCAGAGCGAUGAAUUAAAAAGAAAAUACAGACUCGCUAAGUGGGAUAUCAUUUGUUGGCCGAAAGAUCAAGGGGGUCUAGGCAUUGAAAAUUUAGAGGUGAAGAACAGAUGUCUUCUCAGCAAGUGGUUGUAUAAGUUAUCUGUAGAGACGGAUGCAACAUGGGCCCAGAUUCUUCGUAAUAAGUACCUUCAGUCCAAAACCUUGUCCCAGGUAACGGUAAGACCGACUGAUUCGCCUUUUUGGAAGGGACUGGUGAGAGUGAAAUCAGUCUUCUUUAACAGGACAAAAUUUAUAGUUGCAAAUGGUACUUUCACAAGAUUCUGGGAGGACACCUGGCUAGGGGAGACACCCCUUACAAUCCAAUAUCCUUCUCUCUAUAAUAUUGUUCAGCGGAGAGACACUUACGCGACAACAGUACUACAGUCCAAUCCUCUUAAUAUUCAAUUCAGGAGGACACUAGUGGGAAACCGUUGGGAAGCUUGGCUCCAUCUUGUGAGAAGAUUGAUGGAUGUCCAACUUUCUCAACAGCCAGAUCAGUUGAGCUGGAAACUAGCUAAGAAUGGUGAGUUUUCGGUUAAAUUCAUGUAUUUGGAUAUUAUCAACACUAGCGUUAUUCCUAGUUUGAAACAUGUUUGGAAAGUCAAAGUGCCUUUAAAAAUCAAAGUGUUUAUGUGGUUUUUCCACAAACAAGUCAUCCUAACUAAGGACAAUUUGGCGAAGCACGACUCGAUCUAAAAGAUGUAGUUUUUGUGAUAGUGAUGAAUCAAUCAAACACCUCUUUCUUGACUGCCCUUUGGCAACAAUUUUGUGGAGGUCGGUCUACAUAGCUUUUAAUAUUACUCCUCCCAAUUCCAUCAACACGUUAUUUGGGACAUGGCUAGAUGGGAUUGAUGCAGCAACAGCGAGGCACAUCCGUGUAGGAGUAUCCGCUUUAUUAUCGGCAGUUUGGAACUGUAGAAACGACUUGGUUUUUAACAGAACAACAAAUAUUCAUUUCUUGCAUGUUGUUUUCAGGGCCACUACACUCAUCCGUAUGUGGUCGCUACUCACUUCGACGGAGGCCAGGGAGCAUUUGGUUACUGGAUCUAUCCGAUGGGAGACGGUAGCUCGGGCUAUCUUCAACCAGUUUGGAUGGCGGUCAUGUAAUAGGAUAGGUAUUUAGUUUCCUAUCUUUUGUUUUGCCUGCCGGUUGUGGCUGCCCUGUUUUUGCUUUAGUGCUCUUUAUGAGCAUUUUUUUUCAUUUUGUUUGAGACCUCGAGACUUAUGUUGGACUUUUUGUUUAUCAAUAAUAUGGCCGUAUGCAUCAUUCUGAUGCAGAAGGCCGGGGCAAACCUCCUUUUCAAAAAAAGAAAAAAAUACAAAAAAUCACCCUGCUGGAAACAUAAUAUGUGUAAGGAGGAGCGGAACAUACUUCUCUUGCCGUCCCAAAGUCUGGCAAUUUAUACAAUACCAUUCGUUAUUAGUCGACACCAACAGAUUUUCUGAAAGAAAAUAACUCUAUGUAAAUUUCGUCAUAUUAUAGGCAUUAAUUGGGGCAUGAGAUAAUCCACCAAAUUACCAGGUUUCAUGUCGCGACGAAAAUAUCCAUAAUUAUGUGAGUACAUAUAGAACCCCAUCUGGUACUGAUGACUAUAUAAACUACAGUCGGAGCAUCUUACCUGCAACUUUUUACUUCUGUUAAUUCAUGUUAGACUGUAUUUACAUGUGUAUAUUAUAACGUUGUAUAUCACCUCAUUAUAUAUAUAUGUGAUAGGCCACCCCUAGAUGGUUGUGCCGGUUCCCCCCAAAGCCUAUUGUCUUACAUGGUAUCACGCUAGGUUACGUCCGCUUCCGCCUAAAAACCCUAAGCCGCCGCCGCCGCCACCGCCACCGCCGCCGCCGCCGCGCCCGCCGCCGCCGUCGCCCGACUGCUAUGACGUCCGCCGCUGCGUCCGACUCCACCGCCACCGGUUUUCUGCCGGCCUCCCUCGCGGCACUUCUCUCGAGGCCGCUGGAUGCCGCCUCCCUUCAGGCGCCGAUCGGGACACGGAGCGUCGGCUCCCUCUUCGCGCUCCCGCCGGCUGCUACUUCGCCCGGGCAGGCGCUUGUGGCCCACACCACCGCCGCCCCGUCACCGCGGCUGUCGCACCCUCGGCCACUGCGCCGCUGGUGGCGGAGGACGUCGCGCUGGCAGGCUUCGCGGCGUCAACCGUGGCCAUCGCGUCCUCUGUCACCGCGCCGGCUGCCCCUCCGACUGUCUCCACGGUGUUCUCACCUCAGCCAGUCUCCUCGAUGGGAUCGCAGCCGCCGCCGCCGUUUCACUUCGGCCAUCUCAUCACCAUCAAGUUGUCGUCGGACAAUUACAUCUUCUGGCGCGCGCAGGUUCUUCCGCUUCUUGGGAGUCACUACCUGCUUGGCUAUGUCGACGGCUCUCUCCCUUGCCCUCCUGCGCUGGUUGACAGCGUGCAUGGUCCGGUCUAUAAUCCGGCUCACCGUGUCUGGACAGGGCAGGAUUAGGCGAACCUCUCCUCCAUCCAGAGGUCGCUCUCUCCGGCCGUUGCUGGGCUUGUUGUCUUCGCCAAGACGUCCCACGAGGCAUGGACUAUUCUUGAGCGCUCGUUUGCGGCACAGUCGCAGGCUCGUGUAUCUGGGCUCCGUCGCCAACUUGGGGACUGUCAGAAGCUUGACUCCACCGCCACUGAGUUCUACAACAAAGUCAAGAGUCUCGCCGACACGCUGGCCUCCAUUGGACAGCCCCUCACCGACUCCAAGUUCAACUCGUUUAUUGUCAAUGGUCUUGAUGAGGAGUAUGACGCCCUAGUCGAGAUCAUCAAUGAGAGGGGCAACUCCACGCCCAUGCCAGCACACGAGGUUUUUUCAUGCCUCCUGCUUACUGAGCAACGAGUCGAGACGCGCCUAUCCAGGGGCAACGGCGCCCUCUCGGCAAACGCCGCCACCAAGGGUGGUCGCUCCUCUGCUUCAUCCAGGGCUCCUUCGGGGCAGUCACCACCACCCGCCUCGGCCCCUCCUCCUACUGCGACGCUACCAGGGGCUGGCGGUCCACGUGUGUGCCAGCUUUGUGGUCGCGAUGGGCACUGGGCCUCGAAGUGUCACAAGCGCUUCCAGCGGGGUUUUCUUGGUCUUGGCAAUGACGGGAAGGAUACACGCAACUUUGCUCGUCAGGUCGCCAUGGCUGAUCGUCCGCCGCCGCAGAAGCCACAGGGACACACUCAAUCCUACUCCAUUGAUCCCCACUGGUACAUGGACUCUGGGGCGACAGAGCACCUGACAAGUGAGAUGGGGAAGCUUCACACUCGUGAACCCUACCAUGGCUCCGACAAGAUCCACACCGCCAAUGGAGCAGGUAUGCACAUCUCUCAUAUUGGUCAAGCAUCACUUCUCACUAGACAUGCCAAUAGGAGUCUUCAACUUCGCAAUGUUCUUCGAGUUCCAUCUGUGACAUGUAAUCUUCUUUCAGUUCCUAAACUCACUCGUGAUAAUAAUGUGCUUUGUGAAUUUCAUCCUUUUGAUCUUUUUAUUAAGGAUUGGGGCACGAGGGACAUUCUUCUUAGUGGGCUGCUCUGCCAAGGUCUCUAUCGUCUGGAGCAUCCUGGCGUCACUCGUGUCUUCAGUGGAGUUCGGGUAUCUCCGUCACAGUGGCAUGCUCGUCUUGGUCACCCGGCCACACCUAUUGUCCGGCAUGUUUUGCGUCGUCAUGAGCUUCCUAGUGUGUCUAGUAAUAAAGAUGUAGCAGUGUGUGAUGCUUGUCAGCAGGGGAAGAGUCAUCAACUUCCUUUUUUGGAGUCCAGUCGUGAGGUGAAACAUCCUUUAGAACUUGUGUUUUCAGAUGUAUGGGGUCCUGCUCAGACUUCUGUUAGUGGUCAUAAUUAUUAUAUCAGUUUUGUUGAUGCUUACAGCCGCUUUACCUGGCUUUAUCUUAUCAAACGUAAAUCUGAUGUGUUUGACAUUUUUGUUCAGUUCCAAAAACAUGUUGAACGCCUUCUCAAGCACAAAAUUGUUCAUGUUCAGUCGGACUGGGGUGGCGAGUAUCGCAACCUCAACUCCUUCUUUCAGUCGCUUGGGAUCACUCACCAUUUAGCAUGUCCACAUACACAUCAGCAGAAUGGUUCAGUCGAACGUAAGCAUCGUCACAUUGUUGAAGCUGGUCUGACUCUUUUGACCCAUGCAUCUGUUCCGUUUCGUUUUGGAGUGAUGCUUUCACCACUGCAUGUUUUCUCAUCAAUCGUACUCCCACUCGUGUUUUGAAUAUGAAGACUCCCAUUGAAGUUCUCCUUAAUGAACAACCGGAUUACACCUUUCUCAAGGUGUUUGGGUGUGCUUGCUGGCCCCAUCUCCGUCCAUAUAACAAGCGUAAGCUCGAGUUUCGUUCCAAGAAGUGUGUUUUUCUUGGUUAUAGCUCUCUUCAUAAAGGAUACAAAUGUCUUCAUGUUCCCACUAAUCGUGUCUACAUCUCUCGGGAUGUUGUGUUUGACGAGCAUGUUUUUCCCUUUGCCAAACUCCCUGUGUCCACUACCGAGCCACCUGUCAUGCAUUCAUCCUCUGUUGCUUCUGACCAAUUUGAUGAUGUUGCAUAUUCUCCUCUAUUGUUGCCUAACCAUGGUGCAGGCACUGGUCGUGGGGCUCGUUUGGAGAUUCUGGAAGCGUCGUCUUCCUCUUCGUCGCCAUCGCCUUCAUCCUCGGCACCUUCUGUUGUGCAUGAGGAGCACAUGGCGCCCCUGCAUGGCCUCGGUUUCCGUGCUCAUGCACGGCCGAUCGACGUCCUGGCCCGGUCGCCUCUGGCUUCUGGGCUGCCUUCGCCAUCGUCGUGCCCUGCAACCCUGCCGACUGGGCCGGCCUCCUCGGUCCCCGUCUCGCCCAGGGCGUUGGGGCAGUCAUCACCAGGCCUGGCCUAGCCCGCCCCUACCUCGCCAAGGGUGUCUGGGCCCUUCUCACCAGGGCCGGCCUCGCCUGCUCUCGCCUCGCCAAGGCUGUCUGGGCCGGUGUCACCGGAGCUGGCCUCGCCCACCCUCGGUUCGCCCAUGUCCUCUGAGCCCCUGUCGUCGGGCCAGUCUUCGCCAUGCAGCCCGGAGUCGUCUGUCCCAAGCUCGCCUGAGGUGAUUCCUGCAUCUCCGGCGACCGUCACGUCUCCGUCACCUUCGCCUCCGCCGGCUCCUGCUGCUGCUCUACGUCCACAUACGCGCCGUCGGAGUGGCAUUUUUCAGCCUAAGCAACGUCACGAUGGCACAGUUGCUUGGUUAGCGGCGUGCAUGUCUGCUGCUCUCGCAGAUCCAUCCUCUGAGCCACGCACGUAUCAAGCUGCUAUGCGCAUUCCUCAUUGGAGAGAGGCCAUGGAGCAGGAGUAUCAAGCGCUUCUUCGCAAUCAGACAUGGACUCUUGUUCCUCCACAAUCACGGGUAAAUGUCAUUGAUUCCAAAUGGGUUUUCAAAGUGAAGAGGCAUUCUGAUGGGUCCAUUGAGCGCUAUAAGGCUCGUCUGGUUGCUCGUGGUUUUCGACAGCGUUUUGGACUUGACUAUGAAGACACCUUCAGUACAGUGGUCAAGCCUACUACCAUCAGACUUCUUCUCUCUCUGGCUGUUACUCGAGGUUGGUUUCUUCUUCAGCUUGAUGUUCAAAAUGCUUUUCUUCAUGGUGUCUUGGCGGAGGAGGUUUACAUGCGCCAGCCUCCGGGUUUCUUUGAUCCGGAUCGCCCUGAUCAUCUCUGUCGUCUGUCCAAGGCAAUUUAUGGUCUGAAGCAGGCUCCUCAUGCUUGGCAUGCUCGUCUUGCAAUGGCUCUUCGUGCUCAUGGUUUUGCAUCAUCAACUGCUGACUCCUCAUUGUUUCUUCUUCAAAGGCCUGAGGUUACUAUGUACUUGUUGGUCUAUGUAGAUGAUAUCAUUUUGGUCAGCUCCUCUCAGUCGGCUGCUACUGCGCUUGUUCGCUCACUUGGUGCUGAUUUUGCGGUCAAGGACCUUGGGAAGCUUCAUUACUUCCUUGGUGUGGAGGUUACUUCUCGUGCUGCUGGUCUUGUUAUGACGCAGAAGAAGUACUCUCUGGAUUUGUUGCAGCGAGCUGGGAUGCUUAAGUGCAAACCGACGACUACACCCAUGUCUACCAAUGAUAAGCUCAAUGCUGUUGAUGGUGUGCUUCUUUCUUCUUCUGAUGCGACCGAGUACCGGAGUAUUGUUGGUGGGCUCCAGUACUUGACGAUCACGCGACCAGACAUUUCCUAUGCUGUUAACCGAGUCUGCCAGUAUCUGCAGUCACCCCGUGACACUCAUUGGUCUGCUGUUAAGCGGAUUUUGCGCUAUAUUCGUUUCACGGUGGCUCAUGGUUUGCAUAUUCGGCCGUCUGACUCUGGUUGUCUUUCAGCAUAUUCUGAUGCAGAUUGGGCUGGCAAUCCGGAUGACAGGCGAUCCACGGGGGGUUAUGCUGUCUUCUUUGGCUCUAACCUGAUUGCCUGGAGUGCUCGGAAACAGGCUACUGUCUCGCGUAGCAGUACUGAGGCUGAGUAUAAGGCUGUGGCCAAUGCCACAUUAGAGAUUAUCUGGGUACAGUCCUUGCUUCAGGAGUUAAGUAUACCCCAAUCACAGCCUCUUGUUCUUUGGUGUGAUAACAUCGGUGCUACAUACCUUUCUGCAAAUCCGGUAUUCCAUGCCCGAACGAAACACAUUGAAGUUGACUAUCACUUUGUGCGUGAACGUGUCUCUCAGAAGCAACUACAGAUCAAGUUUAUUUCUUCCAAGGAUCAACUUGCUGACAUCUUCACCAAGCCAUUGCCUUUGCCACAGUUUGAGACUUGCAGGCGCAAUCUUACCCUUCUAGAUUCAUUAGAAAGUGGCUAAGAUUGAGGGAGGGUGUUAGACUGUAUUUACAUGUGUAUAUUGUAACGUUGUAUACCACCUCAUUAUAUAUAUGUGAUAGGCCACCCCUAGAGGGUUGUGCCGGUUCCCCCCAAAGCCUAUUGUCUUACAAUUCAGAUCAAAGCUUCAAUAUGGGCAAUGACAAUGGUUAAUCUACAACAAUAACAAAAUUGAUUCAUACUUGUAUGCUUAAACAAAGUGAUACUGCAUAUGUGAAUUUGGGAUAGCAAUAUAUAAGCUGAGAUGGCGUAUGUGCAGUACAUAAUGUCUAUACCCGAACACGCUGGAGCAUCAAAGGGGUUUGAUCGUCCUAGAACUGCACGACUUUAGCCGCGAACAGUCAGAUUCAUUUGAUCUUGUGGGUCCUGUCCACGGCCGUGGAAUCGACAUGAACAAAAGCACGUAGCCUUACGGGAGGAUAGGUAAGGGAGAUGGGACGGCUUUGGCGGAAUCGACAUGAACCAAAACAGCUGGCCAUACUAUGGUGCGAUCCGGAUCUUGGUGGUGUGGUGACCUGACGUCUUUCAUUGGAGGUCACGGGCAGAAGCGAGACGGAGGGAGGGAGAGCAAGACUGCAGCAGGCGUCACCACUAUAGACACAGGUUGACCUAGUCGGGGCAACCGGAGGCAGCUGGACCAGCGAUCAUGCCGGAGGAGCUCCUUGAUGCAGAGAUCAGUUCCCCGUCGCUGCACCCUGUUGUAGACAGGGGAAACGACAAGUAGUCUCAACAACCAUAUCUAUAUAGAUGCCUCUAGGACUUCAAAUCAGAGAUCUAGCUUGUGCUCCAUAGAUCUCAACAAAAGAGUUAUCUACAUUUUGAGGCUUAAGUGGAAAGAUUUGUAUAAUUACACUAGCUAGCUAGUGUUUCCUUUUUUUCUAUUCCCUCCUUGUACAUAUGUAUCACAAAGAAAAUAAAAAUAAAUUAACAUAUGUAGUACAAGACUAUUGUCGCUCGUAGAAAACUUCCCUUUGUAAUUCAACCACGCUAAGUACCACUAAGAUUUCCCCUCUCUUUAUAUAAUUAUGAUUUCCCCUCUCUUUUUGUAAUAAUGAAAAUCUAGUUCUGGUGGAUUCUUUGUAUUUUGAAAGUGACAACCGCAAAACAAUUAGUGAUUUCUACCAGUCAUUGAGCGCCGCAAAAUCACCCGUUAGUGAUAGCAAACCUGCAUUUGAUGAGUAUUAAGACGGGUUGACGAUGUGUUACCUACCCGUUCGUCAUGGAUGGAGUGUCGGUUACACAGGCCACUCUCUAGUAGUGCAUGAUAUUAUGACAUCCAGUCUAAGCCAGGUUUAUAAUAAGUGUGAUAUGAGUUUAAUAUUUGAAGUGAUUUUAUAUGUUGGCUCCCUGGGUGUAUGUCUUCUUAAGUACGAUGUGCAUCUAGUCUAAACAUUAUCUCUCCAAGCUUGGUGUUAUGUUGAAUAUGAAGGUCAUGUUGCAUCAUAAAAAUUAAUACUUGAUCAUUAAAAUUGUGACAUGUGAAAGUCCGAGAUUAGGUGUUUCUUUUUUAUGUUCUUAGCCAUAUACAUGUUGUUUUAACUAAUGACAAUAUAUCUUGUCACCAUUACUAUUCUUAGAUUAGUUAUUUACCAAAGCUCAUGCAUACCAUCCACCAAAAAGAAUUGUGUUUAUGGUAAGUUAUAUGUGAGUUCUAGAUUUAGGUUGUUCUUCUACAAAAGUGGCUACAUGUGUUGAUUAACUGAUGUCUUCUAUGAGAUGGUCGUUAUGUCCUUGUAAGUUUGUUGUAUUGCGAUGAUUAAUGGCAUACUUUAAAAUUAAGCCAAUUUACAAUAUCUUCAUGGAGAGCUCUAGAUCCACGGUACUUUUCAAUGUUGUUAAUGGGGCAUAUGUGGUAUCAAUGGAUCACAUGUGGCCACCAUCUCUUCACAUGUCUAAUAUGGCUCUAAUUUCUUGAUAAGGCAUAUUCACGUCUAUUAAGAAAACCUUGAUUUCUCAUAUUCAUUAAUUCAUAUAUGAGACAUAGUUGUUGUUCUUGGUAGUGUUAUGCAACCAGAAAAAGUAAUGGAUUCUAGUCUCUUCAGUUGAAGUUUGGACUUGUGCUAUCUUUUAAUUUAAUUGUUUAAUGAGCAUGGCUUCUAUUUUUAGUUGACAAGCUAAUGUUUGCCUCACAAUAUUCUAAGAGGUGCAUUGUGGUAAAUACAUGUUCCACUUCCAUCAUUCCUCAGAUGACAAUGAUCUACAACAACAAAAUUGUAGGUACUGAUGAAAAAACAUCAUGGACCAAGACCUGGAACACUGAGCAUGCAUAUUUUUCCCAAACAUCCUAAUUAAGAUAGUAGUCCAAAGGAUAAUGAAUUUGGAAAUAAAUAUAUUUUAUUUCAAUAUAGCUCUUACAUGGAAGCGCUAACAAGCAUCUACAAAAGCUCUCCAUAGUCUGUAAGAAUAUCAAUAUCUUGUCCAGUGGAAGAGGGCUGCACAUCAACCCAUCCACCAUUUACCAUGGAAGACUGUCCUAGAUCCGUACCGCUAGAGCCUAAGUAAGCAUCCAUCCCUAGGAAACUAUUGUAGUACGACUGAUCUGAUAGAGGAAAACCCCAUUGUUCAGUGUUAAAUGGGUCAUCAAUAGAAAAGGCAUUGCCACUCGAGUACCCCAAUAGUGGAGAGGCCUCCAAAUUCUGCCCGGAUGUUGAGUCAUGGUUUGCGUCAUUUUGUUGUGGUUGAACUACGUUGCAAGUACUUUCAUAGUUCUGAACAUGCAACUCCUCUUGUGGAGUUUGCUCAUGUACCUGAUUUGUUGUGGGUUGGACAUGGGAAGCCAAGGGUGGAGCUAAAGACGAUGGUGCGGAAUGGAACAUUUGUGGUACCUUCAUAGGAAAAAGUGGUGCCGAAGUUUGUUCUGGUUGUGAUGGUAGUGGAUCGGAAGGUAGCUGGAGUUGUGAGAGAUUGUGAGCCCACGAUGACUGCAUAAGUAAAUGAGUAGUACCCAAAUGAUCUGCCGGCAGAACACUUGGUAGUUGCAGAUCUUGUGCCACACAUGUGCCACCGGUGUUGUCUUCACGACCAUGUAUUGGAGGUAGCCGGAAUCUAAUGUCUUUUUGGACCCGAGAGAGCUCACUAAAGAGCUUGUUCAGAUCUUCAAGACUGAGAUCUUGUUCCUUCGUGAAGAUGAGAUUUGCCACCAUACCUGGAUUCUCUUCUUGGAUAUUUUUCAUACGAAGGAUGGAAAGGUUGUUUUUGUCUUCCUCGGUCAUGUUCUCCAUGUCCAACUGAGCCACCUCGUUUUGUAGGCUUCCAAUCCUAGCAGUGGUUGCCUCGUCGGCAGAGGGAACUGCUGGUGGAGUUCCAAAUAGGGAAGCAUCAACAAUGGGAUCGGCCAAUGGCGUCCCAAAUGAGUGCAUCUUUCCAAUGUUUGUUUCUAGGACGACCGCAACCCUAGCCCUAGUGAGGGCAGAAAUGUCAGUCACCCUCUUGAACAAACCGGAACGUCGCUUGUAGACGGUGAGAUCACGUUCUUUGUCAUUAUGGAUGUAUGCCAAACCUGACUGCCGCUCUUUCCUCGGCAUACUAAUGUGGACAAAGAGGAAGAAACUAACUACUACAAAUAGGAAGCACAAGGAUCUGCAGAAAACUAGAGAUUUAGGAGCACUGUUGGCUAACCACAUAUUGGUGUAGGAUAUGAGAAGAUGUACUCCCCUUAUAUAGAAUUAAAAGGGUUGUAUGGCAGUGGUAUUUGACUAUACAAAGACCAUGUAAAUCUUUAGUAAAAAUUAACAUACAUAACUCACAAAAAGUGCUAUUUUAUGGAUACUAUUAACUAUCGUCCAAAUAUACAUAUGUGAGUGCAUCCACAUCCUUCUUUGCAAACACUGAUAUGUAUUUCUUCUGAUGUAAGUAUUCACAUCCAUAUAUAGAACUAUUAACACUUUUAAAAAUAGAAAUAUUAAAUGAUUCCCAUUUGACCACAUUCAUAUCCUUAUCUAGAAGUAUUAAUGGGAGUUAAACCCAACUAAGUUUUACUCUAAUAUACAAAAUAAUUGUGGUCAAAUUUAUUUGGUUGUUAAUUGCAUCCAAAUCCUUUGUUGAUCACAUUGAUUACAUACUAAUGUAUCCUUGAUCAUAUUGAUUACAUCCAUAUCCUCUACUAGGAACUACCUAAUCUAGAAGUGGUCGUCCUUUAAUCCAUAAUAUCCAAGUAUAACAUGGACCUUGCUUUGGUGCUUAACUUAGAAAUUGAGAUACCAACUAGGACAGAUAUACUAAGAGCAACUAUAAAAUACUAGGACAUUUGGUAAGUCAUGGUAUAACACAUAUGUUACUCGGAGCAUCGACCUGCUUCCUUGGUGAGCCCAGUUCCCGCUCAAGAUGUGUUUUUAUUGGUUACACAUGUAUAUCUUGGGCCCUAGUUUUUUAUGGCCCAUAAAAUAAUAUGUGUAAGGCUUUUUCUGGAAGGAUCCAACACAACCUAAUCUAUUAUGUAUUAAAAGAAUUGACGGGCUCACCAGAAAAACAUAAAAAUGCUAGAAAAUAACUCAAAAAUAAAAACAACUAAUUGUCUAUCUAUUAUAUAUUAAAAGCAAUUGACGGGCUCACCAGAAAAAAGAUAUAGAUGCUAGAAGAUCUCUCAAAAAUCAAAAACAUCUGACUGUCUAUUUAAUAGGCUAAUAUUUUAUAACCAUUAGAUUAGGUUUAAGUGAAAUAAUUACCCACCAUUGCCAUUAUAAGAAAAAAGUGUUCCAUCUAACUUAUUAGGAUGUGGGCUGAUGCCAUCUUAUUAGGACGUGGGCUGAUGACAUAAUAUAAUGGAAAAAACGUUAUGUUCCCAUAGUACCAAAAGGACUGCUCACACAUGAACACAGUGGCAGCAAUGUUCAUGUAAAUGAUCUUUGUGAUUAAUUCCCCCUUGGUAGAGUACCUGAAAAAGCCUCCAGGUUGGAUCUCCCCGGAGCAGAGUGGUGGGCGGCGCAAAAAUCAUCUGUUAAUAUUUCUAACGUUUUCGGGAGUAUAUAAAGGCAGCGGAAGAAAGAUGCGAUGGAGGCAACCUCUAUGGCGGCCAUGCUCCCCCUUGGAUGCUCUUGCCGACCUGUGGCAUGUGUCCUAGGAGGGGUGGGGGUGGGUCUAGGUCCCUCCGGCUUCCUUUCUUCAUGAAACUUAGUGUUUUUUUCUAGUUUUUUGGUCCCUAAAAAGUUGAUUUUUUUCUUCUGAAAAUUCAAAAACACAACAACUAGCACUUUGCACUGAAUUAAUAGGUUAAUCAAGAAAAACUAUAAAAGUUGAUGCCAAUACUAUGCCAUUAUGAUAUAAGUAUAGGAUGAAACAAUAAAAAUUUCUUGAUACAUAUAGUACAUAUCAACUGGCAUGAAUAAAUUGAUGUUUUUCUAGGGAUUGUUAAUACUCGACAAUAUUGUUCUCCUAGAUAACCAGACACAAGGUACUCCUUGGUCCCUAUUGGUUCGAUGUCCAGGCUAAGAUUGUGACUAGCAUGAAUAAAUUGAUGGCUUUCUCUAUCGCUCACUAUUACUUGAUGGAACUUCAGCUGGGUAGCUGGACAGAAGCGAGGUUAUUCCUACCAAUUAGAAAUGGGCGACUCCCAUUCCGUAGCCAUCUGCACGUUACUACAAGCUAAAAUGGUGCCAAGCACGAAUAAAUCGUUAUAUUUCUCCAAGGCUCAUUAAUAAUGCAUGGUACUAUUCGGUUGGAUAGCCACACAGAAGUAAUGUACUCCUUUUCAACUUGAGGGGAUGACUCUUGGCCUUUAUCCAUCUGUCUAGUCACUAGCACGAAUAAAUUGGUGUCUUUCUCUACAACAAAUAAUUGAUGGUACUAUUCAGCCAGACAACCAGUAAGAAGCAAGGUACUCCCUGGUCCCCUGCCGACUCAAGGUGGAUGGCUGCUGGUAAUAUAUGCAUUAAUCCAAACUCAAACGGUGACUAGCACGAAUAAAUCGAUGUCCUUCUUUUUGGCUCUUUAAUACUUCCACUUUUCGACUAGGUUGUCUGAAAACAUGAGGUGGGCACCUCCUGAUACGGAGACGCAUGCACAUUAAUCCAUGCUAAAAUGGUGACUUGCACAAAUAUAUCGAUGUCUUUCUCUAGGGCUCAUUAACACUUGAUGGUAUGGUUUGGUUGGACAACAGGACAAAAAGCAAGGUAUUCCAGGAUUUCUUGUCCAUAUAGGGUGGAUGGCUCCAGGCACGGCCAGUUACACAUUAAUCCGGGCUCGUCUAACACGAAUAAAUGGAUGUCUUUCUCUAUGGCUCAUUAAUACUUGAUGGCACUCUUUGGUUAGGCGGUGUACAAAAGCGAGGUACUCCCUUCUGAUUUCGGGUGGUUGUGGGGCCACUAGACGGACACAAGCAAGGUAUUGCCUGUCACUUGGGGGGAUAUUUUAAAUAUUGUUUUUGUUACAUAAAUUUCAAAAAUAUAACACUAAAAUAUAAUAUUGUACCAGUAGUACUCCGACAUGUCGGUGCCAACAAUGACAGGUAUCAUUGGCACUACCAAUGAUACAUCUGUUAUGUUGUUAUUUUGAGUCAAUGGGCCAUCAUCAGUGCAUCCUGCAUCAGCCCUCCUGCAUGACACACUCGUACAGAGCUAGCUAUGUUAGAGCAUGUACAAUGGUGCUAUCUUCCAAUGUCACCUAAGAUCACUGCUGAGUUAGAAGAGAGCGAAUGGAGGGAAAAAAAGGCUUGCCAUCUCUUACCUAAGAGAUGGUUUGUCAGUAAAGAAGAUAAGACAAUUCUAUCCAUUUUACUAGAUGUCAUCUCUUAGCUACAUAUUUUCUAGUUUAAUUUUAACCAUCGCAUUAAUUUAAGAGCAUGUAAACUUUGCUUGUUAGGCUAAGAGCUAAUUCAUUGUAUCAUAUGUUUUUAAGCUUCUCCAAAUGACAUACAUUGCAUCAGCCCUCCCACAUGACACACUCGUACAGAGCUAGCUACCUUAGGUCGUCGUGUACAAUGAUGCUAUCUUCGCAAUGUCACCUAAGAUCAUUGAUGAGUUAAACGAGAGUGAUUGGAGGAAAAAAGGCUUGCCACCUCUUACCUAAGAGAAGGUCUCUCAGGAAAAGAAGAUAAGACAGUUCUACCCAAUGUACUAGAUGUCAUCUCUUAUAUUUUCUAGUUUAAUUUUAACCAUCGCAUUAAUUUAAGAGCAUGUAAUCUUUGCUUGUUAGACUAAGAGAUAAUUCAUUGUGUGAUAUGUUUUUAAGCUUCUCCAAAUGACAUACAUAGCAUACGAGAAUAUUGUAACAAAUAACUAUUUGUGUACAGUGUGCUCGGUCUAUUAUGAAGAUAUAAAGCAUGUGCUAUUUGAAUGUAAUGUUGCAAGGGAGGUUUGGGACAAUCUUGGUCUACUGGAACUCACCGAAGAGGCAUGCAUGCUGGACAAUUGAGGUAGUGUUUUUUUUCACAAAUUCACGAAUGUUUUUUAAAUUUGCUAAUGUUAUUUUUAGAAAGCAUGAUUUUUUAGUUUGAGAACAUUUUAAAACUUUCAGAAAUUAUUUUAAUUGGGGAAUAUUUAUAAUUUGAUGAGCAUUUUAAACAUCCUAAACAUUUUUUUAAUUACAGAAUAUAUUUUUUAUAAAGUUGCAAACGUUCUUAAAAUCCAUGGAUUGUUUUUCAAACUUGGAAGCAUUUAUUAAAAUUCUUGAAAAGAUGUUAAAAAUGAACAAAAAUUGUCAGCAUUUGUUAAAAUUUUCACAGCAGGCUUCCCACAAAAAAAAUUCACAGCAGGCACCUUUUAAUUUGUUUUCUAGUAAACAGCUCAAAAAUAGAUCUGUACAAUGGAGAAACAGCUAUAUCUCGCUGUACAGCAAGAUAUAACCUGAGCUCGCCUCUGAGCCCACCUUAGAGGGUGGGCCCAAUGGUCCAGAUUUGGAAAGGUAGUACUGACUGGUACAGACUUGUUUUAGAACCAGUUUCUAAAAAAAACAUGUUUUAGAACCUUUCAAGUUAUUUUUUUCCUUUUUGUUACAGUGUUUUCUUGGUAUACUUCAUUGUUAUUGCGUUUUAUGUUUUUCAUUCCUUUCCUUUUUUUUGCAUUUUUCAAAUAUACGUUGACUUUAUUUAAAUACACAUUGAAAAAUGCAUAUGCAUGUUGAACCUAUUUGGAUACACGUUAAACAUUUUCCAAAUACAAUUUGAAUACUUUUUAAAUACACCUUGAACAUUUGUCAAAUGUACAUUAAACAUCUUCAAAAUACAAUGUGGAAUUUUCUUAAACACACAAUGACCAUUUUUCAUAAAUGCCAUGAAUAUUAUUUUUAGUUGUGCAAACAGUUUUUAAGUGCUACGGAAAUUUCUUCAAACUCAUGAACCUUUUUUGAAUGGUACGAAACAUUUUCUGAAGAUUGCACAAUCAAAUUUUAACAUUAGCAAGGUAACUAAUGAUAAAAGUGAGCGUAAACGGUAUUGCAAUGAUAGGAAACAAGGCCUAGGGUUCAUACUUUCACUAGUGCAAGUUCUCUCAACAAUAAUAACAUAGAUAGAUCAUAUAACAAUCCCUCAACAUGCAACAAAGAGUCACUCCAAAGACACUAAUAGCGGAGAACGAACGAAGAGAUUAUGGUAGGGUGCGAAACCACCUCAAAGUUAUUUUUUUGGAUCAAUUUAUUCAAGAGUUCGUACUAGAAUAAUACCUUAAGACACAAAUCAACCAAAACCCUAAUGUCACCUAGAUACUCCAUUGUCACCUCAAGUAUCAGUGGGCAUGAUUAUACGAUAUGCAUCACACAAUCUCAGAUUCAUCUAUUCAACCAACACAAAGUACUUCAAAGAGUGCCCCAAAGUUUCUACCGGAGAGUCAAGAACGUGUGCCAACCCCUAUGCAUAGGUUCAUGGGCGGAACCCGCAAGUUGGUCACCAAAACAUACAUCAAGAGGCACAUGAUAUCCCAUUGUCACCACAGAUAAGUGAUAUCUACUACACAACCUUCUUCUUGUAGACGUUGUUGGGCCUGCAAGUGCACCGGUUUGUAGGACAGUAGCAAAUUUCCCUCAAGUGGAUGACCUAAGGUUUAUCAAUCCGCAGGAGGCGUAGGAUGAAGAUGGUCUCUCUCAAACAACCCUGCAACCAAAUAACAAAGAGUUUCUUGUGUCCCCAACACACCCAAUACAAUGGUAAAUUGUAUAGGUGCACUAGUUCGGUGAAGAGAUGAAGAUGCAAGUGCAAAAUAGAUGGUAGAUAAAGGUAUUUGUAAUCUGAAAUAAUAAAAACAGCGAGGUAGCGAGCGAUAAAAGUGAGCGUAAACGGUAUUGCAAUGAUAGAAAACAAGGCCUAGGGUUCAUACUUUCACCAGUGCAAGUUCUCUCAACAAUAAUAACAUAGAUAGAUCGUAUAACAAUCCCUCAACAUGCAACAAAGAGUCACUCCGAAGUCACUAAUAGCGUAGAACAAACAUAGAGAUUAUGGUAGAGUACGAAACCACCUCAAAUUUAUUCUUUCGGAUCGAUCUAUAAAAGAGUUCGUACUAGAAUAACACCUUAAGACACAAAUCAACCAAAACCCUAAUUUCACCUAGAUACUCCAUUGUCACCUCAAGUAUCCGUGGGCAUGAUUAUACGAUAUGCGUCACACAAUCUCAGAUUCAUCCAACCAACAUGAAAGUACUUCAAAGAGUGCCCCAAAGCUACUACCGGAUGAUACGUCUCCAACGUAUCUAUAAUUUUUGAUUGCUCCAUGCUACUUUAUCUAUUGUUUUGGACUAUAAUGGGCUUUAUUUUCCACUCUUAUAUUAUUUUUGGUACUAACCUACUAACCGGAGGCCCAGCCCAGAAUUGCUGCUUUUUUGCCUAUUUCAGUGUUUCGAAGAAACGGAAUAUCAAACGGAGUCCAAAUGGAAUGAAACCUUCGGGAACGUGAUCUUCUCACCGAACGUGAUCCAGGAGACUUGGACCCUACUCCAAGGAGUGCCAGAGGCGGUCACGAGGGUGGAGGGCACGCCCUUACACCCUGGGCGCGCCCCCCUACCUCGUGGGCCCCCUGACGCUCCACCGACGUACUCCUUCCUCCUAUAUAUACCUACUUACCCCCAACAGAUCGGGGACGGACCCAAAAUCCUAAUUCCACCGCCGUAACUUCCUGUAUCCACGAGAUCCCAUCUUGGGGCCUGUUCCGGAGCUCCGCCGAAGGGGGCAUCUACCACAGAGGGCUUCUACAUCAUCACCAUAGCCCCUCCGAUGAAGUGUGAGUAGUUUACUUCAGACCUUCGGGUCCAUAGUUAGUAGCUAGAUGGCUUCUUCUCUCUUUUUGGAUCUCAAUACAAUGUUCUCCCCCUCUCUGGUGGAGAUCUAUUCGAUGUAACCUUCUUUUUGCGGUGUGUUUGUUGAGACCGAUGAAUUAUGGGUUUAUGAUCCAACUUACCUAUGGAAAAUAUUUGAUUCUUCUCUGAAUUCUUUUAUGUAUGAUUGAUUUAUCUUUGCAAGUCUCUUAGAAUUAUCCGUUUGGUUUGGCCAACUAGAUUGGUAGUUCUUGCAAUGGGAGAAGUGCUUAGCUUUGGGUUCAAUCUUGCGGUGACCUUAUCCAGUGACAGAAAGGGUUGCAAGGCACGUAUUGUAUUGUUGCCAUCGAGGAUAACAAGAUGGGGUAUUUAUCAUAUUGCAUCAAUUUAUUCCUCUACAUCAUGUCAUCUUGCUUAAGGCGUUACUCUGUUUUUAACUUAAUACUCUAGAUGCAUGCUGGAUAGCGGUCGAUGAGUGGAGUAAUAGUAGUAGAUGCAGAAUCGUUUCGGUCUACUUGUCACGGACGUGAUGCCUAUAUACAUGAGCAUUGCCUGGAUAACCUCAUAACUAUGCUCAAUUCUGUCAAUUGCUCAACGGUAAUUUGUUCACCCACCGUAGAAUACUUAUGCUCUUGAGAGAAGCCACUAGUGAAACCUAUGGCCCCCGGGUCUAUUCUCAUCAUAUCAAUCUCUAUCACUUUAUUUACUUGCUUUUCUUUUACUUUUUACUUUGCAUCUUUAUACCAAAAAUACCAAAAAUAUUAUCUCUAUCAGAUCUCACCCUCGUAAGUGACUGUGAAGGGAUUGACAACCCCUAAGCGUUGGUUGCGAGUAGCUAUCAUUUUGUGCAGGUACGAGGGACUUGCGCGUGGUCUCCUACUAGAUUGAUACCUUGGUUCAUAAAAACUGAGGGAAAUACUUACGCUACUGUGCUGCAUCAUCCUCUCCUCUUCGGGGAAAUCCAACGCAAGCUCGAGACGUAGCACCGGAGAGUCAAGAACGUGUGCCAACCCCUAUGCAUAGGUUCCCAAUGUCACAAAACCCGCAAGUUGAUCACCAAAACAUACAUCAAGUGGAUCGCAAGACAUACAUCAAGUGUUCUCAUAAAAGACUCAAUCCGAUAAAAUAACUUCAAAGGGGAAACUCAACUCAUCACAAGAGAGUAGAGGGGAAGAAACAUCAUAAGAUCCAACUACAAUAGCAAAGCUCGGGAUACAUCAAGAUCGUGCCAUAGUGGGAACCCGAGAGAGAACACGAGAGAGAUAUCAAACACAUAGCUACUGGUACAUACCCUCAGCCCCGAGGGUGAACUACUCCCUCCUCGUCAUGGAUAGCGCCGGGAUGAUGAAGAUGGCCACUGGUGAAGGAUCCCCCCUCCGGCAGGGUGCCGGGAAGGGCUCCCGAGAGGUUUUUGGUGGCUACAGAGGCUUGCGGCGGCGGACAUCCUGAUCUAUCUUCUGUUCUGGAUGUUUUACGAUACGUAAGUAUAUAUGGGUGCAAGGGAUACGUCAGUGGACCGAAGGGGGGCCACGAGGCAGGGGGUGCGCCUAGGGGGGUGGGCCUGGGGCGCGCCCCCCACCCUCGUGAGCACCUCCCUUCUUUCCUGACGUGCACUCCAAGUCCAUGGGGUGGCUUUCCUUCCAGAAAUAACUUCUCCAGUUGAUUUCGUUCCGUUUUGACUCCGUCUGAUAUUCAUUUUCCUCGAAACACUGAAAUAGGCAUAAAACAGCAAAUCUGGGUUGGGCCUCCGGUUAAUAGGUUAGUCCCAAAAAUAAUAUAAAAGUGGAUAAUAAAGCCCAAUGUUGCCUAAAACAGUAGAUAAAAUAGCAUGGAGCAAUCAAAAAUUAUAGAUACGUUGGAGACGUAUCAAGCAUCCCCAAGCUUAAUUCCUGCUCGUCCUCGAGUAGGUAAAUGAUAAAAGAGAAUUUAUGAUGCGGAGUGAUACUUUGGCAUAAUUUCAAUGUAAAUCUUCUUAAUUGUGGUAUGAAUAUUCAGAUCCGAAAGAUUCAAGACAAAAGUUCAUAUUGACAUAAAAAUAAUAAUACUUCAAGCAUACUAACUAAGCAAUUAUGUCUUCUCAAAAUAACAUGGCCAAAGAAAGUUAUCCCUACAAAAUCAUAUAGUCUGGCUAAGCUCUAUCUUCAUCACACAAAGUAUUUAAUCAUGCACAACCAAGUUGAUGAGCCAAGCAAUUGUUUCAUACUUUAAUAAUGUCAAACUUUUUCAACUUUCACGCAAUACAUGAGCGUGAGCCAUGGACAUAGCACUAUAGGUGGAAUAGAAUGGUGGUUGUGGAGAAGACAAAAAGGAGAAGAUAGUCUCACAUCAACUAGGCGUAUCAACGGGCUAUGGAAAUGCCCAUUAAUAGAUAUCAAUGUGAGUGAGUAGGGAUUGCCAUGCAACGGAUGCACUAGAGCUAUAAGUAUAUGAAAGCUCAACAAAAGAAACUAAGUGGGUGUGCAUCCAACUUGCUUGCUCACGAAGACCUAGGGCACUUUUGAGGAAGCCCAUCAUUGGAAUAUACAAGCCAAGUUCUAUAAUGAAAAAUUCCCACUAGUAUAUGAAAAUGACAACAUAUGAGACUCUCUAUCAUGAAGAUCACGGUGCUACUUUGAAGCACAAGUGUGGUAAAAGGAUAGUAGCAUUGUCCCUUCUCUCUUUUUCUCUCAUUUUUUUAUUGGGCCUUUUCUCUCUCUUUUUUAUGGCCACUCUUUUUUUCGUCCGGAGUCUCAUCCCGACUUAUGGGGGAAUCAUAGUCUCCAUCAUCCUUUCCUCACUGAGACAAUGCUCUAAUAAUGAUGAUCAUCAUACUUUUAUUUUUCUUACAACUCAACAAUUACAACUCGAUACUUAGAACAAAAUAUGACUCUAUAUGAAUGCCUCCGGCGGUGUACCGGGAUAUGCAAUGAAUCAAGAGCGACAUGUAUGAAAAUUAUGAAGGUGGCCUUGCCACAAAUACAAUGUCAACUACAUGUUCAUGCAAAAAGCAAUAUGACAAAAGUAAUGUGUGUCAUAUGAACAAAACGGUGGAAAGUUGCAUGGAAAUAUAUCUCGGAAUGGCUAUGGUAAUGCCAUAAUAGGUAGGUAUGGUGGCUGUUUUGAGGAAGGUAUAUGGUGGGUGUAUGGUACCGGCGAAUGUUGCGCGGCACAAGAGAGGCUAGCAAUAAUGGAAGGGUGAAAGGGUGCGUAUAAUCCAUGGACUCAACAUUAAUCAAAAGAACUCAUGCACUUGUUGCAAAAAUUUAGAAGUCAUCAAAAACCAAAGCACUACGCGCAUGCUCCUAGGGGGAUAGAUUGGUAGGAAAAGACCAUCGCUCGUCCCCGACCGCCACACAUAAGGAAGACAAUCAAUAAAUAAAAUUGUGCUCCAACUUCAUCACAAAGCGGUUCACCAUAUGUGCAUGCUACGGGAAUCACAAACUUCAACAGAAGCAUUCUUUAAAUUCAUAAUCACCCAACUAGCAUCACUUUGAUAUUAUCACCUCCAUAUCUCAAAACAUUUAUCAAGCAUCAAACUUAUCUUAGUAUUCAACGCACUCAAAAGAAAGUUUCACAUAUCUUGAAUGCCAAGUAUCUUAAUGUUAAGUAAGUUACCAUGCUAUUAAAGACUCUGAAAAAAAAUAUAAGUGAAGCAUGAGAGUUCAUCUGUUUCUUCAAAAUAAAACCACCAUUGUGCUCUAAAAGAUAUAAGUGAAAUACUAGAGCAAACGACAAACUACUCUGAAAGAUAUAAGUGAAGAUCAAUGAGUAGCUAAAUAAUUAUGCAACUAUGCAAAGACUCUCUCUCAUUAAAGAAUUUCAUAUCUUGUAUCUUAUUCAAACAGCAAGCAAAGCAAAAUAAAAUGACAAUGCAAGGAUAGCACAACUCAUGUGAAGAAGCAAAAACUUAGGCUCAACCGAUACUAACCGAUAGUGAUUGAAGAAGAAAGGUGGGAUGCCUACCGGGGCAUUCCCAAGCUUAGAUGCUUGAGACUUCUUGAAAUAUUAUCUUGGGGUGCCUUGGGAAUCCCCAAGCUUGAGCUUUUAUGUCUCCUUAAUUCCUCUCAUAUCAUGGUUUCUCUUCCUUUAUCAAAAGCUUCAUUCACAACAAACUCAACAAGAACUCGUGAGAUAGGUUAGUAUAAACCAAUGCAAAACCAUAGCAUCUUCUACUGUAACAAACCACUAACAUUAUUAUUCAACAUUGCAUACUAAAUGCCUCUGUAUAUUUAAUACUCCUAUCCUCAAAUAGAAUCAUUAAACAAGCAAACAUACGCAAACAAUGCAAACAUAACACCAAUCUGCCAAAAUAGUACAGUCUGUAAAGAAUGCAAGAGUAACAAUACUUCCCUGACUCCAAAAAUUAUGAACUAAAAUUCGCACUGUAAUAAAUUUAUCAGAGCUUAAUAUGCAAAAAUAUUCAACAUUAUACCAUUCUCUGACUUUUCUCGGGAAUUUUUGCAACAGCGGUAAACUUUCUGUUUUCAAACAGCAACAUGUAUACUAGCAAAAUAAGCAUGGCAAAGGCUAUCCUUGACUUUUUUAUUGAAACUAAAGAUACAAAACAUUAUUCUAAUUAAGAUCAAGCAAAAACUAGCAAAAUAAUAUGACGCUCCAAGCAAAACACAUAUCAUGUGGCGAAUAAAAAUAUAGCUCCAAGUAAAGUUACCGAUGAACGAAGACGAAAGAGGGGAUGCCAUCCGGGGCAUCCCCAAGCUUAGUUGCUUGAUUGUCCUUGAAUAUUACCUUGGGGUGCCUUGGGAAUCCCCAAUCUUAGGCUCUUUCCACUCCUUAUUACAUAAUCCAUCGAAUCUUUACCCAAAACUUGAAAACCUCAACCACACAAAACUCAAAACAAAACUCGUAAGCUCCGUUAGUAUAAGAAAAUAAAUCACCACUUAGGUACUGUAAUGAACUCAUUCUAAAUUCAUAUUUGUGUAAUAUCUACUGUAUUAUAACUUCUCUAUGGUUCAUACCACUUAAUACUAGCCAUAGAUGCACCAAAAUAAGCAAACAACACAAUGAAAACAGAAUCUGUCAAAAACAGAAUAGUCUGUAGUAAUCUGUAUCAAAUGUAUACCUCUGGAACACCAAAAAUUAUGAAAUAAAUUUCUGGACCUGAAUAAUUUGUCUAUUAAUCAUCUGAAAAAAGAAUCAACCUAAAAGCACUUUUCAGUAAAAAAUUGCAGCCAUUCUCGUGAGCGCAAAAGUUUCUGUUUUCUACAGCAAGAUCAUUUAAACUUCACCCAAGUCUUCCCAAAGGUUCUACUUGGCACUUCAUUGAAAUAAAAGCUAUAAAACAUGAUUACUACAGUAGAAUAAUAAUGUGGACACACAAAAACAGUAAGGGUAAAUAUUGGGUUGUCUCCCAACAAGCGCUUUUCUUUAAUGCCUUUCUAGCUAGGCAUGAUGAUGACAAUGAUGCUCACAUAAAAGAUAAGAAUUGAAACAUAACGGGAGCAUCAUGAAGCAUAUGACUAGCACAUUUAGGCCUAACCCUCUUCCUAUGCAUAGGGACUUUGUGAGCAAACAACUUAGGGGAACAAUAAUCAACAAGGAUAGGAAGGUAAAACAAGCAUAACUUCAAGAUUUUCCACACAUAGAGAGGAAACUUGACAUUAUUUUAAUUCCUACAAGCAUAAGUUCCUCCCUCAUAAUAAUUUUCAGUAGUAUCAUGAAUGAAUUCAACAAUAUAACCAGGACCUAAAGCAUUCUUUUCAUGAUCUACUAGCAUAGAAAAUUUACUACUCUCCACAUAAGCAAAAUUCUUCUCAUGAAUAAUAGUGGGAGCAAACUCAACAAAAUAACUAUCACAUGAUUGAAAAUUAAGAUCAAGAUGACAAGUUUCGUGGUUAUCAUUAUUCUUUAAAGCAUACGCGUCAUCACAAUAAUCAUCAUAGAUAGGAGGCAUGCUUUCAUCAUAGUAAAUUUGCUCAUCAAAGCUUGGAGGACAAAAAAUAUCAUCUCCAUCAAACAUAGCUUACCCAAGCUUGUGGCUUUGCAUAUCAUUAGCAUCAUGGAUAUUCAGGGAAUUCAUACUAACAACAUUGCAAUCAUGCUCAUCAUUCACAUAUUUCAUGCCAAGCAUUCUAUGUAAUUCUUCUUCUAGCACUUGAGCACAAUUUUCCUUUCCAUCAUACUCACGAAAGAUAUUAAAAAGACAAAGUGUAUGAGACAAACUUAACUCAAUUUGUUGUAGUUUUCUUUUAUAAACUAAACAAGUGAUAAAACAAGAAACGAAAAGAUUCGAUUGCAAGAUCUAAAGAUAUACCUUCAAGCACUCACCUCCCCAAAAAAGAGCUUAGUUGACGGAGUGUGAGUACCCUUUACCUAGCUUCCCCGGCAACGGCGCCAGAAAAGAGCUUGAUGUCUACUACACAACCUUCUUCUUGUAGACGUUGUUGGGCCUGCAAGUGCACAGGUUUGUAGGAUAGUAGCAAAUUUCCCUCAAGUGGAUGACCUAAGGUUUAGCAAUCCCUAGGAGGCAUAGGAUGAAGAUGGUCUCUCUCAAACAACCCUGCAACCAAAUAACAAAGAGUCUCUUGUGUCCCCAACACACCCAAUACAAUGGUAAAUUGUAUAGGUGCACUACUCCGGCGAAGAGAUGAAGAUGCAAGUGCAAAAUAGAUGGUAGAUAAAGGUAUUUAUAAUCUGAAAUAAUAAAAACAGCAAGGUAGCGAGCGAUAAAAGUGAGCGUAAACGGUAUUGCAAUGAUAGGAAGCAAGGCCUAGGGUUCAUACUUUCACUAGUGCAAGAUCUCUCAACAAUAAUAACAUAGAUAGAUCGUAUAACAAUCCCUCAACAUGCAACAAAGAGUCACUCCGAAGCCACUAAUAGCGGAGAACAAACGUAGAGAUUAUGGUAGGGUACGAAACCACCUCAAAGUUAUUCUUUCGGAUCGAUCUAUUCAAGAGUUUCUACUAGAAUAACACCUUCAGGCACAAAUCAACCAAAACCCUAAUGUCACCUAGAUACUCCAUUGUCACCUCAAGUAUCCGUGGGCAUGAUUAUAUGAUAUGCGUCACACAAUCUCAGAUUCAUCCAACCAACAUGAAAGUACUUCAAAGAGUGCCCCAAAGCUACUACCGGAGAGUCAAGAACGUGUGCCAACCCCUAUGCAUAGGUUCCCAAUGUCACGAAACCCGCAGGUUGAUCACCAAAACAUACAUCAAGUGGAUCGCAAGACAUACAUCAAGUGUUCUCAUAAAAGACUCAAUCCGAUAAAAUAACUUCAAAGGGCAAAUUCAAUUCAUCACAAGAGAGUAGAGGGGGAGAAACAUCAUAAGAUCCAACUACAAUAGCAAAGCUCGGGAUACAUCAAGAUCGUGCCAUGGUGGGAACACGAGAGAGAACUUGAGAGAGAGAGAUCAAACACAUAGCUACUGGUACAUACCCUCAGCCCCGAGGGUGAACUACUCCCUCCUCGUCAUGGAUAGCGUCGGGAUGAUGAAGAUGGCCACCGGUGAAGGAUCCCCCCUCCGGCAGGGUGCCGGGAAGGGCUCCCAAGAGGUUUUUGGUGGCUACAGAGGCUUGCGGCAGCUGAACUCCCGAUCUAUCUUCUGUUCUGGAAGUUUUACGAUACGUAGGUACAUAUGGGUGCAAGGGGUACGUCGGUGGACCGAAGGAGGGGGGCCACGAGGCAGGGGCGCGCCCCCCACCCUCGUGAGCACCUCCCUUCUUUCCUGACGUGCACUCCAAGUCCAUCGGGUGGAUUUCCUUCCAAAAAUAACUUCUCCAGUUGAUUUCGUUCCGUUUUGACUCCGUCUGAUAUUCCUUUUCCUCGAAACACAGAAAUAGGCAUAAAACAUCAAAUCUGGGCUGGGCCUCCGGUUAAUAGUUUAGUCCCAAAAAUAAUAUGAAAGUGGAUAAUAAAGCCCAAUAUUGCCUAAACAGUAGAUAAAAUAGCAUGGAGCAAUCAAAAAUUAUAGAUACGUUGGAGACGUAUCAAUAAGCACGGCAAGACAUACAUCAAGUGUUCUCAUAAAAAACUCAAUCCGAUAAGAUAACUUCAAAGGGGAAAACUCAAUUCAUCACAAGAGAGUAGAGGGGGAGAAACAUCAUAAGAUCCAACUACAAUAGCAAAGCUCGGGAUACAUCAAGAUCGUGCCAUAGAGGGAACACGAGAGAGAGAGAGAUCAAACACAUAGCUACUGGUACAUACCCUCAACCUCGAGGGUGAAGUACUCCCUCCUCGUAAUGGAGAGCGCCGGGAUGAUGAAGAUGGCCACCGGUGAAGGAUCCCCCCUCCGGCAGGGUGCCGGGAAGGGCUCCCGAGAGGUUUUUGGUGGCUACAGAGGCUUGCGGGGGCGGAACUCCCGAUCUAUCUUCUUCGUGGAUGUUUUUAGGGUACGUGGGACUAUAUAGGCAAAAUAAGUCGGUCGGAAGGUGCUCGAGGGGUCCAUGAGACAGGGGGCGCGCCCUCCUAUCUCGUGGCCUCCUCGAGGCUCUUCUGACGUGAACUCCAAGUCUCCUGGGUGAUAUUCUUCCAAAAAAUCACGUUGCCGAAGGUUUCAUUCCGUUUGGACUCCGUUCGAUAUUCCUUUUCUUCGAAAUACUGAAACAGGCAAUAAAACAGCAAUAUGGGCUGGGCCUCCUAUUAAUAGGUUAGUCCCAAAAGUAAUAUAAAAGUGUAUAAUAAAGCCCAUAAUCAUUCAAAACAGAUAAUAUAAUAGCAUGGAACAAUCAAAAAUUAUAGAUACGUUGGAGACGUAUCACUACCCUACACUCAAGAAGCCCGGUCCACGUGGCGUCAUCACCAUUAGAGGAAUCACAGAGCGCUCUUCACGCGCAGAGGAACACGUGACGGCCCUGGCAGCCGGACUAUAAGCGGCCUCCAAUAUUAGAAAACAUGACUGGUCAUUAAGACCACAGACAGGUUAGACGAGUCCGGUAGCCCGGAUAAAAUUAAACCAGGGCACCGUAUAUGUAAUCCCGUAGCGGACACCAGGGGCUAUAAAUAUUUAAUACAGCCCCACACUUGGCUCAACCUUAUUGCCAGGCCAACAUCUUACACUUUUACUAUCCAUGGCAUACUUACGUUGUACUCUCCUACGAGUUUUCCUUUUUCCACAGACAACGUUCGUGUGAUACCCUUCCAGGAUACGGCACAACGGAGAUAAAGGCGCAGACAUGCAGCAGGGCCCCGUUCAAUAGGUUUCUUUUUAGAUUAAGCCCCUGUGUAAACCUUUUCUAUUGCCUCUUGUUGUUUAACCAUCCCAUGGGUUCCAUACCCACAGAGGAUACUGUCAUUAUUGGCAUUUCGCCACAAUAGAUUACCGCACGUACCUGGAAACACACGGUUUAUGAUGAAUGGGCAUUCUUUAGCCCAUCUUCUGUUACAAAGCCCGAAUACCUUCGGGAGUGUUCGGCUUCACGAGUUUGGCCUUAUAUGCAUCAGCUCUGAAUCAUGUCUUUGGUCAAAUGUUGGGUUUGCCCGGCUCCUGGGUUUGCUGCCUUACAUUCCGUUAUUAUCGGCUAAGGCGGCCAAAGGAGAACUACUGCGAUUGUACCCUGGUUAUUCCGGAUAGGCACCUCAGUAGAGAAAGCCGAAAACUGACUGUCAUGAUGCAGCAAGAGACUGUUCAACCACUCGAAGACUCACCGGAAUCUUUAGGAUUCCUCCGCAUUAACGAAGGGCCGUUUCCCGGCCAUGUACAUACGCGCCCGUAUUCGGAUGCACGCGAAGGUACCAGGGGCUACAUAGUAGCCCCACCUUUAGACUCCCAUGGCUAAGCAGAAGUGUUACAGCUAUAUAGUCCGGUUGCCUAGUUCGACGUGCGAUCACCUCCUUAAUGGACCAAGACGUUGGAUCAAGUGUGAUUAAGCAUAUUUUUCGCGAAUACCCUCGCAUUGUAUGCGUGGGGGCUGAAGCCAAUGACUGCUAACUUUUGGAUUACUUAUAUACAUAUAUAAAAACGGCCGCACAGGGGACACAAUAUUCUUUUCAGGCAAAAAGUAUAAAUAUAGCCUCAUAAUCAAAAUAAACAUGUUUUACAAUGAUUCGAUUUAUCACUCGAACAAGACAUUCUUCGAGCACUGCGCCUCUAUUAGCCGGGCACCUUCUGUGACCUGCGCCAAGUAGUGCUCAGUCGGAUAUUGGCCUCCUGCCGGAUCCUGGGUUGCUACAAUGGUAGCCUCCAAAUCCGACCAAUAAGCUUUAACGUGGGCAAGAGCCAUUCGUGCACCCUCUAUGCACGCCGACCUCCUCAUGGCAUCGAUCCGAGGCACGGCCCCAAGGAAUUGUUGCACCAAACCAAAGUAGCUGUCCGGCUUAGGCCCCUUCGGCCAAAGAUGGUCUAUUACAGACCGCAUUGCAAGCCCAGACAGCCCGUGAAGCUCCGCCAUAGCAGCCAUCUUCUCAUUUAACGGCAGCGGGCGGGUGGGAGCAUUGAAUUGCGACCAGAAAAGCUUCUCCACUUCCUUAUCACCUUGAUCCUCGAAGAACUUGGCAGCGUCAGCCGUACUAUUCGCCAAGUCCGCAUAUGCGUCGGCCGGACUCCGGCGUCCAUCUAGGGGAGCAUACUUCGGAUCCAAAAACUUCAUCCGCAGUAAGUAGGAGCCCCCAGCCACGAUUUGGUCGGCCUGUUGGAGCUCCUCCCGCAUACCCGGGAUCUCGGUCCGCAUCUCCUUGGUGGCAUUAAGUGCCUUGUCCAGCUCGGCCGAGCUAGCCUUAUUCUCCUUUUCAAGCAGUACAUAUCGGUCGGUGGCAUUUUUUAGCUCCACAACCAUUUUGGCUAUCUUUUCCUCACUUCGGCGAUGAGCAUCCUAUUCGGCUCUCAAUUCUUCGGCCCCCUUUAGGGCAGCCGCAUUGCUAGCCCGAGCUUGUUCCUUGGCUUGAGCAAGUUCCGCCCUCAGGGCCUCCACAGCAGCAGCACCAUCUGCAGUACAAACACAUUGCAUUAAUAUUAUGCCCCUCUCACAUUUUCCUAUACAACAUAAUAAGGGAAGCAGAGCACAUACCCGGUGACUCUUCCAGCCAUUUGUUCACCAGCGUGAUAUCGGCAUCGAUCAAUCCGAUCUGCCUCCUUAGUUCGGCAACUUCAACAGACUGGUCGGCUGCCGGAUCCUUAGAUACCUGCGCACAUGUACAACACAGCCAUUACUAUAUGAUCCCCCGUUUGCCGCCUAUGGCGGGCAACCAGAGUCUCAGGGGCUACUAUCCAUAUGGAGCACACCUAGUGCAUGCCUCACAGCCAAAAAAUAGUGCAUUUUUUUACUACAUACCUCAAAGCCUCUGAGCAGGCUCGUAAAUGCCUCAUUCAAACCGCUUGUAGCGGAUGAAAUCUUCUUAAGCACCGCACUCAUUAAUGAGCGGUGCUCCGCUGAGAGCGCAACUCGCUCCAGAAGACCUGUCAGUACGUCCGGCCGGGCAUCGAACUGUGCCAGACCCUUCUCAUCACCCCCCAUGGGAGCCAAACGCUCCGGGCUCAGGGCGACUGACGUAUUGGCCUCUGUCUUCGGCAGAUCUGGACUCCUCCAUGACGACACCUCAGUGUUGCCCGCUUCAUGAGGCGGAGAGGUGGGUGGGGUGUCGCUCUCCAUCAUCUCCGGAGGAAGAUCCCCCAAAGAUGAACUCUGUUGAGGAGAGCUGCUAGCCGGACUGCAAAAGAUGAAUCCUGGUUAUUGAUCUCGGAGAAACGCAGUACCCUCAGAAUAGUGAUUAACUUACAGCUCGUUCGAGGGCUGGCCCAUUGGUGGGCCUGACGUGGUGAGAACGCCCGUCGAGACAGAGCCCCCCGGGGACACUUUCUUCCCCUGUUUGGGCAUCUCCGUCUCCAAGUCUUCGGAGGCGGCCCUUUUCUUCCCGCGCAGGGAGGUGGCCUCAGAUUCCCCUCCCCGACUAUCCUCCUUUGGGGAGAAAUCAAUUCCCCCGGUCUGGAUGUGUAGUGUCUGAAGUCCGGCUUCGCUGCCCUUUCCUUCGCCUUUCCCUGAGGGCAUUUUGCUAAGCACCCGGCCAAGCAUCUUGGCAACGGUUGGACCCGGCGAGCCUUCAGGAAGUGGCGCCGGACACCUGAUUCUCUCCGCCUUGUUGAACCAUUCCUGGCCACGGAGGGUUUUUCAGAACAAUGGUUAUGGCAAAUAUAAACAGAGUGUCCGUCUUUAAGGUUACUUACUUGGGUAUCUAUGCGAUUGCAGCUUAGGCCUGCAUCCUCAGUGGUGUCCGGACACUUUACUUGUGGUCCAAAGAAUAAUUUACACAUCCCUUCGAGCUUCAGGCCGAAGAAGUGCUUAAUAGUCCACAGACCCUCCGGAUUGAACUCCCACAUCCGGAGAGGCCGACGUUUGCACGGCAACAUCCGUCGGACUAGCAUUACUUGAAUUAUGCUGACAAGAUUUAUGUCCCUCUCGAUAAGCUCCCAGAUACGGCUCUGCAGUAUUGGAACAUCACUGGCAGGCCCCCAAUUCCGUCCUGCGUCGGUCCAUGACGCCAACUAUAUACAUCGUCCGGACUAUUGAAGCGUGAAGAUACAAGACUCAAGACUUCGGCCUGUGUCCGGAUGGGACUCUCCUUUGCGUGCAAGGCAAGCUUGGCGAUCCGGAUAUUGUGUUUCCUUCCUUGUAACCGACUUCGUGUAAACCUUAGCCCUCUCCGGUGUCUAUAUAAACUGGAGAGGUUGGUCCUUAGAAGGACGAUCACAAUUACAAUCAUACCAUCAUAGGCUAGCUCUUAGGGUUUAGCCUCUACGAUCUCGUGGUAGAUCUACUCUUGUACUACCCAUUUCUUCAAUAUUAAUCAAGCAUGAAGUAGGGUUUUACCUCCAUCGAAAGGGCCCGAACCUGGGUAAACGUUGUGUCCCUCGCUUCCUGUUACCAUCAGCCUAGACGCACAGAUCGGGACCCCCUACCCGAGAUCCGUCGGUUUUGACACCGACAGGCACUGCGAGCUAAAGCUCGCAAAAUCAUCCAAGGGGAUGAUAACACACCAUUCUUCCACAUGAUUGCGAAUGGCAAGCAUUGAAAGAAGAGAAUAUUUCACCUUGAGCAAGAUGAUGGGACGAUUUUAGGGCAGGAGAACCCAAAGGUAUAUAUCACCAAUUACUAUAAGCAGCUGUUUGGGCCUCUCGAGGAUAAUUUCGUAUCCUUGGAUGAGUCAAGGGUUGAGGAUGUUCCUCAGCUCGCAGCAGAUGAGAAUGAUAUUUUGACAGCCCCACUUUCGGAGAAAGAGGUGUUUGAGGCAAUUUCCCAAAUGAAAAAUAAUAAAGCUCCAGUACCAGAUGGUUUUACGGCAGAGUUUUAUAAAAAGUGUUGGCAGAUCAUUAAGGGGGACUUGCUCCCGAUGUUCCAUGAUCUAUUUUUGGGACAGUUACAACUGUUUCACAUGAACUUCGGUACAAUUACUUUGCUUCCUAAGAAAACAUAGGCUGUGAGGAUUGAGCAAUUUAGGCCAAUCUGUCUUCUUAAUGUUAGCUUUAAAAUCUUCACCAAAGUUGGGACUAAUAGGCUUACGCAGAUUGUGUUGGGGAACGUAGCAGAAAUUCAAAUUUUUUUCCUACGAAUCACCAAGAUCUAUCUAUGGAGAGACCAGCAAUGAGUAGAAAGGAGAGUGCAUCUACACACCCUUGUAGAUCGCUAAGCGGAAGCGUUCAAGUGAACGGGGUUGAUGGAGUCGUACUCGUCAUGAUUCAAAUCACCGAUGAUCAAGUGCCGAACGGACGGCACCUCCGCGUUCAACACACGUACAGCCCGGUGACGUCUCCCACGCCUUGAUCCAGCAAGGAGAGAGGGAGCGGUUGAGGAAGACUCCAUCCAACAGCAGCACAACGGCGUGGUGGUGGUGGAGGAGCGUGGCAAUCCCGCAGGGCUUCGCCAAGCACCAGGGGAGAGGAGAAGAACUUGGGAGAGAGGGAGGGGCUGCACCAAAGGCAUAAGGUCUGUUUGGGAGGCCCUCCUACCCCACUAUAUAUAGGGAUCCCAAGGGGGGGUGCACCAGCCCCUAGGAGAUCCAAUCUCCAAGGGGGCNNNNNNNNNNNNNNNNNNNNNNNNNNNNNNNNNNNNNNNNNNNNNNNNNNNNNNNNNNNNNNNNNNNNNNNNNNNNNNNNNNNNNNNNNNNNNNNNNNNNNNNNNNNNNNNNNNNNNNNNNNNNNNNNNNNNNNNNNNNNNNNNNNNNNNNNNNNNNNNNNNNNNNNNNNNNNNNNNNNNNNNNNNNNNNNNNNNNNNNNNNNNNNNNNNNNNNNNNNNNNNNNNNNNNNNNNNNNNNNNNNNNNNNNNNNNNNNNNNNNNNNNNNNNNNNNNNNNNNNNNNNNNNNNNNNNNNNNNNNNNNNNNNNNNNNNNNNNNNNNNNNNNNNNNNNNNNNNNNNNNNNNNNNNNNNNNNNNNNNNNNNNNNNNNNNNNNNNNNNNNNNNNNNACCCCCUACAGCCCAUGUGGCCCCCCGGGGCAGGUGGCCCCACCCGGUGGGCCCCCGGGACCCUUCCGGUGGUCCCGGUACAAUACCGAUGACCCCGAAACUUGUCCCGAUGGCCGAAACAGGACUUCCUAUAUAUAAAUCUUUACCUCCGGACCAUUCCGGAACUCCUCGUGACGUCCGGGAUCUCAUCCGGGACUCCGAACAACAUUCGGUAACCACAUACAAGCUUCCUUUAUAACCCUAGCGUCAUCGAACCUUAAGUGUGUAGACCCUACGGGUUCGGGAGACAUGUAGACAUGACCGAGACGUUCUCCGGUCAAUAACCAACAGCGGGAUCUGGAUACCCAUGAUGGCUCCCACAUGUUCCACGAUGAUCUCAUCGGAUGAACCACAAUGUCAAGGACUUAAUCAAUCCCGUAUUCAAUUCCCUUUGUCUAUCGGUAUGUUACUUGCCCGAGAUUCGAUCGUUGGUAUCCAAUACCUUGUUCAAUCUCGUUACCGGCAAGUCACUUUACUCGUUCCGUAACACAUCAUCCCGUGAUCAACUCCUUGGUCACAUUGCGCAUAUGAUGAUGUCCUACCGAGUGGGCCCAGAGAUACCUCUCCGUUUACACGGAGUGACAAAUCCCAGUCUCGAUCCGCAUAAAACAAUAGAUACUUUCGGAGAUACCUGUAAUGCACCUUUAUAGUCACCCAGUUACGUUGUGACGUUUGAUACACCCAAAGAACUCCUACGGUAUCCAGGAGUUACACGAUCUCAUGGUCAAAGGAAGAGAUACUUGACAUUGGCAAAGCUCUAGCAAACGAACUACACGAUCUUUGUGCUAUGCUUAGGAUUGGGUCUUGUCCAUCACAUCAUUCUCCUAAUGAUGUGAUCCCGUUAUCAACGACAUCCAAUGUCCAUAGCCAGGAAACCAUGACUACCUGUUGAUCACAACGAGCUAGUCAACUAGAGGCUCACUAGGGACAUAUUGUGGUCUAUGUAUUCACACGUGUAUUACGAUUUCCGGAUAAUACAGUUAUAGCAUGAAUAAAAGACAAUUAUCAUGAACAAGGAAAUAUAAUAAUAAUACUUUUAUUAUUGCCUCUAGGGCAUAUUUCCAACAGUCUCCCACUUGCACUAGAGUCAAUAAUCUAGUUCACAUCGCCAUGUGAUUAACACUCACAGGUCACAUCGCCAUGUGACUAAUACCCAAGAGUUUACUAGAGUCAGUAGUCUAGUUUACAUCACUAUGUGAUUAACACUCGAUGAGUUUUAUGUUUGAUCAUGUUGCUUGUGAGAGAGGUUUUAGUCAACGGGUCUGAACCUUUCAGAUCCGUGUGUGCUUUACAAAUCUCUAUGUCAUCUCCUAGAUGCAGCUACCACGCUCUAUUUGGAGCUAUUCCAAACAACUAUUCUACUUGGAGCUAUUCUAAAUUAUUGCUCCAUUAUAUGUAUCCGGUCUCUCUACUCAGAGCUAUCCGGAUAGGUGUCAAGCUUGCAUCGUCGUAACCUUUACGACGAACUCUUUUACCACCUCCAUAAUCGAGAAAAUUCCUUAGUCCACUAGUUACUAAGGAUAACUUUGACCGCUGUCCUGUGAGCCAUGGCAAGGCACACUUCAGGUGCGGUACACAGCAUAGCAUACUGAAGAGCCUACGUCUUAAGCAUAGGGGACGACCUUCGUCCUUUCUCUCUAUUCUGCCGUGGUCGAGCUUUAAGUCUUAACUUCGUACCUUACAACUCAGGCAAGAACUUCUUCUUUGACUGAUCCAUCUUGAACACCUUCAAGAUCAUGUCAAGGUAUGUGCUCAUUUGAAAGUAUUAUUAAGCAUUUUGAUCUAUCCUUAUAGAUCUUGAUGCUCAAUGUUCAAGUAGAUUAAUCCAGGCUUUCCAUUGAAAGACACUUUCAAAAUAACCUUAUAUGCUUUCCAGAAAUUCUACGUCAUUUCUGAUCAACAAUAUGUCAACAACAUAUACUCAUCAGAAAUUCUAUAGUGCUCCCACUCACUUCUUUGGAAAUACAAGUUUCUCAUAAACUUUGUACAAACCCAAAAUCUUUGAUCAUCAUCAAAGCAUACAUUCCAACUCCGAGAUGCUUACUCCAGUCCUUAGAAGGAUCGCUGGAGCUAGCAUACCUUUUAGCAUCCUCAGGAUUGACAAAACUUUUCUGAUUGUAUUGCAUACAACCUUUCCUUACGAAAACUAGUAAGGAAACUUGUCUUGACAUCCAUCUGCCAGAUUUCAUAAAUGAAGCUAAUGCUAACAUGAUUCCGACGGACUUAAGCAUCGCUACGGAUGAGAAAAUCUCAUCGUAGUCAACUCCUUGAACUUGUCGGAAAACACUUCGCCACAAGUCGAGUUUCAUAGAUGGUGACAUUACCAUCCACGUCCGUCUUCUUCUUAAAAUAUCCAUUUAUCUCAAUGGAUUGCCGAUCAUCGGGCAAGUCCAUCAAAGUCCAUGCUUUGUUCUGAUAUAUGGAUACUAUCUCGGAUCUCAUGGCUUCUAACCAUUUGUCGGAAUUCGGGCCCACCAUCGCUUCUCCAUAGCUCGUAGGUUCAUUGUUGUCAGGCAACAUGACCUUCAAGACAGGAUCACCGUACCACUCCGAAGUAGUACGUGUCCUUGUCAUCCUACGAGGUUCGUUAGUGACUUGAUCCGAAGCUUCAUGAUCAAUAUCAUAAGCUUCCACUUCAAUUGGUGUAGGUGCCACAGGAACAACUUCCUGUGCCCUGCCACACACUAGUUGAAGAGACGGUUCAAUAACCUCAUCAAGUCUCCACCAUCCUCCCACUCAAUUCUUUCGAGAGAAACGUUUCCUCGAGAAAGGACCCGAUUCUAGAAACAAUCCUUUAUUGCUUUCGGAUCUGAGACAGGAGGCAUACCCAACUGUUUUUGGGUUGUCCUAUGAAGAUGUAUUUAUCCGCUUUGGGUUCGAGCUUAUCAGCCUGAAACUUUUUCACAUAAGCGUCGCAGCCCCAAUCUUUUAAGAAACGACAACUUAGGUUUCUCUAAACCAUAAUUCAUACGGUGUCAUCUCAACGGAAUUACGUGGUGCCCUAUUUAAAGUGAAUGUGGUUGUCUCUAAUGCCUAACCCAUGAACGAUAGUGGUAAUUCGAUAAGAGACAUCAUGGUAUGCAUCAUAUCCAAUAGGGUGCAACUAUGAUGUUCGGACACACCAUCACAUUAUGGUGUUCCAGGCGGUAUUAAUUGCGAAACAAUUUCCACAAUGUCUUAAUUGUGUGCCAAAACUCAUAACUCAGAUAUUCAUCUCUAUGAUCAUAUCAUAGACAUUUUAUCCUCUUGUCACAAUGAUCUUCUACUUCACUCUGAAAUUACUUGAACCAUUCAAUAAUUCAGACUUGUGUUUCAUCAAGUGAAUAUUCUCAACAUCUACUCGAAUCAUCUGUGAAGUAAGAACAUAACGAUAUUCACUGCAUGCCUCAGCACUCAUUGGAUUGGACACAUCAAAAUGUGUUACUUCCAACAAGUUGCUAUCUUGUUCCAUUUUACUGAAAAUGAGGCUUUUCAGUCAUCUUGCCCAUGUGGUAUGAUUUGCAUAUCUCAAGUGAUUCAAAAUCAAGUGAGUCCAAACGAUCCAUUUGCAUGGAGCUUCUUCAUGCAUAUAUACCAAUAGACAUGGUUCGCAUGUCUCAAACUUUUCAAAAAUGAGUGAGUCCAAAGAUCCAUCAACAUGGAGCUUCUUCAUGCGUUUUAUACCAUUAUGACUUACAUAGCAGUGCCAUAAGUAAGUGGUACUAUCAUUACUAUCUUAUAUCUUUUGGCAUGAAAAUGUGUAUCCCUACGAUCAAGAUUCAAUAAACCAUUCCUUUAGGUGCAAGAGCACUUAUUCAGGUUUAAUACUAAUCUUGAUGGUAGAGGGAGCGUGCGAUGUUAGAUCACAUCAAACUUGGAAACACUUCCAACACAUAUCGCCAGCUCACCUUUAGCUAGUCUCCGUUUUAUUCCGUAGCUUUUAUUUCGAGUUACUAACACUUAGCAACCGAACCGGUAUCUAAUACCCUGGUGCUACUAGGAGUACUAGUAAAGUACACAUUAACAUAAUGUAUAUCCAAUAUACUUCUAUCGACCUUGCCAGCCUUCUCAUCUACCAAGUAUCUAGGGUAAUCUUGCUCCAGUGGUUGUUCCCCUUAUUACAGAAGCACUUAGUCUCGGGUUUGGGUUCAACCCCGGGUUUCUUCAUUGGUGCAGCAGCUGAUUUGCCGUUUCAUGAAGUAUCCCUUCUUGCCCUUGCCCUUCUUGAAACUAGUGGUUUUACUAACCAUCAACGAUUGAUGCUCCCUUUUGAUUUCUACUUUCGCGGAGUCAAACAUCGCGAAUAUCUCAAGGAUCAUCAUAUAUGUCCUUGAUAUAUUAUAGUUCAUCACGAAGCUCUAGCAGCUUGGUGGUAAUGACUUCGGAGGAACUAUCACUAUUUCAUCUGGAAGAUCAACUCCCACUUGAUUUAAGUGAUUGUUGCACUCAGACAAUCUGAGCACAAGCUCAACAAUUGAGCUUCUCUCCUUAGUUUGCAGGCUAAGAAAAUCGUCGGAGGUCUUAUACCUCUUGACGUGGGCACGAGCCUGAAAUCCCAAUUUCAGCCCUCGAAACAUCUCAUAUGUUCCAUGACGUUUCGAAAACGUCUUUGGUGCCUCUACUUAAACCAUUUAACUGAACUAUCACGUAGUUAUCAAAACGUGUAUGUUCGAUGUUCGAAACAUCCACAAACGAUGUUUGGGGUUCACCACACUAAGUGGUGCAUUAAGGACAUAAGCUUUCUACUGAUCGCAUAAUCGCUACUGUCAACUUUCAACUAUAUUUUCUCUAGGAACAUAUCUAAAACAGUAGAACUAAAGCGCGAGCUACGACAUAAUUUGCAAAAGGUCUUUUGACUAUGUUCAGGAUAAUUAAGUUCAUCUUAUGAACUCCCACUCAGAUAGACAUCCCUCUGGUCAUCUAAGUGAUCACAUGAUCCGAGUCAACUAGGCCGUGUCCGAUCAUCACGUGAGACGGACUAGUUAACAUCGGUGAACAUCUUCAUGUUGGUUGUAUCUACUAUACGACUCAUGCUCGACCUUUCGGUCUCCGUGUUCCGAGGCCAUGUCUGCACAUGCUAGGCUCGUCAAGUUAACCCUAAGUGUUUUCGCUGUGUAAAACUGUCUUACACCCGUUGUAUGUGAACGUAAGAAUCCAUCACACCCGACCAUCACGUGGUGCUUAGAAGCAACGAACUGUAGCAACGGUGCACAGUUAGGGGAGAACACUUCUUGAAAUUUUGUAAGGGAUCAUCUUAUUUACUACCGUCGUCCUAAGUAAACAAGAUGCAUAAACAUAAUAAACAUCACAUGCAAUUAUAUAGUUGUGACAUGAUAUGGCCAAUAUCAUAUAGCUCCAUUGAUCUCCAUCUUCGGGGCUCCAUGAUCAUCUUGUCACCGGCAUGACACCAUGAUCUCCAUCAUCGUGUCUUCAUGAAGUUGUCACGCCAACGACUACUUCUACUUCUAUGGCUAACGCGUUUAGCAAUAAAGUAAAGUAAGUUACAUGGCGUUCUUCAAUGACACGCAGGUCAUACAAAAAAUAAAGACAACUCCUAUGGCUCCUGCCGGUUGUCAUACUCAUCGACAUGCAAGUCGUGAUUCCUAUUACAAGAACAUGAUCAAUCUCAUACAUCACAUAUCAUUCAUCACAUUCUUCUGGCCAUAUCACAUCACAUAGCAUACCCUGCAAAAACAAGUUAGACGUCCUCUAAUUGUUGUUUGCAUGUUUUACGUGGCUGCUAUGGGUUCUAGCAAGAACGUUUCUUACCUACGCAAAACCACAACGUGAUAUGCCAAUUGCUAUUUACCCUUCAUAAGGACCCUUUUCAUCGAAUCCGUUCCGACUAAAGUGGGAGAGACUGGCACCCGCUAGCCACCUUAUGCACCAAGUGCAUGUCAAUCGGUGGAACCUGUCUCACGUAAGAGUACGUGUAAGGUCGGUCCGGGCCGCUUCAUCCCACAAUACCGUCGAAACAAGAUUGGACUAGUAACGGUAAGCAUAUUGAACAACAUCAACGCCCACAACUACUUUGUGUUCUACUCGUGCAAAGAAUCUACGCAAUAGACCUAGCUCAUGAUGCCACUGUUGGGGAACGUAGCAGAAAUUCAAAAAAAUUUCCUACGAAUCACCAAGAUCUAUCUAUGGAGAGACCAGCAACGAGUAGAAAGAAGAGUGCAUCUACAUACCCUUGUAGAUCGCUAAGCGGAAGCGUUCAAGUGAACGGAGUUGAUGGAGUCGUACUCGUCGUGAUUCAAAUCACCGAUGAUCAAGUGCCGAACGGACGGCACCUCCGCGUUCAACACACGUACAGCCCGGUGACGUCUCCCACGCCUUGAUCCAGCAAGGAGAGAGGGAGAGGUUGAGGAAGACUCCAUCCAACAGCAGCACAAUGGCGUGGUGGUGGUGGAGGAGCGUGGCAAUCCCGCAGGGCUUCGCCAAGCACCACGGGAGAGGAGAAGAACUUGGGAGAGAGGGAGGGGCUGCACCAAAGGCAUAAGGUCUGUUUGGGAGGCCCUCCUACCCCACUAUAUAUAGGGAUCCCAAGGGGGGGUGNNNNNNNNNNNNNNNNNNNNNNNNNNNNNNNNNNNNNNNNNNNNNNNNNNNNNNNNNNNNNNNNNNNNNNNNNNNNNNNNNNNNNNNNNNNNNNNNNNNNNNNNNNNNNNNNNNNNNNNNNNNNNNNNNNNNNNNNNNNNNNNNNNNNNNNNNNNNNNNNNNNNNNNNNNNNNNNNNNNNNNNNNNNNNNNNNNNNNNNNNNNNNNNNNNNNNNNNNNNNNNNNNNNNNNNNNNNNNNNNNNNNNNNNNNNNNNNNNNNNNNNNNNNNNNNNNNNNNNNNNNNNNNNNNNNNNNNNNNNNNNNNNNNNNNNNNNNNNNNNNNNNNNNNNNNNNNNNNNNNNNNNNNNNNNNNNNNNNNNNNNNNNNNNNNNNNNNNNNNNNNNNNNNNNNNNNNNNNNNNNNNNNNNNNNNNNNNNNNNNNNNNNNNNNNNNNNNNNNNNNNNNNNNNNNNNNNNNNNNNNNNNNNNNNNNNNNNNNNNNNNNNNNNNNNNNNNNNNNNNNNNNNNNNNNNNNNNNNNNNNNNNNNNNNNNNNNNNNGGGGCUGGUGCCCUUGGCCCAUGUAGGCCAAGGCGCACCCCCUACAGCCCAUGUGGCCCCCCGGGGCAGGUGGCCCCACCCGGUGGGCCCCCGGGACCCUUCCGGUGGUCCCGGUACAAUACCGAUGACCCCGAAACUUGUCCCGAUGGCCGAAACAGGACUUCCUAUAUAUAAAUCUUUACCUCCUGACCAUUCCGGAACUCCUCGUGACGUCCGGGAUCUCAUCCGGGACUCCGAACAACAUUCGGUAACCACAUACAAGCUUCCUUUAUAACCCUAGCGUCAUCGAACCUUAAGUGUGUAGACCCUACGGGUUCGGGAGACAUGCAGACAUGACCGAGAUGUUCUCCGGUCAAUAACCAACAGCGGGAUCUGGAUACCCAUGUUGGCUCCCACAUGUUCCACGAUGAUCUCAUCGGAUGAACCACGAUGUCAAGGACUCAAUCAAUCCCGUAUACAAUUCCCUUUGUCUAGCGGUAUGGUACUUGCCCGAGAUUCGAUCGUCGGUAUCCAAUACCUUGUUCAAUCUCGUUACCGGCAAGUCACUUUACUCGUUCCGUAACACAUCAUCCCGUGAUCAACUCCUUGGUCACAUUGCGCAUAUGAUGAUGUCCUACCGAGUGGGCCCAGAGAUACCUCUCCGUUUACACGGAGUGACAAAUCCCAGUCUCGAUCCGCAUAAAACAAUAGAUACUUUCGGAGAUACCUGUAGUGCACCUUUAUAGUCACCCAGUUACGUUGUGACGUUUGAUACCCCCAAAGCACUCCUACGGUAUCCAGGAGUUACACGCUCUCAUGGUCGAAGGAAGAGAUACUUGACAUUGGCAAAGCUCUAGCAAAUGAACUACACGAUCUUUUGUGCUAGUCUUAGGAUUGGGUCUUGUCCAUCACAUCAUUCUCCUAAUGAUGUGAUCCCGUUAUCAACGACAUCCAAUGUCCAUAGCCAGGAAACCAUGACUAUCUGUUGAUCACAAUGAGCUAGUCAACUAGAGGCUCACUAGGGACAUAUUGUGGUCUAUGUAUUCACACGUGUAUUACGAUUUCCGGAUAAUACAGUUAUAGCAUGAAUAAAAGACAAUUAUCAUGAACAAGGAAAUAUAAUAAUAAUACUUUUAUUAUUGCCUCUAGGGCAUAUUUCCAACAAACACUUCUUGAAAUUUUGUAAGGGAUCAUCUUAUUUACUACCGUCGUCCUAAGUAAACAAGAUGCAUAAUCAUAAUAAACAUCACAUGCAAUCAAAUAGUGACAUGAUAUGGCCAAUAUCAUUUUGCUCCUUUUGAUCUUCAUCUUCGGGGCUCCAUGAUCAUCAUCGUCACCGGCAUGACACCAUGAUCUCCAUCAUCAUGAUCUCCAUCAUCGUGUCUUCAUGAAGUUGUCACGCCAACGACUACUUCUACUUCUAUGGCUAACGCGUUUAGCAAUAAAGUAAAGUAAGUUACAUGGCGUUCUUCAAUGACACGCAGGUCAUACAAUAAAUUAAGACAACUCCUAUGGCUCCUGCCGGUUGUCAUACUCAUCGACAUGCAAGUCGUGAAUCCUAUUACAAGAACAUGAUCAAUCUCAUACAUCACAUAUAUCAUUCAUCACAUCCUUUUGGCCAUAUCACAUCACAUAGCAUACCCUGCAAAAACAAGUUAGACGUCCUCUAAUUGUUGUUUGCAUGUUUUAUGUGGCUGCUAUGGGUUUCUAGCAAGAACGUUUCUUACCUACGCAAAACCACAACGUGAUAUGCCAAUUGCUAUUUACCCUUCAUAAGGACCCUUUUCAUCGAAUCCGUUCCGACUAAAGUGGGAGAGACUGGCACCCGCUAGCCACCUUAUGCACCAAGUGCAUGUCAAUCGGUGGAACCUGUCUCACGUAAGAGUACGUGUAAGGUCGGUCCAGGCCGCUUCAUCCCACAAUACCGUCGAAACAAGAUUGGACUAGUAACGGUAAGCAUAUUGAACAACAUCAACGCCCACAACUACUUUGUGUUCUACUCGUGCAAAGAAUCUACGCAAUAGACCUAGCUCAUGAUGCCACUGUUGGGGAACGUAGCAGAAAUUCAAAAUUUUCCUACGUGUCACCAAGAUCUAUCUAUGGAGAAACCAGCAACGAGUAGAAGGAGAGUGCAUCUACAUACCCUUGUAGAUCGCUAAGCGGAAGCGUUCAAGUGAACGGGGUUGAUGGAGUCGUACUCGUCGUGAUUCAAAUCACCGAUGAUCAAGUGCCGAACGCACGGCACCUCCGCGUUCAACACACGUACAGCCCGGUGACGUCUCCCACGCCUUGAUCCAGCAAGGAGAGAGGGAGAGGUUGAGGAAGACUCCAUCCAACAGCAGCACAACGGCGUGGUGGUGGUGGAGGAGCGUGGCAAUCCAGCAGGGCUUCGCCAAGCACCAUGGGAGAGGAGGAGUAGGAAGAGAGGUAGGGUUGUGCCAGAACUUCGUCUAUAGCUCCCAUGCGCCUCCCCACUAUAUAUAGGGGUGGAGGGGCUGGUUUCUUGCCCUCCAAGUCCAUUGGGGCGUUGGCCAAGGUGGGAGGAAAGAAAUCUCAUUAUUUCCUUCCCCACCGAUUGUUAUCCCCCCUUUUUAGGGAUCUUGAUCUUAUCCCUUCGGGAUAUGAUCUUAUUCCUUCUAAGGGGGGAUCUUGGUGCGCCUUGACCAGGGGUGUGGGGCCUUGCCCCCACUACCCACGUCCAUGUGGGUCCCCCCAUGCAUGUGGGCCCCACUCCGGAACCUUCUAGAACCUUCCCGGUACAAUACCGAAAAAUCCCGAACAUUUUCCGGUGGCCAAAAUAGGACUUCCCAUAUAUAAAUCUUUACCUCCGGACCAUUCCGGAACUCCUCGUGACGUCCGGGAUCUCAUCCGGGACUCCGAACAACAUUCGGUAACCACAUACAAACUUCCUUUAUAACCCUAGCGUCAUCGAACCUUAAGUGUGUAGACCCUACGGGUUCGGGAGACAUGUAGACAUGACCGAGACGUUCUCCGGUCAAUAACCAACAGCGGGAUCUGGAUACCCAUGAUGGCUCCCACAUGUUCCACGAUGAUCUCAUCGGAUGAACCACGAUGUCAAGGACUUAAUCAAUCCCGUAUUCAAUUCCCUUUGUCUAUCGGUAUGUUACUUGCCCGAGAUUCGAUCGUCGGUAUCCAAUACCUUGUUCAAUCUCGUUACCGGCAAGUCACUUUACUCGUUCCGUAACACAUCAUCCCGUGAUCAACUCCUUGGUCACAUUGCGCAUAUGAUGAUGUCCUACCGAGUGGGCCCAGAGAUACCUCUCCGUUUACACAGAGUGACAAAUCCCAGUCUCGAUCCGCAUAAAACAAUAGAUACUUUCGGAGAUACCUGUAAUGCACCUUUAUAGUCACCCAGUUACGUUGUGACGUUUGAUACACCCAAAGCACUCCUACGGUAUCCAGGAGUUACACGAUCUCAUGGUCAAAGGAAGAGAUACUUGACAUUGGCAAAGCUCUAGCAAACGAACUACAAGAUCUUUGUGCUAUGCUUAGGAUUGGGUCUUGUCCAUCACAUCAUUCUCCUAAUGAUGUGAUCCCGUUAUCAACGACAUCCAAUGUCCAUAGCCAGGAAACCAUGACUAUCUGUUGAUCACAACGAGCUAGUCAACUAGAGGCUCACUAGGGACAUAUUGUGGUCUAUGUAUUCACACGUGUAUUACGAUUUCCGGAUAAUACAGUUAUAGCAUGAAUAAAAGACAAUUAUCAUGAACAAGGAAAUAUAAUAAUAAUACUUUUAUUAUUGCCUCUAGGGCAUAUUUCCAACAUUCUGUGGUGCAGCCGUGUCAAACGGCUUUCAUGCCGGACAAAAACAUCCUAUAAGGGGUUGUGGUUCUGCAUUAAAUGCUCCAUGAAAUCCACACGAAAAAACUAGAUGGGGUGGUUUUCAAAGUGGAUUUUGAGAAAGCGUAUGACAAGGUAAAAUGGCCAUUUUUCAGCAGGCUUUGCGUAUGAAAGGAUUCGAUCAGUCCUGGAGAGACCAGGUAGAUUCUUUCACGCAAAAAGGGAGUGUUGGAAUGGUAAAUGAUGACAUAGGUCAUUAUUUUCAGACACACAAGGGUCUGACACAAGGAGAUCCGAUGUCUCUGAUUCUGUUCAACAAAGUCGUUGACAUGUUGACAGUCCUAAUAGGAAGGGCUCAGGAUGAUGGCCAGGUAGGUGGCCUCGUUCCGCAUUUAGUUGACGUAGGAGUGUCUAUCCUACAGUACGCGGAUGAUACUAUCGUCUUUAUGGAGCAUGAUUUGGCUAAAGCUAGAAACAUGAAGCUGGUAUUGUGCUUGUUCGAAUAAUUAUCGGGGUUAAAGAUUAACUUCCACAAAAGUGAAUUGUUCUGCUUUCGAAGAGCUAAAGAAGAACAACAAGAUUACAAGGAAUUGUUCAGGUGCGAAUUGGGGUCUUUACCCUUCAGUAUUUGGGUAUACCAAUCCACCAUCGCAAGCUUUCAAACAAGGAGUGAAAGAGCAUUGAAGAUCGAUUUGAAAGAAAACUGAGCUGCUGGAAGGGCAAGCUUAUGUCAUACGGAGGAUGAUUGAUUCUGAUUAAUUCGGUUCACACAAGUAUGUCGAUGUUUCUCUUAUCCUUUUUCGAAGUACCAGUUGGUGUACGAAAAAGGCUAGAUUUCUAUCGAUCGCGGUUCUUCUGGCAGAGCGAUGAAUUAAAAAGAAAAUACAGACUCGCUAAGUGGGAUAUCAUUUGUAGGCCGAAAGAUCAAGGGGGUCUAGGCAUUGAAAAUUUAGAGGUGAAGAACAGAUGUCUUCUCAGCAAGUGGUUGUAUAAGUUAUCUGUAGAGACGGAUGCAACAUGGGCCCAGAUUCUUCGUAAUAAGUACCUUCAGUCCAAAACCUUGUCCCAGGUAACGGUAAGACCGACUGAUUCACCUUUUUGGAAGGGACUGGUGAGAGUGAAAUCAGUCUUCUUUAACAGGACAAAAUUUAUAGUUGCAAAUGGUACUUUCACAAGAUUCUGGGAGGAUACCUGGCUAGGGGAGACACCCCUUACAAUCCAAUAUCCUUCUCUCUAUAAUAUUGUUCAGCGGAGAGACACUUACGCUGCAACAGUACUACAGUCCAAUCCUCUUAAUAUUCAAUUCAGGAGGACGCUAGUGGGAAACCGUUGGGAAGCUUGGCUCCAUCUUGUGAGAAGAUUGAUGGAUGUCCAACUUUCUCAACAGCCAGAUCAGUUGCGCUGGAAACUAGCUAAGAAUGGUGAGUUUUCGGUUAAAUUCAUGUAUUUGGAUAUUAUCAACACUAGCGUUAUUCCUAGUUUGAAACAUGUUUGGAAAGUCAAAGUGCCUUUAAAAAUCAAAGUGUUUAUGUGGUUUGUCCACAAACAAGUCAUCCUAACUAAGGACAAUUUGGCGAAGCACGACUCGAUCUAAAAGAUGUAGUUUUUGUGAUAGUGAUGAAUCAAUCAAACACCUCUUUCUUGACCGCCCUUUGGCAACAAUUUUGUGGAGGUCGGUCUACAUAGCUUUUAAUAUUACUCCUCCCAAUUCCAUCAACACGUUAUUUGGGACAUGGCUAGAUGGGAUUGAUGCAGCAACAGCGAGGCACAUCCGUGUAGGAGUAUCCGCUUUAUUAUCGGCAGUUUGGAACUGUAGAAACGACUUGGUUUUUAACAGAACAACAAAUAUUCAUUUCUUGCAUGUUGUUUUCAGGGCCACUACACUCAUCCGUAUGUGGUCGCUACUCACUUCGACGGAGGCCAGGGAGCAUUUGGUUACUGGAUCUAUCCGAUGGGAGACGGUAGCUCGGGCUAUCUUCAACCAGUUUGGAUGGCGGUCAUGUAAUAGGAUAGGUAUUUAGUUUCCUAUCUUUUGUUUUGCCUGCCGGUUGUGGCUGCCCUGUUUUUGCUUUAGUGCUCUUUAUGAGCAUUUUUUUUCAUUUUGUUUGAGACCUCGAGACUUAUGUUGGACCUUUUGUUUAUCAAUAAUAUGGCCGUAUGCAUCAUUCUGAUGCAGAAGGCCGGGGCAAACCUCCUUUUCAAAAAAAGAAAAAAAUACAGAAAAUCACCCUGCUGGAAACAUAAUAUGUGUAAGGAGGAGCGGAACAUACUUCUCUUGCCGUCCCAAAGUCUGACAAUUUAUACAAAACCAUUCGUUAGUCGACACCAACAGAUUUUCUAAAAGAAAAUAACUCUAUGUAAAUUUCGUCAUAUUAUAGGCAUUAAUUGGGGCAUGAGAUAAUCCACCAAAUUACCAGGUUCCAUGUCGCGACGAAAAUAUCCAUAAUUAUGUGAGUACAUAUAGAACCCCAUCUGGUACUGAUGACUAUAUAAACUACAGUCGGAGCAUCUUACCUGCAACUUUUUACUUCUGUUAAUUCAGAUCAAAGCUUCAAUAUGGGCAAUGACAAUGGUUAAUCUACAACAAUAACAAAAUUGAUUCAUACUUGUAUGCUUAAACAAAGUGAUACUGCAUAUGUGAAUUUGGGAUAGCAAUAUAUAAGCUGAGAUGGCGUAUGUGCAGUACAUAAUGUCUAUACCCGAACACGCUGGAGCAUCAAAGGGGUUUGAUCGUCCUAGAACUGCACGACUUUAGCCGCGAACAGUCAGAUUCAUUUGAUCUUGUGGGUCCUGUCCACGGCCGUGGAAUCGACAUGAACAAAAGCACGUAGCCUUACGGGAGGAUAGGUAAGGGAGAUGGGACGGCUUUGGCGGAAUCGACAUGAACCAAAACAGCUGGCCAUACUAUGGUGCGAUCCGGAUCUUGGUGGUGUGGUGACCUGACGUCUUUCAUUGGAGGUCACGGGCAGCAGCGAGACGGAGGGAGGGAGAGCAAGACUGCAGCAGGCGUCACCACUAUAGACACAGGUUGACCUAGUCGGGGCAACCGGAGGCAGCUGGACCAGCGAUCAUGCCGGAGGAGCUCCUUGAUGCAGAGAUCAGUUCCCCGUCGCUGCACCCUGUUGUAGACAGGGGAAACGACAUGUAGUCUCAACAACCAUAUCUAUAUAGAUGCCUCUAGGACUUCAAAUCAGAGAUCUAGCUUGUGCUCCAUAGAUCUCAACAAAAGAGUUAUCUACAUUUUGAGGCUUAAGUGGAAAGAUUUGUAUAAUUACACUAGCUAGCUAGUGUUUCCUUUUUUUUCUAUUCCCUCCUUGUACAUAUGUAUCACAAAGAAAAUAAAAAUAAAUUAACAUAUGUAGUACAAGACUAUUGUCGCUCGUAGAAAACUUCCCUUUGUAAUUCAACCACGCUAAGUACCACUAAGAUUUCCCCUCUCUUUAUAUAAUUAUGAUUUCCCCUCUCUUUUUGUAAUAAUGAAAAUCUAGUUCUGGUGGAUUCUUUGUAUUUUGAAAGUGACAACCGCAAAACAAUUAGUGAUUUCUACCAGUCAUUGAGCGCCGCAAAAUCACCCGUUAGUGAUAGCAAACCUGCAUUUGAUGAGUAUUAAGACGGGUUGACGAUGUGUUACCUACCCGUUCGUCAUGGAUGGAGUGUCGGUUACACAGGCCACUCUCUAGUAGUGCAUGAUAUUAUGACAUCCAGUCUAAGCCAGGUUUAUAAUAAGUGUGAUAUGAGUUUAAUAUUUGAAGUGAUUUUAUAUGUUGGCACCCUGGGUGUAUGUCUUCUUAAGUACGAUGUGCAUCUAGUCUAAACAUUAUCUCUCCAAGCUUGGUGUUAUGUUGAAUAUGAAGGUCAUGUUGCAUCAUAAAAAAUUAAUACUUGAUCAUUAAAAUUGUGACAUGUGAAAGUCCGAGAUUAGGUGUUUCUUUUUUAUGUUCUUAGCCAUAUACAUGUUGUUUUAACUAAUGACAAUAUAUCUUGUCACCAUUACUAUUCUUAGAUUAGUUAUUUACCAAAGCUCAUGCAUACCAUCCACCAAAAAGAAUUGUGUUUAUGGUAAGUUAUAUGUGAGUUCUAGAUUUAGGUUGUUCUUCUACAAAAGUGGCUACAUGUGUUGAUUAACUGAUGUCUUCUAUGAGAUGGUCGUUAUGUCCUUGUAAGUUUGUUGUAUUGCGAUGAUUAAUGGCAUACUUUAAAAUUAAGCCAAUUUACAAUAUCUUCAUGGAGAGCUCUAGAUCCACGGUACUUUUCAAUGUUGUUAAUGGGGCAUAUGUGGUAUCAAUGGAUCACAUGUGGCCACCAUCUCUUCACAUGUCUAAUAUGGCUCUAAUUUCUUGAUAAGGCAUAUUCACGUCUAUUAAGAAAACCUUGAUUUCUCAUAUUCAUUAAUUCAUAUAUGAGACAUAGUUGUUGUUCUUGGUAGUGUUAUGCAACCAGAAAAAGUAAUGGAUUCUAGUCUCUUCAGUUGAAGUUUGGACUUGUGCUAUCUUUUAAUUUAAUUGUUUAAUGAGCAUGGCUUCUAUUUUUAGUUGACAAGCUAAUGUUUGCCUCACAAUAUUCUAAGAGGUGCAUUGUGGUAAAUACAUGUUCCACUUCCAUCAUUCCUCAGAUGACAAUGAUCUACAACAACAAAAUUGUAGGUACUGAUGAAAAAACAUCAUGGACCAAGACCUGGAACACUGAGCAUGCAUAUUUUUCCCAAACAUCCUAAUUAAGAUAGUAGUCCAAAGGAUAAUGAAUUUGGAAAUAAAUAUAUUUUAUUUCAAUAUAGCUCUUACAUGGAAGCGCUAACUAGCAUCUACAAAAGCUCUCCAUAGUCUGUAAGAAUAUCAAUAUCUUGUCCAGUGGAAGAGGGCGGCACAUCAACCCAUCCACCAUUUACCAUGGAAGACUGUCCUAGAUCCGUACCGCUAGAGCCUAAGUAAGCAUCCAUCCCUGGGAAACUAUUGUAGUACGACUGAUCUGAUAGAGGAAAACCCCAUUGUUCAGUGUUAAAUGGGUCAUCAAUAGAAAAGGCAUUGCCACUCGAGUACCCCAAUAGUGGAGAGGCCUCCAAAUUCUGCCCGGAUGUUGAGUCAUGGUUUGCGUCAUUUUGUUGUGGUUGAACUACGUUGCAAGUACUUUUAUAGUUCUGAACAUGCAACUCCUCUGGUGGAGUUUGCUCAUGUACCUGAUUUGUUAUGGGUUGGACAUGGGAAGCCAAGGGUGGAGCUAAAGAUGGUGGUGCAGAAUGGAACAUUGGUACCUGCAUAGAAAAAGUGGUCCCAAAGUUUGUUCUGGUUGUGAUGGUGGUGGAUCUAAAGGUAGCUGGAGUUGUGAGAGAUUGUGAGGCCAUGGUGACUGCAUAAGUGAAUGAGUAGUACUCAAAUGAUCCGCCGGCAGAACACUUGGUAGUUGUAGAUCUUGUGCCACACAUGUGCCACCGGUCUUGUCUUCACGACCAUGCAAUGGAGGUAGCCGGAAUCUAAUAUCUUUUUGGACCCGAGAGAGCUCACUGAAGAGCUUGUUCAGAUCUUCAAGACUGAGAUCUUUUUCCUUCGUGAAGAUAAGAUUUGCCACCAUACCUGGAUUCUCUUUUUGUAUAUUUUUCAUACGAAGGAUGGAAAGUUGGUUUUUGUCUUCCUCGGUCAUGUUCUCCAUGUCCAACCGAGCCACCUCGUUCUGUAGGCUUCCAAUCCUAGCAGUGGUUGCCUCGUCGGCAGAGGGAACUACUGGUGGAGCUCCAAAUAGGAAAUCAUCAACAAUGGGAUCGGCCAAUGGCGUCCCAAAUGAGUGCAUCUUUCCAUUGUUUGUUUCUAGGAUGACCGCAACCCUAGCCCUAGUGAGGGCAGAGAUGUCAGUCGCCCUCUUGAACAAACCGGAACGUCGCUUGUAGAAGGUGAGAUCACGGUCUUUGUCAUUGUGGAUGUAUGCCACACCUGACCGCCGCUCUUUCCUCGGCAUACUAAUGUGGACAAAGAGGAAGAAACUAACUACUACAAAUAGGAAGCACAAGGAUCUACAGAAAACUAGAGAUUUAGGGGUAUUGUUGGCUAACCACAUAUUGGUGUAGGAUAUGAGAAGAUGUAC
RNAcentral lists this long non-coding RNA (114791 nucleotides) under Triticum aestivum (bread wheat). RNAcentral's name for it is "long non-coding RNA (TAES_LNC017205)". Lineage: Eukaryota; Viridiplantae; Streptophyta; Magnoliopsida; Poales; Poaceae. The record is from RNAcentral.